Molecule: long non-coding RNA, 164373 nt
Filed under: Eucalyptus grandis
Lineage: Eukaryota; Viridiplantae; Streptophyta; Magnoliopsida; Myrtales; Myrtaceae
Description: long non-coding RNA (EGRA_LNC002107)
Source: RNAcentral
ACUUUGAAUGUGGAGGUUCAUCAAUUACAGGAAAACCGUUGUGCCUUGUAGUUCGCAACACAUGUACCACAUUAGCGACCUUCUCGAUGCCAUGAAACAGCUGAAGGGGCCCACUCACUACAUCACCAACUGUUAAUUGUCUCAUAUAUGGCUCGGCAUAGGUCUCAAGGUAAGGAAAGCCCUUCGCUUUCAUGAUAAGGUCAUAGAUGUUGCCGUUGAAAGCAUCAGCUACGGUCUUUGAAAUAAGAAGAACCACCAUCAUCAAGGGUAGCAACAGCAGAUUGUUCGUCAGUUCCAAAAGGAUUACACAUAGAGAAACUGUCAUCCUCAUAGAUCCACCAAGAAAAGAAGCAGCACCCAGCACAGCAAAAAGACCAUGGUUAAGAUUGGAAUGAGAACCAAUCAACAUUCCAACCAAACGCCCAUAAGAUGCACCAGUAACUAUUACAGGAACGAAAAGGCCAGCAGGAGCGACAAUGCCAUAGCUAAGUAUACUCAAGAAAUAACAUGUGACAAAGAAUAUAAUUAUAGAAGAGUACUGGAACUCGUCAUCCGUGCCCUUGCUAAAGAGAUUUUGAAGUCCUGUUAUGUAUCCUGACCUUGAUCAGAGCUUUAGUUCCAGCCUCCGAUGAAUCCUUCCUUCCAUUUGAAAGAGGGAUCUUCUUUUUCCAGCAAAUUCCAUCGCCGAAAAUGGCGACUGCGCAAAAACAAUCAGCCAAGCAAGCCUCUCUGCACCAGUCCUCGGUUUGUGCCACGCUACGCUCGUAAUCAGACUCUGGCCAGUUUGUAUUGGGCAUUUCAAGCAAAUCGAAUUGGUCUGUUUCACGCCUACUUCCGUUACAAUUCUGUGGUGCGAAGGUCUGUAUGCAUCCGUUCAUCUCGUUCGUUGAAUCUAACAGAGUAUAUCCAGGUGGGCAUUGGCAUCGAGGCCUCAGAUCAUCUCCAAGAGUACAGUAGCUGUUGAAGCCACAAGCUCCACUGCCAAUCUGUUGGGCGAUGCUCGUGCAUAAAUUUUGUGGGACUGGGGCAGAGACCCUCGACCAGCCAAUAAGCCGGCCAGAACUUGAAUUUGCCGUCUUAGGGUGGAUAUAUUGCCUAAAUACCCCGUCGUAUUCAAGGAUCGCUCUUUGGUAAUAUCCGCUUGUUGGAACUAGUUCUGCGGUGAUGGUGUUGAGUAUUGUUCCAUUCCUGUCCGUGAGGUAGACCUGACCACUUUGAUUGAAUAUCAACCGGAAGCCCAUACGGCCAGCGGUGAUGGUGUUGGUGGCCCAGUAUGCAUCUGAGACUACCAGCGGGGUAGGAGUGGCAUAGAGCACGAGAUUUCCGUCGGUUUGCAGUGCGAAGAGGAAUCUCCCGGUGGAGUAAUUCAUUUCGGAAUAGCGAGCUUUAACAUUAGCCCCAAGAUCUAACUGCUGCAUAGGCAAUAUUGUAUCCGUUGGUUGGCUGAACGAAUCCCACAAGUUGACGUGGUUCACGCUCGCUAGGAUGAAGUUCCCCGUGUCGAGCAUGGCCGCAUACGCUAAGCCACUGCCGUUCAGGCCAGAAGACCACAGCUCUCUCUCUCUUGGGUCGGUAAGCACCAGCCCGCCGUUGGCGGUCAACUGGACUUGCGAACCUUCGGGCGCUAGAUUAUCGCCAUUCGCCGACCAGACGAUGGUCUUGUCCUCUAUCUUCUCGAACCAUAUAGCCAACAAAUGAGCUCCUGUUCCCAUUCUCUGGAACCCGAAGGCAAACUCGCCCGACGGCGACAGCCAGGAAGAGUUCUGGUCGUUCGCCGUCAACAAGGAGCCCAAGGUCAAGUUGCCGCGGAUCUGAGCUUCGGCGGAAAGGGGAAGUGGAACGAGUACUAGAAGGAUUCCUAGUAUAACUGAAGCCAUGUUUGAUGAAACAGGCGUGCUCCUUGAGUUGAGCUACUUCGGCCUUAAGGAUGAAACCAACGUUCUUAUAGAGACUGCCUACUUUCCAAGCUACCGGAGUCUCUCCCGUACGUCCCGUCCUUCACGGCGGACAGCCUUUGCCCAUGUCAACCCGUAUAUCUAUCAACUAUCUUUGACCAAAAACAAAACACAUAUAUCUAUCUAGAAUAAUGACUUUACCAUAUGGUCUGAAGUUUUAUAAAAGCUCCAUCUGUAAUAAAAGGAAAUGAUUGAUCAAAAUAUAAGGUGAUAUUCGUUAAUAUAUUUUAUUAAUCAACUUUUUUUUUGUAUUAAUAGACCAUUUAGAAGUGUAUGAUGAGCAUCCAAUUUUCGCAAUUUGGUCUUUCUUUUGUUUUUCGUUAUUGAGGCCUUUUUUGCCUUUUUACUUUGUCUCGUUUCUUUUUUCUUAAAGUAUCUUAUUAGUUCCAUUAAUAUUUUCAUCAACAUAUAAAUAAAAAUAAUUUAUGAUAGUAUCAUUGGUAUUGAUUUUUUUCGGAUUAUAAUGUUUUAGCAAAUUUAUAUUUUCUCUAUUUUCUUUGUUUUUCACUUUUUUUUUUAUAGAAAUUAAUACUGAAAGAACUUGUCAAAUUUAGAAUAAGGCGACUCUGCUCCAUAAGCUUGCCAGGGACCCGGACACUUUUCGAGGAAGGCACAAAUUUGGAAGACUUUGACCGAACGUCGUCGUACAGGAGACUUUAUGAGAUAAAAGGGAUGGAAGAAGAUGGCCCUUAUAUCACGUUGGUAAACUCCACUAAGCUAAAAGCAGGCUACUAAUUUUGCAAGUAAUUUGUUAAUUUCAACAGUAAAAUUUUGUUUCAUCGAUACAUUAUUAAGUUACCGAUUUCAAUCGUGGAGCCUUUUCUAAAUAUUGAUUAAUUAAUAAUAAUACUUAUAAAAUUUAAAAAGGAAAUGAUACCCUCGACUCAUAAAAGAAAAUGAUAUAUCGAAUCUGUAGUCAUUUAAAAAAAAAUAAUUGAUUCAUCUAUCAUUUUUUUUUGUAGAUAUAUUUUUCUCCAUUUUCUUUAUAUUUCCACAUAAAACAAUGGUGAAAAAGCAAUUGCCAUAAACAAGAUGACAAGAAACUUUUACCCCUUAAAAGGCACGUGCUUUGCACGCGCUAACAGAAUGGAGUAACAAUUUUAAAGUUCAGGGGCAAAUAUAUACUAUUGCAAAGUUCGAGAGAGAUUUGAGUAAUUUCUUCGUGAUUUUCUUUCCAACAAAAAAUUUGCCACUUUAUUAGAAAUUUACUCUUGUAACUUGUAAGGACUUAUGUGGUAACUUACUAAUUUCACUGCUGCGAUUUAGUUUUAAAUGGUCAAUUUCUAAAUAAUCAGACAACUUGCCUUCCACUUGAAAUUGGUAUUACUACCUUGUAAGCGGACCUAUAUGGUAAGUUAUUACUUUAUAUGAAAGUUAUAAAUUUCACCACUAAAUUUUUGUUUUGAGUAAUAAAUUUCUAAAAAAAGUUAAUGACUUAUCAUUGCAUUUAUUGAAGGUAAAUUGCUACCAUUGUUAGUGCAUUACCACAUCAGUUGACUAAGAAGUCCCUAGUUACGUGAAAAUUUAGAAAAAGGCGAGUCCGCUUGGGCGGAUCCAUUAAUCUUCGGUCGUGACCCUGAAAUUUCCCAAGGAGAAACAGACAAAUUUAGAAGACUUUGACCGAAACAUCUUUUAGGUCUAGAGGAGGAGAUUUUGGGAGUGGAAAUUGUUUUUUUUUUUUGGACCGAAAUACAAAGGAUUCGAUUCCUGUGGAAAUCGAAGCGAUCACAGAUCACUUCGUGGAAAUUGAACGUUUCAAUGCUCGUACGUAUGUAAAAAUUUUGCUGUGGUGUCCCGCAUCAAGCGGAUCUGAUUGUGAACCGUCUAAUUUUGACUUUAAUCAGAUCGCUAAUGGACUUCACAAGAAAAAAACAACACUCCUAAUCAAUCCCCCCCGCGACCCGCGAAACGUACACAGCAGUGCAGCACACCUAACACGACCCCGACAACUGACACGUCAGCACACGCUCGCCACACUGUCCGGUGCUCUCCCUCCAUUGUCGUCUUCCGCUGGGAAAUAUAGAAAUGCAGGAGAUGGCAACGUCUAUCCACGAGAAAUCUGUUGCUUUGUUUCGUGCGAUGGAGGUUCUCCCCGUGCAGACAAUUACCUCCUCCUUCUCCUCCUUCUCCUCCUUCUUCCUCGUGCUCUGAAGCACGCCGAUGGAUUGUGCUUUGCCCGAGGAGGUAAGCGAGGCGAGGAAUGUUUUCGACGUGAGCGGCGUACUCCACGCGAUUGUGAACCGUGUCGUUGGGGGUGAUCUAAUGCUUGCUGCUUAGACUGCAAUUGAGUCUUGUGCAGCUUCGAGAGGAAUGACUAUAUUAAUGAUUGAUGGACAUAAUUCGGCAUAUAUUUUGCAAAAAUUUGCAUACAUCAAAUUUGCGUACAUUAAAUUGCUCCGUUAACUCUGUUAAAUUUGGCUAUCGAAAAAAAAUUGAUAUGGUUUUUUUUAUUGUUGUUCAAAAGGAAAUACGUUGAUAUAGAUGUCACGUCAGCCAAUUUAGAAGAAAAAUAUUAGAAGAUAUUUAAGCUAAAUGUUGGAUGUUGCAAUUAAACUAUAAUCAGUUGUUUUCGAAACUUUAGAAAAAUAAAAUUAGGGAAGAAGAAGAAGAAAACUUAAAAGAGAAAAUCAUGCUCCAGAAUCGACUCCAUCAAUUUUUGCAUUCAGCUACUUCGUUUCACAGCCGUAGCUAGUGCUGAUUCUUAAGCUUCCCUGGCAACGAGAUCUCUAUUCUCGCUCAAAUCUGCCAUUCACUAGAGGUUCACCCCCUCGCGGCCAAACACGGCUUCCUCCUUCGAUCUUCUCAAAUCUGUACCAGGGUCAUCAUUUGUCGUAAAUCUGAGCAAGGGUCGCGGCCGUAAUUGUCGGAGGAGCGAGAGUAGCUAGUGGCAAGGUCCUUGUUGACAAGUGACGAGGGUGGCUGACUCGUCUCCCGCACGCUUACUUUAUUUUUAUUCUUAUUUUCAAAAUGCGAAGGUGGUCGCAAGGGUCCCCGCUGACUUACCUAAGUCUGGUGUGGGACGUUGGCCCCUCGCUGAUGCAUGGGCGGCGUGUGUUUCCUUUACUGCAUCUAUGCUAUCCUUCGCAGCUUCUCCUAUGUUUGAUUCUUCUUCUUUUUUUCCAAAUUUUUAUUUCAAUAUUUUAUUUUUCUAAAAUAUUAAAACCAAUUCUUUUUCUUUUUUAUUUCAUUUAUAUUUUUUAAUAUCUAACGUGGCAACCUCAUCAACACAUCUUUCUUAAAAAAAUGGUAAAAAAAAGUCGCAUCAACUUUUUCUUAGAACCAAAUAGGGCGGAGUUAAUGUAGAAACUUGAGUAAACCGAUUUCAAAAGUUUUAAAAUUUGAUUGUACAUUUUUUUUUAAGUUUAAGGAUUUGAUUACACUUUUAUAAUAAGUUUUAGGACAUGUAAUAGACUAAUAACAUAAAAACAUAGAGCAUUUAGAGCUUAUAGAGGAUCAAUGAAGUAUCAAGUCAAUAACUUAAUAAAAAUAUUGUGUGCACCCAUCGAAGUGUGGAAAGCUAAUAUGCUCAACUUUAAACUUUGAUUCUACGCUCAGUAAACAAACCAAGUCCAGAUACCUCUUAGGACGUCCAGGUAAUGAAGAUUAGAGAUGAAUGAACUUGAAAGGAGCUUGGUUUACUCACAAAUUGGGCUGGAUAGACAUGGUUCUUGCUUGGACUUCACUAUUGACACUUAAUUUUUUGCCUAUUAUAUAUUUCGAAACAUUUUCAUAAAUUUAGGGAUUUAAUUUGUUAACCCUUAGCAACUAACCGUCAUGCUUCACCCUACAUUUCAUCGCAGGUAAGGGGAUUGUGGUAUUUGUUGCAUCAUGGGAGUUCAAAUUGGUGAGAAAAUUGAAGCCUUCAACAUCAUUUUCCUCACCUCGUUUUUCCAACUUGGAGAUUUUUUUAAGUAACAAGAGACACCUCGUAUUUUUACGGUGUUUAUGUGCAAUAAAUCUCUACUUCGCCGCUAGUAAGAUUUGAACUCUUUGCGCAGCAUGCUGGGGUUGAAAUCCCGCUACCGACAGUCCCCUUUGCUAGGCAAUCUGUAAAUCCAUUAUAAAACUUUAUAAACCCGUGUUAUGCCCUAGCCUUAACACGGAGUAAUCUCCCUUCCUCUUAAACUUUUUAUCAUACCUGAAUAAUUUUUUUUUUUUUUUUUGCUUCACCUGGUGCAUUAAGGGCAUUCAUCUACUUCUAUAAAAUUGGCGCAAGCAGACCAUUCCAAAGUGAAACAAACAAAAGACGAAGACCUUGACCCAAAUAUCGUACGUUUUGUUGAAUAAAAAUGGCAUUAGAACGAUAGCAAACGAGCUGGCAGACCCCAUGGCUGACAAAAACAACUAUGAAAUCGAACCUUUCAAUUUUCUGAUGCAAAUCGAUGCUAGAUUUGGAUCUUCUGGGUCUUUCCAUUGUCUUGGUAAUUUUCGAUUUCCUCCAGUUUGGACCCAUUGUCCAAUGGCAUUAACAGUAACUUGCUGAGUGGCUUAUACAAGAUCUCCAAUGAUCAUUUGGAAAGGUAUAUGUACGCCUAGAGUAUUGUCUUUCUUUUGUCACUUCACGCAAUUUCUCAACAGAUCAAUCGAGAAGAAAGUUCGUUUGAUUAUUCUUCCAACCACGUGAUUUGCGGACUCUGAUUUCUUUGAUCUAUGUGAAGUUGGUUGCCAAAAGGAAGUAAAAGUCCCAUCUGAGUGAAUAGAAAAGCAGCAGACCUUUUGAAAUUGGGAGUUCAGGGUAGUGAUCCUCGACUUAAGGAUCAGCAAGUUUCAUAUGGUUUCUCACCAUUCAAAUUUAGCAGAUAAGAUCUGUUUUGCUUUGAUGAGGUUAAGAUACUCUUUUACUGCAUCCAAUGCAAUUUUGAUGAAGCAAAAUGGUCGAUGGAAAUGCAUUGAUGGGGUCACAUUAGUUUUACCUGCGACACAAUGGAAUAUGAUCCAUGAAGAAUUCCUAAGAGAUUUAAAACAAUUUCGCCAACAAUUGCCAACAUGCUAGUGAAUUUCAAACUUUAGGAAGAUUUAGCUUAUUGAAGCUAGAUUUAUGUGAACAUAUUAUGACAAUGUUUAUUCUGGCGUAGGUGCACUUACAGACCAUAUAGAUACUUUUCAUUAUUACAGAUGCCAGUUGUCUAAAUAAUCAAAAUCAUAUUGAACUAAUAAAAGAGCUUGGAUCUGGGGGGACUGAGACUUCAACAGCUCCUUCUAGCAUCUGAGUGAUUUUCUUCAUGGUUAGCCUCAAAGCGGGGUCUUCCUGGAUGCACCACAGUGCCAUCAUCACAAAUCUUCUCACUAUCUUUAUGUCGCUUGACACCUCCUCGUCACUCUCCACUAGCACAAGUAGACUCCUGUCAUGGUGGCAGUCAUGACAAAUACACUUUGAGCUUCACUUUAGGCUUCCGGCUCAUGGUUCUUUCUGCAGCAGAUGAGCUGAAGCAACAAAAUGCCAAAGUUGUAAACGUCUACUUUAGCAGAAAUAGGCAUGUUCCUGAACCAUUCUGGCGCUAAAUAACUACCGGUUCCUCUUACGCCAGUGGUGGUCCAUGUUUGGUUUGCCAUCAAGAACUUAGCUAAUCUGAAGUCUGAUAUUUUUGCAGUGAGAGAGCCAUCAAUAAGAAUAUUUUGCAACUUGAUGUUGCAGUGGAUUAUAUAACUGGUGCAAUCCUCAUGCAAGCAAGAGAGGCCCCUCGCAACACCAUAGGCAAUUUCUAUUCUUUUGCACCAGCUAGGCCUUGAAGAGCCAAAAAGAAAAUCUUCCAUACUACCGUUGCUCAUGAAUUCAUACACUAGUAAUCGGUGUUGACCCUCACGAUCGCUGAAUCCAAGUAAAUGCACUAAGUUCUCGUGGUUAGUUUGGCCAAUUGCACUCACUUCUCUUUCAAACUCCUUUUCGCUUUCUCCAGUCCUUGUCGCCAACAAUUUUACUGCCACAAAGUUUGUAUCCUCGGAUCCGAGAACACCUUUGUACAUUGUUCCAAAAGCACCCCUACCCAGUUCUUUGAAUCCAUUUGUUGCUUCUUGAAGCUCAUGAUAGGUGAAAGUUGGCAUGCCUGUGGCUUGGUUGAUCUAUACUGGUCGUGAAAAUUUAGAAUCUCUAGAUCGGAAGCUUUUAUAAGUUAAAUAGCUAAUGAGGAGUAAAAGCAAGUUCAAAAACAAAGAAUUACCCAACAGCACUGGUCCGAUGAUCACCAGAGUUGAGUUCCUGUUCUUCUUCUGGCCGUUUCCUGGAGAUGUCAAAGUUGAAUUACCUAUCCUGACCUUGAUCAGAGCUUUUCCACCCGCACUUGGAUCCAACCUACCACUGAAAAGAGGGAUCUUCUUUUUCCAGCAAUUUCCAUCUUGAAAAACAGCGACUGCACAAAAACAAUCAGCCAAGCAAGCCUCUCAGCAUCGGUCCUCAGUUUGUGAUGUGCUAAGUUCGUAAUCAGACCGUGGCCAGUCUGUAUUGAGCAUGUCACGCAAAGAAAACUGGUCCUUUUCAGGCCUACUUCCAUCACAACUCUGUGAUACGAAGUCCUGUCUGCAUCUGUUCAUCACGUUCAUCGAAUCUAACAUAGUAUAUCUAGGUGCACAGUGGCAUUGGGGUCUCUAAAUCCCAUUGGCUCCAAGAGUACAGUAGUGUUGAAGCCACAAGCUCCAGGACCGGUAUCUCAUGUGAUUCUCAUGCAUAUAUCUGAAGGGAGAGGGGAAGAGACCGUCGGCCAGCCCAUUGCCCAACCGGAACUCAAAUUUGCCGUCUUGGGGUGGACAUACUGCCUGAAGACCCCGCCAUAUUCAAGGAUUGCUCUUUGCUAAAAUCCACCAGGGGAGGGUGUCUGAGUUGACGAUAUUGAGUACCGUUCCAUUCCUAGCCGUGACGUCAUAGACCUGACCACUUUGAUUGAAUAUCAAACUGGUAGCCGGUACCCACGGCGUUGCUAAUCCAGUAAGCAUCUGAGAUGACCGCCUCGGUUGGAGUAUGAAGUGAAAUCUCCCAGUGGAGUAAUUCAUUUCAGAGUAGCGAGCAUUAACUUUAGUCCCGAGAUCUAACUGUUGCGUAGGCAGUAUCGUAUCGGUCAGUUGGCUGAACGUUCCCCACCAGUCGACGUUAUUCUGGCUCAUUAGGACGAAGUUCCCCGUGCCGAGCAUGGCUGCAUAUGCUGCGCCAACGACCGCCGUGGACAACACCUCACUCCCUUCUGGGUCCACAACCACCAGUUGGCCGUCGGCAGUCAACUGGACUUUCGAACCUUCGGGUGCUAGAUUAUCCCCGUUAGUCGACCGGACUACGGUUUUCUCCUCUGUCUUCUCAAACCAUAUUGGCCACACAUGAGCUCCUCUUCCCAUUUCCCGGUACCCGAAGGCGAAUUCGCCCGACGGGGACAGCCAGGAAGAGGUCCUGUCAUUCGCUAUUAACGAGGAGCCCAAGGUUACGUUGCCGGGGGUCUGAGCUUUCGCAGAAAGCGGAAGCGGAACAAGUAGUAGGAGGAUUCCAACUACUACUGAAGCCAUGUCAGCGGAAGUUUGUGUGCUCCUUGAGUGGAGCUACUUCGGCCUUUAAAUUGAAACUGGGGUUCACCAAAGAAUUACUCCACUAGAUUUCAUACUUACUAUCAUGAAAGCAAGCAUCAAUUAGUAAGUUACCAAUUUUACUUGUGUAUAAUACCUUCAUUGGUGGAGCUUUACAAAAAGUCUAUUCGAUAUAGAGAAAAUGCCUCAAUAACAGAAUAUGUAAAAAAAAUUGCUCAUUAAGUAUAUUUGAAGGGUUAAUUAAUGAAUAUAUUUAUGAAAUUUAAAGAGGAAAGGGUACAUCGAAUCUACAAUAAAUUUUUUAUAUAUAAUUGAUUGAUCAAUCAAAUUUUUUUUUUUUGUGUUAAUAAACCAGUAAAAAAACACAUGAUGCGUAGUCAGCCUCAUAAUUUGACCUUCUUGUUAUUGAGUUUUUCCUUUUUACUAAUUUGUGUUUUUUUCCCCUUAGAAUAUCUUAUUAUUUUUAUUAAUAUAUUUAUCAAAUUUUAAAUUUAUUUUUUCUGAUAUAAUUUCUUCAUUUUAUUUAUUUAUCCAUUGUGGUGAAAAAAAAAAUAUGAAGAAGAAUGGUUACAUUAAGAACGAAUCAACAUAAUUCUAAAACUUUUUAAAAUGGAGCAAUUAAGUCUCUCCUUCCAAUAUGGCUAACGGAAAAAACUAAUAUGGUUUUUUUUUUUUCAAAGAGAGAGGGGUUGAUGUGGUUGGCACAUCAUCCAUUUUAGAAAAAAAAAUACUAUUAAGAGAUAUUAAAAGCCAACUGUUCUAUGUUGCAAUUAAUUAAUAAAUUACUAUUUCCAAAAUUUAAGAGAUAUCAAAUUCUGAAAAAAGAAGAAGAAGAAACACCGAAAAAAAAAGAGAGAAGAUUUUCGAGAAGCGAAUUUGCCUCCAUCAAUUUUUGCAUUUGGCUAUUUCGUUUUUGCGGCCAUAACUAAUGGUGGUUCUCAAGCUCCCAUGGCAACCAGAUCUCUAUUCCUCACCCAAAUCCGCUAGUCAUCAGAGGUCCCCUGCCUUGCGGUCGAGCACCACUACCUUCUUCGAUCUCCUUCGAUGUCUCGGGCUAUGACCAUCACCUCAUCUCUAGGUGAGAGUUGCCCUUUGGUUGUAGAUCUGAGUAAGGGUCGUGGCCAUCAUUGUCGGACGAGCGAGGGUAGCUAGUGGCAAGGUGCUUAUCGACAAGUGCCGAGGGCUGCCACCGUGUCUAUCCUCACGCGUUCUUACUUUAUUUUUUUCUUCAGUAUGUAAAGGUGGUAGCGAGGGCCACACUAGCUUCACCAAAGUCUAGCGGGGGUCGUCGGCCCCUCGCCAAUGUGUGGUGCCUGCCAAGCUGCCUCCGCCUAAAUUGGAACUACCACCGUCCUUCUCAGCUUCUCUUAUUUUUUAUUCUUCCUCUUUUCAUCCUGUUUUUUCAUAUUUUAAUUUUUUUAAAUCUUAAAAUCAAAUCUUCCAUUAAUUUUUUGUUUCUAAAAUGGUCAACGUGGCACCCUCAUCAGCACCUCUUCCUUUGAAAAAUGAGGCAAAUUGAACAGGACCGAUAUAGCAACUUGAUUGAAAUAAUUUGACAAAUAUUAAGACUUGAUUGCACUUUUCGAAUGUUUCAAGCUCAAUCACGUUUCCAAUAACUUCUAGGACUUUUGGUGCACUUAUCUUAUAAAAAUAUAAAGCAUUUAGAGAUUAUAGAUGAAGGGCAACAACUUCAAAAAAAAAAAAUCUUACGGAUGCGCGUUAAAGCGAGGCAAGGCAACAUACUCGACUUUAAACUGCAAUUCAGUGCUCUGCAUGUGAUAAAUGGACCACAACCGAAAAUGUCUUUUAGGACAUCAAGGUGAUGAAGAUAAGAGAUGGAUGGAUUUCAACGGAGCUUGAUUUACUAACACUAGAUAGACAUGGUUUUUGCUUAGGGACCAGCUAUUGACGCCUAAAAUUAGGGAUUUAAUCUGUUGAUCCCUAGCAUUAUAUAUAUAUAUAUAUAUAUAUAUAUAUAUAUAUAUAUAUAUAUAGUGAUUUUUGCAACAUCAUGGGAGAUUCAACUUGCCAAGAACAUUGAAGCCUUUGACAUUGAUGUAGAAGCAUUUGGCUUUGUCAAUCGAUUCAAGAUGAAUAUGUCAUUUAUGCAAGAGAGUUGUCAAUUAGGUGCACAAGUUGUCGAUUUCAUGGUUGGAAUUGGCUACUGAACAUUGAUACUCAAAGUUUUUGUCAAUCCGAGACUACUAAAAGACUCUAAAAAUUGAAGGUUGUUCUAGACAAUUUCCUCUGUUGUUUGGUGAUCUAUGAAGAAGACUAUUGGGCUACCCAAGGAGAUGAAUGAAUUUGGAAUCUAUUUGAAUUACUUUGCGUCUAGAUAAGUGUCAUUAGUAAGUCUUAAGCGUGUUGUAGGUUGCAAAGAGUCAAAGUUCAUGUCUCUAGAUGUUUUAAUGCAUUUUCUAGUUCUAGGUCUUUAUCAUGCACGGUUUUGAAUGAGAGAAAGAAGUGAGGAAUCCUCUUUUCGACUCUGACUCUCCCACUCCAGUCGUUGCUUUUGAUGAUACAAUAGGGAAGUUCUGCAAAAGCAAUAGGAAGAAUUGCUCAGAUACCGGUAAGUGAGGCUUAUUUGGGUCGUGUUAUAAAUGCCCUGGCCAAACCUAUUGAUGGUCGAGGUGAAAUUUACGCUUCUAAAUCUAGAUUAAUUGAAUCUCCUGCUCCAGGUAUUAUUUCGAGACAUUCCGUAUAUGAGCCUCUUCAAACUGGACUUAUUGCUAUUGGGGCCAAGAAUUCCUAUUGAGAAGCCCUUUCUUCCAUACGCAUGCUACGAUAUGGUUUGAAUGUUCUUAUCAUAGGAUAAGACAGACCAACACCUUUCUUCUUAUUGAAAACUAUCAAUCAUUCAUUUGAGCAAGGCCCCCGCUAUUUUGAUUCAAAAGGUGCUUUGCUUUCAAUAUCAGUGAAUUGGUGCUCUUUGAAAUCGUUCUGCCGGCGUUGCUCAUUGGUUAGGAACACCAUUCGCCUUUACUUUUGAGUCAGGUUGGUCGUAGAUCAGGACGGGUUGCGAACCGGACGGUACACAACUGAGUUUUGGAAGAUAUGGCACUAAAAGUUGUAGAGCUGGUCGUCUUUCAUAUCGAGCCAUUGAAGCAGCGUGUCGGGCUACAAUCGGACAAUUCCAUUGUGCUAUGAGUGGACAAUCCCGAAGAAAUGGUAAGAUAUGGGUAAGAGUUCUCGCAGAUCUCCCUAUUACCAGGAAACCUACAGAAGUCAGAAUGGGAAGAGGCAAGUGCUUUGGCACUUUACUUUGAAACAUCAGUGAAAGUCCUAACUCUUUAAUAUGUCUAUGCUUCCUCUCAACAACUCCAUUUUGAGGUGCAGUGUAAGGACAUGAUAAUUGUUGCUUUACUCCAAUAGAAGAGCAGAAUAUUCGGAAUGAUGUGGAGCAGAAUUCACUACCAUUAUCACUUCGAAGAAACUUGGUUGGUAACUGAUAGUGUCGGGUCAUCAAAGUCUAAAAGGACUGAAACUAGCACAUCGGCUUUAGACUUCAAAAAAUAAAAUCAAUGUAUAGCGUGUAAAGUCAUCUACAAAGCUAACAUAGUAAUGAGAACCAGAGAGAGAAGUUAGUUCAGGAGAUCCCCAACAAUCAUCAUGAAUUAACUCAAAGAAGCAAGAACUACUUUGAUUAGCAUUAGAAAAUGGCAGCUUGUGAUGUUUGCCAAGUUGACAUCCUAACCAUACAAUCUUAGAGGGAACCUUACUUCAAAAAGGUAGUAAUAUAAGUUUACUCUAAAGUUCAACAUUGGCAUAACUAGUAUGAGCUAGUCUAUGGUGCCAUAAUUCUGCAGAAGUUUUAGAGUGACUUGAAGUAAGAGCAGCAACAAAAAGAGCUUGAACUUACUCACUUUCCAUAACAUAUAGAUGGCUGUCCUUGGUCCUGAGGUAGUCAAUUUUUUCUUUUUUUAACCUGUACAGAGCUUUUAUCAAAUUACACACGUAAUCAGGGUGAGCUUUACUCUCGAACCCUUGUGGCUGCUCCAUGUAAAUUUCUCGAUCUAAUUCUCCAUGUAAGAAAGCAUUCUUCACAUCUAUCUGCCACAACUUCGAGGACUUGCUUGCUGUAAGCGCUAGCAGGACACGUACGGUUGUAAUCUUUGCCACUGGACUGAAAGUUUCAGGUAGGCAGGUGAUGUUGAAAAGCGGAGUCAGAGCUAUUGUCGACCGGUCUUAUUGAUCAAGAAAGCGUUGAAAGAGUGACUAAAGCCAUUACGAAUGACAAGUACACGCAAGAAUGACUCAAUCGAGUCCCGAGAGACAGAAAGAUUGACUAGACAAAAUGGCCAAUGACAGAAACAAAUACAUUGAAAGAAGGAGUCACCAACCGGAAUGACAUGUAUCCUCAGUCCUUACUCUUUCGAGAUAGGUUUUCUAGUUUCCAUGACAUUAAUGUUAGGAAGUUUCCGUGUCUUCAAUGUUUAGUCUAUAUCCUAGGAAAUAAUCCCUUUUAUAAUGAGGCGAAUUCUAAAAUAUAAGAAGAUGAAUUUUGAGUAAAUGAAUACUUGACAUUUUCCUCUAGGAGAAUAUCUUUUGAGAGUAAAUUAUUCUUGGUUUUUAUAUCCUUGGAAGGUGGAUUUUUCCUAGGUGGUGAGCCAAAAAAGCACUGUAUUCUUGGCUGGUGGUUUUCCUAUAGGCCUUGGUGGUCAGCUUCUUCAAUCCCAAAGUCUUGUAUCAUUGGUUAGUGAUUUCUGUAGGCAUUGGUCGUGAGCUAUGUUUAUCUCCAUCUUGAUCCUCAGUUGGCAGCACGUCCUGUACAGCUUGGUUCCGAUAGUCUUCUAUCAUUCAUUUUGCAAUUACCCAUCAACAUUCAUCCCCCAUAUACUCACUCAUCUUCAAUAAUCACUCAAAACAACACUCGCCCAUCCCGCAACUGCAUCAAGUUGGUAUCAAAGCUGAUGAUUGAACUCAUUUUGAGUGAUUUCUUCCAUUACCUAUCUUGCAUCUUUUCUCAUAUUUACAUUCAAAAAAAUAUAAUAGAAAGAAAGAAAUGUCUAGCCAUCAUCAACGUAGACCAAACAUUGAAUCUCCUAUAACAUGAGAAAGAAGCCUACGAGAUGUAGAAGUAAGAGAUUUAAGGAGGCAAGCGCAAUAACCACAAGAGUGUUUACUAUGCUUCAAACUUCGACAAAUGGAGAGAGACAUCAACCUCAUAGAGAAAUUACUAAAAGGUGGCAAAAGAUUUUUGGCUUAGUCUUCAACUAAAGGUAUGUAUUUCUUCAAAUGUAUUUCUUCGAACCAAGUCGAGAAUUUUUCAAAACAAGAGAAAGAAAUCGAAAAGCCCUUGGAGAUUGUUAAAGAGCCCCCAAAAGAAAUGGAUGGUGAAGAAGAUAGCAAGUUCUUCAAGUGUUACGAAUAUGGGCAUCUACAAGUGGAUUGUCCUAAACGGAAGGUUAUCACCAUUGAGGAAAUUGAGAAGAUUGACUUGGAACUUCAAGCGACUCAACAAGAUUCAUACCAUGAGAGUCCGAAUCGAAUGAGCAAGACCAGAUCAUAGAACAAAGUAAAGAAGGAGAGAUAUUGGUCAUCUACAUUUUAUAUGCCUCAAAGCAUUCUCUCUCAAAGUGUUAAUCAAUUGUCAAAAUAUAUUUGACAUAUUUUCAACUUUUCAGCAUGGUUUGAAUAAAUUUGUUCGUAUGAAGCUAAUGUAUUAUCUAGUUCGUUGGAGACGCCAUCCUAGAAAUGAAGCAAUGACAAUAUUGAGGAUAAAUCUUCAAUAACCUAAGGAGAUUGAUGUGGGAAAAUUGAGCUUUAUCGAUUGAUUCAAGUGGAAGAUGUCGAUUAUGCAGAAAAGUUGUUGCUUCAAUGGACAAGUUGCCUAUUUCAUAGUUGUUGAUCGGGUAUCAAGACAUCGAUACACAAGUUUAUUGUCAAUCCAAAAUUACUCAUAGACUAUCUAACAAUCGAAGCUGUUCUGGACAAUUUCCUUUGUUGUUUGGUGAUCUUCAAAGAUGUCCAUUAGACUGCCCAAGGAGAUGAACGAAUUUAGAGUCUAUUUUAAUUACUUUGCAUCUAAUCAAGUGUCAUUAGGGAGUUUUAAGUGUGUUGUAAUUUUCAAAGAGUCAAAGUUCAAGUUUCUAGAUGUUUUAAUGCAUUGUCUAGUUCUUAGGUCAUUAUUGUGCUUUUCUAAUUCCUAUAUCUUUAAUUAAUUAGAUAGUUUCUUGUGUUUAAUGGUUAGUCUAUUUCCUAUGUAAUUAUCCCUCUAUAUAAUAAGGCAAAUUCUUUAAUGUAAGACAGUGAAUUUGGAGUAUAUGAAUUAUUGAGAUUUUUCUUUUUAUGAGCGAAUAUCUUUAGAGUGAAUUUGUCACGCCUCGAUCUCCUGAGCGCAUGCCCAUCCCAGCUUGGUCGAUUAAAUAGUGACGUCCCAUGACGCAUCGCUGAUCCAUUUAUUUUAAUGCACAUGCAAAAGCAGAUAAAUAAUCCCCAAACAACAAUUCAACGAGAUAGAAAAGUAGGGUAAUAUUUUGAAAACCAACACUACAACACACUUAUAUAUAUAACAAACCGAGUCAUAUAUAUACAAUACAAACCACUCUAAUCACAAGUUUACAAAACAUGGGGCUUUUAACAACUACGGGUCCUCAUUCUGUAUGAAUAAAAAGAGCAGCAGAACUGUUGAAAUUGGGAUUCCAGAUCACCGAUCCACGACCAGAGGAUUGGCAAGUUUCAUAUGCUUCUCAUCAUCUAAUUUAGCAGAUAAGGUCUGUUUUGCUUGGAUCAAGUUAAAAUACUCUUCCACUGUGUCAAAUGCAAUUUUGGUGAAGCAAAAUCGUCGAUGAAAAUGCUUUGAUGGAGCCUCAUUAGUUUUUACCGUGACAUGCAGGGAUAUGAUCCACAUAUAAUUCCUAAGUUAUUCAACAGAAUAAUGCCUGUGACUUCGAAUUUUUCGGCGACUGAUUCUCCAUUAUUUGAUAUAUAAUUACUUGGUCACUCAACCAUCGUAGUUUCUCAAUUAAUGCAUGCAGCCUCACAUGCAAUCCCUUUUGUGACGAUCGUCAAGCAGGAUCCACGCAAAGACAUUUAGAAAAUGUUUGAUCCGGCGUAAUGGCACUUACAGACAAUACGAGUACUUUUCAUGAUUACUGUGACAAUAGUUUUCUUAAUAAGCAAAAUCAUACUGAACUGAUAAAAGAGCUUGAAACUGGAGGUACUGGGACUUCAACAGCUCCUUCCAACAUCUGAGUGAUUUUCUUCAUGGUUGGCCUCAAAGACGGGUCUUCCUGGAUGCACCACAAUGCUGUCAUUACAAAUCUUCCCACCCUCUUUAUGUCACUCGAUGCCUCCUCAUCGCUCUCCACUAGCGUAAGUACGCUCCCAUCGUGGUAGCAAUCAUAUGCCCAGUCAACCAGCACAAUUUGAGCUUCAAUUUCUGAUUCCGGCUUGUAGUUCUUUCUGCAGUAGAUGAGCUCUACCAACAAAAUGCCGAAGCUAUAAACGUCUACCUUGCUGAAAUAGGCAUAUUCCUAAACCAUUCUGGCGCUAAUAACCUCUGGUUCCUCUACUCCCGUGUGUUCGUGUUUGGUUGCCAUCAGAGCUUAGCUACUCAACCUAUACGAAGCCAUGAGAAGAAUAUUUUGCGGCUUGAUGUCACAGUGGAUUAUAUGCCUGGUGCAAUCAUCGUGCAAGUAAGAGAGGCCCCGUGCAACAUCGCAGGCAAUUUCUAUUCUUCUGUACCAGCUGGGCCUUGAAGCGCCAACACUCCUGAUCAAUCCCCCCCCCCCCCGCGACCCGCAAAACGUACACAGCACACCUAGCACCACCCCGGCAACUGACACGUCAGCACACGCUCACCGCACUGUCCGGUGUUCUCUCUCCAUUGUCGUCUUCCGCAGGGAAAUAUUGAAAUGCAGGAGAUGGCUACGUCUAUCCACGAGAAAUCUGCUGCUUUGUUUCGUGCGAUGGAGGUUCUCCCCGUGCAAACAAUUACCUCCUCCUUCUCCUUCUUCUUCCUUGUGCUCUGAAGCACGCCGCGAGGAAUGUUCUCGACGUGAGCGGCGUACUCCACACGAUUGUGAACCGUGUCAUUGGGGUGAUCUAAUGCUUGCUGCUUAGACUGCAAUAGUGUCUUGUGCAGCUUGGAGAGGAAUGAUAUGGAUGUCACGCCAGCCAAUAUAGAAGAAAAAUAUUAAAAGAUAUUUAAAGCUAAAUGUUGGAUGUUGCAAAUAAACUCUAAUAAGUUGUUUUAGAAACUUUACAAAAAUAAAAUUAGGGAAAAAGAAUACGAAAACUUAAAGAGAAAAUCAUGCUUCAGAAUCGACUCCAUCAAUUUUUGCAUUCAGCUACUUCAUUUCAUAGCCAUAGCUGGUGCUGGUUCUUAAGCUUCCAUGGCGACGAGAUCUCUAUUCUUGCUCAAAUCCGCCAUUCACUAGAGGUUCACCACCUCGUGGCCAAAGGCCAAACACCGCUUCCUCCUUCGAUCUUCUUUGACGAUGUGGGCUAUAAUCAUUGUCUCAGAUAGUGCCAGGGUCAUCAUUUGUCGAGAUCUGAGCAAGGGUUGCAGCCGUAAUUGUCGGGGGAGCGAGAGUAGCUAGUGGGAAGGUCCCUGUUGAUGAGUGACGUGGGUGGCUCACUUGUCUCCCACACGCUUACUUUAUUUUUAUUUUCAAAAUGCGAAGGUGGUAGUACACGUAGCACCGACAUACGACACACGACACGACACGUGAUAAUCAUUUCUUAAAAGAAUUCCGACACGUUUCGACAUGUUAAAUAUUAAAUAAAUAUUUUUAUAUGUACAUGAUUAAUUAUUAUAUUUAAAUUAAUUUAUUGAAAUUCAUAAAUAAAUAAACAAUAAAAAGAGCCUAUAAUAACUCUAUACCAAUAACAUUAAUAAAUUUAUUCAUAAAAAAAUUGGAAAGACAUUUUUUUACUUUAACAAAAGUUAUCGAUGAAAUAAAUAACUAAUGAAAUAUUAGAGUCAAAAUAAAUUUACAUUUUUCUACGACGAUCCAAAUUUAUCAUUAUUUAAUAUCUAGUGCUUUUUUUUUCGAAGUAACUUUUUAACCUGUUUAUUUAUUUAUUUUUAGCCUUAUCAUGUAUUAAUAAAGUUAUUUAAUGUUUAAUAUUUCUUUUUAGGGUUAAAUGGGUCCCACCCAUUUAUUUCAGCAGCGUUUUCUUCCCCCACCCCCACCCACCCUUGCGCCUGUCACUUUCCCUGCACAAGGCUUUCUUUCCCCAUAAGCCUCAUCUCUCUCCUUUCUAUUCUUCCUAAAAACAGCCCGAAGGGCAAAAACCCUAGCAAUCACCUUCUUUCUCCUCUCCCUUUGCUCGGUCUCCACCUCACUCGUUGCUGCCUCGCCUCCGCUCUCUCCUUUGCGGUCUAGCCUUGCAUCCAGCCCUCCAUCACGGCGUUGUGGUUUUCCAUCUCGGCAUUGUAGACAGCGGUUGCAGCCGACCAAGAUGAUUGAGAAGGCUUCUCGAUGUAGUCGGCGGUUGCAGCCUUCUCCAUGUUGUAGUCGGCAUUGCAGUCGACGGUCGCAACCCUCCCUCGCCGUCGCUUGCAGCGUCACCUCGGCACCCUCACCCUUGCCUCCACCCUCCAUCACCUUCUUCCCUUCGCACCUGCAGAUCUGCCCACAAACCUUUGGACAUGCUCUGACGCGUGUGUUGAAAAGAGUUGACCAUGUGUCGAAAACUCCGACACGUGUUGACCACAUGUCCAAGCGUGUCUGAGCGUGUCCAAGCGUGUCAGAGUGUUCGACACGACAUGGAGGCUCUUUGAACGUAUCUGUGCUUCCUUGGUGGUAGCAAGGGCCACAAUAGCUUACCUAAGUCUGGUGCGGGACGUUGGCCCCUCACUAAUGCAUGGGUGGUCGUUGAGCCGCCACCACCUUUACUGCAUCUAUGCCGUCCUUCUUAGCUUCUCCCGUGCUUGAUUCUUCUUCUUCUUCUUUUUUUUUUUCAAUUUUUUAAUUCAAUUUUUUUAUUUUUCUAAAAUCUCAAAAUCAAUUAUUUUUCUUUUUUAUUUCGUGUAUUUUUUUAAUAUCUAACGUGGCAACUUCAUCAACACAUCUUUCUUUAAAAAAUGGUAAAAAAAAAGUCGCAUCAACUUUUUCUGAUAACUAAAUGGGAUGGAGUUAAUGUAGAAACUUGAGUGAACCGAUUUGAAAUGUUUUAAGACUUUAUUGUACUUUUUUUUAAAAAAAAAAGUUUAAGGAUUCGAUUAUACUUUUAUAAUAAGUUUUAGGACAUGUAAUACGCUAAUACCAUAAAAAUAUAGAGCAUUUAGAGCUUAUAAAGGAUCAAUGGAGUAUCACGUCAAUAAUUAAAUAAAAAUCUUGUGGACGCCCGUUGGAGCAUGGAAACCUAACAUACUCCACUUUAAACUUUGAUUCUAUGCUCGGUAAACAGACCAAGACCGGAUACCUCUUGGGAUGUCAAGGUGAUGAAGAUUAGAGAUAAAAGAACUUGAAUGGAGCUUGGUUUACUCACAAAUUGGGCUGGAUAGACACGGCUCUUGCUUGGGCCAUCACUGUUGAUAUCUAAAUUUUUGCCUAUUAUACUUUUCAAAACAUUUUCAUAAAAUUAGGGAUUUAAUUUAUUAACCUUUAGCAACUAACAGUUAUGCUUCUCCCUACAGUUCAAAGCAAUUAAGGGGAUCGGGGUUUUUGCUACAUCGUGGGAGUUCAAAUUGGCGAGAACAUUGAAGCCUUCAACAUCAUUUUCUUCACCUCGUUUUUUCAUCUUGGGGAUUAAUUUUAGUGACGAGAGACACCUCGUAUUUUUACAGUGUUUACGUGCAAUAAAUUUCUACUUCGCCGCUAGUAAGAUUUGAACUAUUUCGGCAGCAUGCUGGGGUUAAAAUCCCUCUACUGACAGUUCCCUUUGCUGGGCGAUAUGUAAUUCCAUUAUAAAACUUUCUAAACCCGUGUUAUGCCCUAACCUUAACAUGGAGUAAUUACCCUUCCUCUUAAACUUUCUAUCAUAUCCGAAUAAAAUAAAAUAAAAUAAUUUGCUUCGCCAGGUGCAUUAAGAGCAUUUAUCUACUUCCAUAAAAUUAGUGCGAGUAGACUAUUCCAAAGCGAAACAAACAAAAGACAAAGACCUUGACCCAAACAUCAUCCGUCCUAUCUAAUACAAAUGACAUGAGAAUAACGAACGGCCAUAGCUGACAAAAACAACUAACCCUUUAAGCUUCUGAUGCAAAUCGAUGUUAGGUUUGGAUCUUUAGGGUCUUUCCCAAUGAUUUUAUCCUCAAUUUUCUCGAACCAUAUAGCCAACAAAAGAGCUCCUCUUCCCAUUUCCCGGAACCCGAAGGCGAACUUGCCUAACGGAGAAAGCCAGGAAGAGUUCCUGUCAUUCGCUGUUAAGGAGGAGCCAGCUUUGGCAGAAAGUGGAAGUGGAACGAGUAUUGGAAGGAUUUCUAACAUCACUGAAGCUGAUGGAAGUAAUUUGAAGGUGAAACACUCAACUCAUGUAAGGAAGAGAAGAAAAUAUAUAGGCAUGUAGAUUUAUUUCGCCUUAACAAAAAAAAAUUAUAAGACUUCCUUAUUUAUAGACAUGUUACAUAACCUUUACUCUUCCUAGUAGAAGAAGCUAGCGUUCUAUAUAAGAUCUAUAAGAUCUAGAAACUAAUAAAACAAUCACCAUAUCUCACCUUAUCUCUAAAAACAAUUACUAUUUCUAAAAACAAUCACCACACCUAGAAAUAAGAGUAGACUCAUUAAAGAUAACGCUACAAUUAUGACUCUUUUUCAAUGCGGGUACCAAACAGUUAUUUGUACCAAUGAAUUUGGUUUAAUUUCUAAUACUCCCCCUUAAACCAAAUUCUCUUCCAUCGAUCAUUCCAAGCAGUCUCUUGAACUUUUGCAAAAGUAUCAAUCUAGAGAGAUUUGGUAAAAAAUUUUGCUGCUUGAUCUCCUGUCUUCACAUGCAACACUUCAACCUCAUUCUCUUUAACAUGUUCUCAAAUGAAUUGAUAUCAAGCAUCGAUAUGUUUAUUUUGUUCAUGAAAAUUUGGAUUUUUCACUAAUGCAAUAACAUAAACGUUAUCAACAAAAAUCCCAGUUGCUUUCUUCUGCUCCAUAAGAAUAUCUUUGAGUAGUCUUCUCAAUCAAAUUGCAUGACAAACACAUAAGGAUAUAGCUAUAUAUUUAGCUUUGCAUGUCGGUAGGGUAACACUAGGUUGCUUCUUUGAUGACCACGUGAAUGCAGUGUCACAUAAGAAACAUACAAAGCUUGUAGUGCUCUUUCGAUUUUCGAUAUCUCCACCAUAAUCACUAUCUGAUUAAGCUCUAAGUUGAAAGGAUCAAAGCAAAAGUAGUGUAGGCCAUGAGAAGUAGUACCUUUGAUGUACCAAAGUAUCCUCUUUACAGCUUUAAGAUGAGAUGACUUUGGCUUCUCCAUAUAUCAACUCACAAUUCUAACACUAUACACAAUAUUAGGUCUUGUGCAUGUCAAGUAUUUCAAACUCUCAAUCAAGCUUCUAUAAUAUGUCGAACCAACAUCAACACCGUCAUCAAACUUUGAAAGCUUGGCUCCACACUCCAUUGGUGUAUUGACCGAAGUACAAUUCUUCAUGUUGAAUUUUUCAAGGAUAUAUUCUACAUAUCCUUUUUGGGCAAUAAAAAUCCCCUAGGCACUUUGCUUCACUUCGAUCCAAGGAAAUAAUUCAUGAGACCAUUAUCGGUCAUCUCAAAUUCUUUCACUAUCGAUGCCUUAAAAGCAUCAAUCAUUUCCAGAUUAUUUCCUAUAAAAGCAAUGUCAUCAACAUAUAAACAGGCGAGAAGAACAUCACAUUUUUCUUUCUUCAAACAAAGUGCAUGUUCAUAUGGACAUUAAGAACAUCCAUUCACCGUGAAAUAUGCAUUGAUUCUGGAUUCCAUGCUCCCAGUGCUUGUUUAAGUCCAUAUAGAGCUUUCUUCAACUUUAACUCUUUGAUGAUAUGACCUUUGACAACAAACCCCUCAAGUUGUUCAACAUAAAUCUCUUCUUCAAGGAUGUCAUUAAAAAAUGCCGAUUUGACAUACAUUUGAUAAAUUUGCCAAUCAUUUUGAGCAGCGAUAGAAAUAAUCAAUUUAAUUGCUUCCAUGUAGAUGACAGAGGCAAAAACUUCAUCAUAGUCGAUUCGAGCUUUUUGCUUCUACCCCUUCGCAACUAAUCUAGCCUUGUAUCUUGUCACUUCUCCUUUCUCGUUCUCCUUCGCCUUGUAUACCCAUUUGACUCCAAUCGAUUUCUUGUCCUUUGGUAGAUCAACAAGCUCCCAUGUUUGAUUCUUCUCAAUGGCUUCAAUUUCUCCAUUCAUGGCUUUUCUCCAUUUUUCUUCUUUGGCCACAUCAUCAUAGACAAGUGGUUCACAAUCUGCAAGAAGACAUACAAGGUGAACCUCGUUAGUAGCUUCAUAAAUAUCAGACAAUCUCCUUGAUCUUGGCACUAGAGGUUUAUCGACAUCAUUUGAAGAGGUAGGUGAUGAUGAACUUGAAGAAGAUACUAGAGAAGAAGGUGUAGAAUGAUCUUUCAACUCCGUUUGAUCGAUAUCACCACGAGCAUUCACUUCUUCUUUUUGAUUGUCUUCCCAUGAGCCAUCUUCAUCGAACUUGACAUCUCUGCUUAUAUACACUUUCAAAGUGUUAGGAUCAAAUAAACGGUAGGCUUUGGAUGAGGAGUCAUACCCAAUAAAGAUUAGCUAUUUGCUCUUGUCUUCUAGCUUUGAUCUUUUCUGGUCUAGGACACGAGCAUAGGCAAUGCUCCCGAAAAUUCUUAAGUGUGAAACACUUACUGUUCUCCCAGUCCAUGCUUCCUGUGAAGUUACUCCUUUAAUUCCAUAUGUGGGAUAUCUAUUUUGAAGAUAGACCAUACAUGAAACAACUUCAGCCCAAAGCCCCUUGGGCAAAUUUUUGCUCUUCAACAUGCUUCGAACCGUGCUAAGAAUGAUUCUACUUUUUUCAUUCAGCUAUACCAUUUUGUUGAGGAAAAUACGGAGCCAUCAAGAAACACCGAAUACCAUGAUCCUCACAGAAUUUGUUGAAUAUAGCUGAGGUGAAUUCUCUGCCACAAUCAAUUCUUAAAGCUUUGAUAAAACAAUCGCUCUCCUUCUCAGUUAGGUUUUGAAUUGUUUGAAAGUAUCAAACACUUAUGUUUUUUCUUUCAAAAAAUACACCCAAGUUUUCAGAGUAAAAUCAUCAAUAAAAGUAACAAAAUAUCGAUGAUUACCAUAUGAGUGAGGAGUGAUUGGGCCACACACAUCAGAAUGAAUCAACUCAAGCGGCUUCUUCACUCGAUAAGUCAUUUCCUUCAGAAAGCUAGUUCUAGAAGAUUUACCAAUAACAUACCCUUCACAUAAUUCAUCGGGAUCAUCAAUAUGUGGUAAGCCAUAAACUAUCUUCUUGCAAGAAAGCAAAUUGAGUCCGCCAAAAUUCAAAUGGCCAAACCUUAAAUGCCACAACCAUGAAGGAUUAUCUAUGCAUGCCUUCAGACAUCAAUACGUAUCAUUAUUUAUAUUGAGAGUAAACAUCCUGUUCUUCGACAUCUUCACAUUCACAAUCAAUCCAUUAUUCCUAUCUCUUAGCAUAAGACUAAGAUCUUUCAUAUGAACAGUAUAGCCAUUCUCCAAAAGCUAUUCCAAACUCAAAAUAUUGCUUGACAUUUUCGGGACAUAAUAAAUAUUAGUAAUAAACCGACGUGCACCAUUUUUCAAGUGAAUCAGAAUUGUACCUUUGCCUUUGACAAGAAUUUUGGAGUUGUCACCAAAAGAGACUUUACCUUUAAUUGUCUCAUCUAAUUUGUUAAACAUCUCUUUUCUCCCAAACUUGUGAUUGCUUGCGCUAGUAUCCAAAUACCAUGUAUCAGUUUGGCCUCCUUCAUUUCCGCUACUUUCCUUGUUCCAAUUGUCAAAAGCAUAAUGGCCAAGUUUAUCACAAUGAUAACAUCAAAUUUUAGAUUUAUCAUGCCAUUGGCCUAUCGAGUUCUUUCCUUUUCCAUGAACACGUCUUUGAUAUUGGUAGCUACCAUCACUUGGAGCAACAUCUCCUCUACUUCGUCCACGACCUCUUCCUUGAAAGCAACCUCAGCCUCAACCACGAUCACAAUCUUGGUUUGUCCUACGAAUUUGUGUGAGUUCUCUUAUUUGUUCCUUCUCAUCUCGGAUGGUCAACCACGUUUGGAGAACUUCCUCCACUAGUUCAAUCUUUUUUCUUCUGAAUCUUUCUUGACGAGCUUGUCAUGAACCCAUAAUCUUAUCGAUCGUAAUGGCAUCCAAAUCUCUGGAUUCUUCAAUUGCAACAGCAAUGUGGUUGUACUUCUUGUCUAAGGACUGAAAUAUUUUCUUGGCAACAUGAACUUAUGAAAUGUCUUCUCCAUUUCUUUUCAUCUAGUUGAUAAUCCCAAAACUCUUGUGAAAUAAUCAGAAAUCGAUUCAAAUUCUUUCAUAUGAAUUACCUCGAAUUUGCCUCUCAAGGUUUGAAGGUGAAUCUUCUAAACUUUUUGUACUCCUUGAUGUGUAUUGUGAAGAAUCUCCCAUGCCUCCUUAGCAAUGAUGGCAUUUGACACAUUUUCAAACAUAGAAUCAUCUAAAGCUUGAUACAUGUUUGACAGGGCAUAUUGAUCUUUCGAACAAACCUUCUCCAAGGCAUUCAUCUGGUUCUAGUUUAAGGUAGCUUCAUCCUCUAGUUCAUCAUAACCAGUGUUGACAAGUUCUCACAUGCCGUAGGGGCUGAGUAGAGCUUUCAUUCUAAUAGCCCAGUUAUCAUAGUUGUCUUGGUAAGAUGAGGGUAUUGAAGAGGAAGCUGAUUGUUUGUUGAUGCCAUAAUCACAAACCGUAGGCUCUUAUACCAAUUUGCUGGAAGUAAUUUGAAUGUGAAACGCUCACAAUUCAAACAAGGAAGAGAAGAAGAUAUAUAGGCAUGUAGAUUUAUUUCGCCUUAACAAAACACAAUUACAAGACUCCCAUAUUUAUAAACUUGUUACAUGACCUUUACUCUUCCUAGUAGAAAAAGCUAAUGUUCCAGAUAAGAUCUAGAAACUAAUAAAAUGAUCACCAUAUCUCACAUUAUCUCUAAAAACAAUCACUACACCUAAAAAUAGAAUUAGACUCAUUAUAGAUAAUGAUGAAUAGACUUAUUAAAGAUAACAUUGCAAUUAUGACUCUUUUUCAAUGUGGGUACAGGACAGUUGUCUGUACCAAUAAAUUUGGUUUAAUUUCUAACAAUAACCACGUUAGAUGAAACUUGCGUUCUCCUUGAGUUGAGCUACUUCAGCCUUAUGAACGAAAUCAGCAUUCUUUAUAGAUUUCCACUUUGUAUCCUACUUUUGUCUCUCCCACAGCUAGUUUGAACCAAAUUUGUGGACAGACUUUGCUCAUGUCAACACGUAUAUCUAGAAUUAUCUUAUGAUAGUAUUCCUUGUUUUUGUUUCUUUUUUGUUGAAGCAUAUUAUUGGUUCUAUUAACAUAUUCAGUAAAGUUUACGAAAAAUUAUCUUAUAAUAGUAUCACUGUUGUUAAAAUUUUCUGAUAAUAACAUAUUUGUAAAUUUAUUUUUCCUCAUUUUUUUUUCAUUUUUCCCUUUCUUAUUGAAAUCAAUGGUGAAAGAAAAUUUUCAAAAAUUGAAAUACAGCGAGUCUGCACCACUUGCCGCGUUCCCGAUAUUUUCCAAAGAAAAGCAUGAAUUUGGAAGACUUUGACCAAACGCGGUACAUGUUAAUUUGGAGAUUUUAUGAGUUAUGGAGAACAAGUCAGGGCUCGCAGUUGAUUCAAUCCCUACGAAUUCAAACCGAUUACUGAGUUACUUUGUCGAAAUUGUGUUUCAAUCAUAAUCGUAGAUAUGCUCCCACGCACUUGGAAAUUUGCUUUGUCGUCCUGCAUCUGGCAUGCACUCAAUGAUUGCGGACUGUGGUCCAUGGCAUUGUGGUGAUUUAAUGCUUAGACUGGGAUGGGUCUUUGUGCAACUUGAAAAGGAAUGGUUACAGCAACGAUGAAUGAACAUAAUUCUACAAAAAUUCUACUAAAAUUUGCAUGUAGUAUUUCCGGGUUUAGAAACUCCUAUAUGUUUGAUUAAAUGGAUGUCGUGGUGACAUGACAAUAUCUUGUUCUCAUGGACUUAACGACAUUAUGCAAAAUUACCACAUCUAAAAGCUAUUUGGUUUACAUCAUGAUCCAAUUGCACUUUUGUAAUAUGUUUAGAACUUUCGGUAUAUUUAUCCUCUAAAAAUAUAGAGCAUUUAGAGCUUAUAGAUGAUCAAUGAGCUGUCAACAACUUUAAAAAGAUCUUAUGGAUGCCCAUUGGAGAGAGGUAACGUAAAUACUGACCUUAAAUUUCGAUUAGUGCUCUGUAUCUAAUAAAUGAACCACAAACAAAUACCUUCUAGGACAUCAAGAUGAUGAAGAUUUGAGAUGGAUGGAUUUGAACAGAGCUUGGUUUACUCACACUGGCUUGACAUGAUUUUUGCUUGGGGACUCACUGUUGACACCUAAAAUUAGGGAUUCGAUCUAUUGAUCCUUAGCCAAAAAGCUUUGCACUAUAUUUCAUAGCCAAUUAAGGGGACUGUUAUUUUCGCUACACCAAGGGAGACUCAACUUCAUGAGAGCAUUGAAGCGUUUGAUAUCAUUUUCUCUCACACAUCAUAAACACAGUGGUUUACAAAUAUUCACCUUGGGGAUUAUUUUUAGUUCUAAUUUGCAUCAUCAAAAAUCCAAAUAAUUUAACGUGAACCAACCACAUGAAGAUGGAAUUGGGCCACAUGCUCUUGAAUUGAGCGUGCAUUGUUCGGAGAUCUUAAUAUUGGAGGAACAAGGAGGAAGUAUAUGCAUUGGAUGGAAUGGCUUUAUGCAUGCAUGCAAUGGGAACGAGCUCCUAAUUGUCUAAUAAAUGAGGGCUUUAAUGUGAGCUUAUGCUGAAAUGUGCUAAUGGUGUUGAAGAUCGUGUUUCAGCGUGUAGUAUUCAUUGAAUAGUCGGAUAAUGAAAAUAUAUCUAUUGCCGCGGCGCUGUAGAUGAAAUCAUACUGUACUUCUGUUAAUAUGGCAAAGAAAAGAAUACCUUUCACUCAGGAAAAAUUAUCACUUGCAUGAUUUUAAACAUGACAAUGCUCGGCCAAAGUGAUAAUAUUUCUUAUCAUCAACACAAACUAAAACUUAAUAAAAUCAAUUUGUAAAAGCAUCAGUGUGACAAAAUUUUAUUGACUAUUUCAAAAACAAAAUCGAGAAAAUGGUGCGCGUUGCAAAGUGCGAGUUUCUCGCCAGUGUAACAAAUGGACAAGUAACCUAAACUUGGAUAUUUGAUCAUUUGAUAUUUCGUUUAAUUCAAUCCUCUCCCUUCAAAUAAACUUUAGGACGUUCUAUAUUGGGUUUCUGGGGUUAACUUUUAACCUUCAUGUUAAUGAGUUCAAAUCCGCGCACCUAUAUUGCAUAAUAUGUGAUAUGAAUUCGAACCCAUUAGGCUUCUGGUGCAUAUUCAUUGUUCGAUUUUUGAUCUUCGGGAUCCGUGCCUUUGUCUUGUCUUGGUAUAUUUUCAGUUUCGUCCUGUUUGAACCUGUUAUCGAAUGGCAUUGAUUGUAGCUCAUCGAGUUAUUUAUACAAGAUCUCCGUUGACCAUUUUGGAAGAGAAUACCUAUGCUUAAAAAAUUGUCUGCAUGGUGUCGCAUCUCGCAAUUUCUCAACGGAUGAGUCAAGAAAGUUCGUUUGAUUAUGCUUCCAACUACGUGACUUAUAGACUGUGAUUUCUUUGGUCUAUAAGAAGUAGGUUGCCAAAAGGAAGUGAGAGUCCCUUCUGUAUGAUAAAAUUAGCAGCUGAACUGUUGAAAUUGGGAUUUCCAGGCACCGAUCCACGCCUUGAGGAUCAGCAAGUUUCAUGCGGUUCUCAUCAUCUAAUUUAGCAGACAAGAUCUGUUUUGCUUGGAUCAAGUGAAAACACUGUUCUAGUGCGUCGAAUGCAAUUUUGAUGAAGCAAUAUUGUCGAUGAAAAUGCUUUAAUGCAGCCACGUUAGUUUUUCCAUGACACACAGGAAUAUGAUCCACGGAGAAUUCCUAAGAGAGUCAACACAGUAAUGCCCAUGACUUCAAAUUUUUUAGUGAUGAUUUUGCAUCAUUUGAUAUAGUUAUUUGACCAGUCAACAAUCUAAAUCUCUCUUCAAAAUGGCAUGUGGUCUCGCUUGCAAUCCCUUUUGCUAACAAUCGUCAACCCGUUCUCUCUUGGAUACAUGCAAGGGAAUGUUAAGCUUGAGUAAGAUUUAGCUUAUUUAAGCGGGAUUCAUGUGAACUCAUUAUGAAAAAUUUUAUUCUGGCGUAAUAGCAAUUACGAACGAUACAAAUACUUUUCACGAUUACAAAGACACCAGUUAUCUUAAUAAAAAAAUCAUAUUAAACUGAUAAAAGAGCUUGGAUCUGGAGGGACUGAGACUUCAACAGCUCCUUACAACAUCUGAGUGAUUUUCUUCAUGUUUGGCCUCAAUGCCGGGUCUUCCAGGAUGCACCACCACAAUCCUGCCAUCACAAAUCUUCUCACCCUCCUCAUGUCGCUUGAUGCCUACUCAUCACUCUCCACUAGCUGAAGUAUGCUCUCAUUGUGGUAGCAGUCAUACACCCAGUCCACCAGCACAAUUCGAAUUAUCUAUCCUUACCUUGAUCAGAGCUUUUCCACCGACAUUAGUAUCUAUCAUACCAUUUAAAAGAGGGAUCUUCUUUUUCCAGCAUUUUCCAUUCUAGAAAACAGCGACCGUGCAAAACAAUCAACCAAGCAAGCCUCUCGGCACCAGUCCUCAGUUUGUGACGCACUAAUCUCAUAAACUGACUGUGGCCAGUCCGUAUUGAGCAUGUCACGCAAAGUAAACUGGUCUUUUUCAAGCCUAUUUCCAUCACAACUCUGUGAUACGAAGUCAUGUAUGCAUCCAUUCAUCUCAAUCGUCGAAUCUAACAAAGUAUAUCUAGGUGGGCAGUGGCAUUGGGGCCUCUGAAUUUGAUUGUCUCCACGAGUACAGUAGCUGGUGAAGCCAUAAGCUCAGUUCAUCCUCGCGCUUAUAUUUGAAAGGACCAAGGAAGAUUAUGAUGCUAGUAAGAACACCUUGAGAGGGUGAAUAGGUGUUUGAAAUGAAUCUUGACAAAUAAUUGCGGAAUAAAUAAGUUGCCAGCAAAGUAUGGAUGAAGAACAUAAUCAUUUUUGCGAAACACCAUAAUUUUGGUAGAUAUUUAGAAUAUACUAUGUGAUGGAACAGACUUCUGAGAUAACCUGUAAUAGUGUAACAGAAUUAAGUAAAUAGAUAAGAAAUAAGAGAAUUGUACAUAGAUUUUAUAGUGAUUCGGCUUAAAUCAAGCCUACGUUCGCUCUCCCACACUGAGAGCUUACUGGCCGGAUGCUACUAUAUAAUCAACAAGAAAUUACAACUUUAAGUACAAACACUUAGUGAUAGAUCACACUAUUUCACUAAGUCACUUUUUUGGUAUUUCUCUCACAAUCACAAACGUUUAAGCUCAUGAAAGGCAAGUAUAUCAUCGAAGUUCGCUCAAACAUUGAAAUUCUAGAUUGUAUGUUUCGUCUCUUACUUGCUCCUCAGUUUUUGGUCUCCUUAAAUACUCCUCCAAUUCCAAACUAGCCGUUGGACAUUAUCUAUAGGAUUUUUUUUCCAAUCGACCCACUGGACAUAUCUAUAUCAAGAAGAUUUGGUAGCCGUUGAGUGACAAAAUAAAAUCCCUAAUUAAUUCUAAUCGUCCAUACAAACAAAAUCUUGGUUUCAUAAGUAGAGCUUUUCUUUAGAAAGUUCUUCUCUUCAGGACCCAAUUGUCAAUCAAUUAGAUUGAGUUAAUUAAAUUUAUCUUGAUGUAGAAUACAAACCAGAUCACUAGUCGUUAUACGUUUUGGGCUUAUGUCUCAUUCUAUCAAGUUGUCUCAUUUUGAACUUGUUACAGUCUGAACCUGUUACGUUAUAAACUUUGUCAUGUUUUGGAUUUGUGCCUCAUUCUAUAUGUAAAGUCUGAGUAUGUUCCAUCUAUACAUAAAGUCUAUGUGUAUUUCAUUUGAAGUAGACUACAAUCUGGACAUGAGUCUAAACAUAUUCAUCAUUAGAGUCUACUUCUAAACAUAUUUAACCUUAAGGUCUCGAUAUAGAUGAAUAAGUUCAACUUUAGCAUGGAGUUUAUCUUUUGGUUCUUCCAAGUCUAAUCUUUGAUAAUAUCCUUUACACGCUCCAUCAUCUGCAUAGUCUAUUGCUCAAUCAUUAAACAAGUUAGUAGCCUUUGAUAUGUCUUGUCAUCUUCAUAACAGUACAGGAGAUUUUUCUAAUAAUCUCCCCUUUUUUUAUGAUGACAAAACAAUAUCUGAAUAUGCAGAUGUAUAAACACGCUUUUAAAGAUAUUAAUAAAUCAUUACAAUUUUAAAUAAUGUAAUUCAAAUUAAAAGAAAACAAAUAGAUUGAGCAUAACAAUAUAUAGAAAUACAAUCGUAGCUCAAUAUUAUGCAAUAAAUAAUAUCAACCAAUUAACUUAUAUGCAUAUUUAUAUUCUCUCCCCAUUUUUGUCAUAAUCAAAAAACGAUAACAAUUAAAAGGGUAUCACAUAGAAAAUAUAAAAUUCACCUCAAAUUCACAAAUUGUGUUUCAAAAUAUCUUCAAAACAUAUAUAAUUCACUUAACUUUUUUUCAUCAUAAAAUGAUAAUGUAAGUAAGAGAUUUGAUGAUGACAGAUAGAUGAGCUUGAUAAAAGAUGCAUUAACCAAAUUUUGUAGAACUUAACAAGUUCUAACACAUUUAACUUUUCUUUCCUUUCAUAAUAAUUAAGAUUAUGAUCAAUUCAAAAAGAUUUUUUCAUACUUGAUCAAUGCUCCUCCUCAAUAUGAUGCAUUUUUUGAGAUGAUCACGAUUCUCCCCAUUUCUUUUGGAUUCACUUUCUCCCCCUAUCACCAUGACAAUAUUUGCAAAUAGCACUAAUUGUGGCUUGUGCAUGUUGAAUAUAAUAUUUUUCCAUUGUUUUGCUCUUAGCAACAACAUCCGCAUCGAUUGUUUGCUUUUUGAAAUUCACGGUAGAGAUUUGUCUUCUUCAAUCAAGCUUGUCUCGAAUUUAAUCUGCAUAUACUCAACAAACUUUUUGCACAAAUACACCGUUAUAAUAUCUAUGUAAUAUAUAAUGUCAUUUCUUCAAAUAAAUAAAUUGAAUAGCAUAUAUAAGAUUAUCACAUAUUUAAAUUCAAAGCUACUCAACUUUUUGCACGACACAUUAGGGACCUACUGUUGACGCCUAAAAAUUUCAUUAAUCAGGUUUUACUUUUGUUUUUAUUUAUUUUAUUUUAUCUUUUUCGGAUGAUUAAAAAAAAAAGAAGAAGAAAGAAGAGAAGCAGCCUCCACAUGGGCCCUCGGCCCAUUUUCGCCUCAGCCCGGCCCCGCCAGGUCGUCUCCUUCCUCGAGCCUCUGCAGAGCACGCGAGGGGGGGCGCCUACAAAUUUGCUAGAAAAUAGCUAGUACCAUAGACAGUUUGAAAAGAUCAUGAAAAAAUUAAACCAGCUACAGGAGCAAGAUCCCAUGGACCUGUCCAAUGACGCCGGCAUUGAGAUCCCUGAAAAACUCAAAGCACCUGAAUGCGAAAGGUAUGCUGAUACCUCCCGCCCAGAGACCUACUUGCAGGCCUACCUAGUCCGAAAGAUGAUUCAAUCGUACCAAUCGAACUUGACUGGUCCUACCUUACGAUGGUACAUGGUCAGGAAGAUUAGUCCUCUUAAAACCUGGAGGGAACUAAUUCAUGUUUUUCACCAAGAGUACAAUAUUGACAUCACCCCUGACAUCAUCUUACCCUACGAAAAGCCGAUGAUCACGGAGCACGAGGAGCCGUUAGUCGCUAAGGUAGGAGAGGAGCACGUCAAUGAAGCCUUGCAUAAUAAAUGGGCGACUGAGCAACAUCCUAUUACUGAGAAGUUUCCCACUAGGAAAGGCAAGGAGCCUUUGUACGAGAUUAUAGAAUCAGAGCCUGUUCAAGAGCGGGGCACGACUAGACAACUCCCUAAGCUUACUCCAAGAGCUAGGGUCCAAAGAAUAUCAACCUCUAUCAACCUGGAAAGCGAAUCAGACAGUGAAGCUCUAAUGUCUCUCACUUCCCUUGACAGAACUGAGCUGGCAAAACGAAGGGCCUUACUCAAAAGGUCUAGUCCAGAAGCCAAGAAAAGAAAGCCUAAGCAGAUCAAUGCAGCAUCUGCCGACAAGCCACCACACCAAAGCUUCGAGCAUUCCCAAGAAUAUAGCUUUAAAGGUUACCAUCCCCUAAGAUACAACGCUGAAAGCUUCCAGGCCCUAGAAUACAAUCCCAAGGACUUCCAGCGUUAUUUUGAUAAUGAAACUGACGAUUCAUCGUAUAACUAUUUCAUACUCUCAUCUGGGGAUGAAGGUCCGUCAGAAGAGGAAGUGUACGUCUUUAUCCACUACGAUCCUAACGAAUUACUAAGCUCGUCCUCUGACCAUGAGGAUAGCUUCAAUACUUCAUCCUCAUUCGGAAAUUUUGACCAAGAAGAAAGCAAUGGGGUAAUCUCGGUAGAAUCCAACUUUCCUGAAACAGAAAAACUCACCACUACAAUGAAUAUGCAGUGGGAAAACCAGUGGUCUAACCAAGAUACAUCAAGCCCGUCCUACGCUCAUAGGAUCAUGACCCCUAGAGAAAUGUGGAUAUCUAAUCUCCACAAGUAUAACGACACGACUUGCCCCGUGGCCACUUACAGUACCUCCAUGCUGAAAUGAAUCAGUACUAUGGCCCAGUGUCAUUCACAACUCAGGCCUUCCAAGAAAGUCUUACGGGACAUGCAUUACAAUGGUUCAUCACAGCAGGUAUCUACCUCAUGAGAGAUUGGAAUGAGCUGUCUUCUGCAUUCCUACUUUAGUAUCAAAGCCAGAUUGGAACUGAACUACCUUGCGAGGGCUUGGUUCACUUUAGAAGAAGACCAAUGGAGGAUUUCCGAACAUAUGCGAGGAGGUGGGAGGCUUUUAUGAUGCAAACUUACCCUCAACUGGCCGAAGAAGAAAUGAUAAAGCUGUUCAUAGGGACUUUACCUCACGAGCAUCGUUGUUGUUUGCGUGGGUUGUACUUCCAUAGCUUCAACGAGAUAGUCAUCGCAUGCGAAUACUUCGAGUCUACUGGAGGCGAGGAACUCAAAGGCGCUUGAUUUCAUAACCAAUACUAUCAAAGCACUCCUUUACACAGGAGUUUUCAUGGGUUUUACUUGUUUUUAUAAUUUCAUGUUUCUUAUCUUGUCUAGUGUGCUACUGUUGUAUUUUCCAUUCCAAGUACUCUAUUGUACAGUUAUAAUAUUUUGUUUUAAGAGCAUGAGGUGGUACUCCAAACCAGCCCAGUGAUGUUAUCCAAUCAUGAAAAAAAAAAAUCAUCCAAGGAGAAUACUGAGGGCUGGGCUUCCUCAUGCUUUUUCUCAAAAAAAAAACAUAUUUUGAAAAGGAAAAGUAUUUCAUCACCAAAAAACUUUUGUCAAGAUAAGAUGAUAAAUUUAAGCAUGUUUGUCUUUCUAACUUUCUCAUUUCAUGUCCAAGAAUAUCAUCCCAUUUAAUUUAGUGUGACGGAAGGUAUUUGAAACUGGCACAUCAUGUGAACAGACCAAAUUCGAAAACACAUUUUCAAGAAAGCAGGGGCAAACAGAAAGGAGCCUCCCGUUUAAAUUAAAAAUGGUAAGUCUUAUUCCCUUAACAUGAUAUUGAGAAUGACGACGCCUCUCUUCUAUUUUCAGGAUACAAAAGAUGAAACGUAAUAGGUACAGGCAUAGAGUUGAGAUCGAAGCAUCCAUGACAUGCCUCACUCCUGCCCAGCUCCAUCCUAAGCCAAAGGACCAUCUUGUCGCACGACACGCCCAAACAGCUAGAUGUUACAGUUCCAGCUUCGACAAGCCCAUAAGCAUAAGGAAGGGAUCUUUCAACAAGGAGAAAAUCUAGACAAUCAAAGUAAUCUAUGGCCCCACAUCUUGGACAAUGACUUUGGAAUCUAGAAACUUCACUCCAGACGCAUAUGCUUUCAAGGAGUAAUUGCCAUCAGAAAGCUUGAGAUUUUUUAUCUCAGAUUCCAUAGAAGCUUGAGGUACAUGAUUUUUACCCAAUGAUGCUAUAGUUAAAGACCGAAGGAGAAAUUCCACAAAAGGAAGGCGUUGAAGAUGAAUCAACAACCAACAAUCAUGUGCAUGGUCACAAAGGAGGAAGGCCAAUUGAAGGAAAUAUUGAACUAUGCCAAGACAAAGAGGCUGUCAUCAGCAUACAGAAAUCCUUAGGAAUCAACAAAUACAAGCUUUGGAGAAGAGUGAUUUGGUAUCGUUUCCAAUACUCCCACUAUUUGAACUCGCUUUUGAUAUAUUUUCCUAUUUGACAGGAAGCAUCACAACUCAAGAACCAAACUCAAUGGUUAGGUUUGGCAAAUUAAUAUUGGCCAAGCUAGUACCCACAUCAAGUUCACCUGGCUUCGUGUAAAAAGACAUGUCAUCCAAGAGCCAAUUAAGAGAAUAAUUAACCUAAUGAAGCAAGGGACAUAGGACUUCAGGUCCCCCUCUCACUUCAGGUUCACCCAAUCAUCUGCAAACCAAUGAAGGGUAAAGUUGUAUCGCUUCCAGUUAUUCGACUCUUGAAAGAGUUCAUGACUAACACAUUCCCUCUUGUUUGUUGCAGGGUCACCUGGUUGCCAAAAAUACAGAUAACAAAUCAAUGAGAGGCAUGACAAGCUCUCUCAAACAAAAUGGCGUCUCAAGUAUCGCCAAAGCAAAUGACAGAAAAUCUUCAGGCCGCAACUCACAUUUGAUUUUGGCUAGACUAAUUGAUCUACUUGUACAUCUUCUCUUCUGCAGGGCCAAAAAAGGCCCAUCAAAUCAAUGAUUAGAUUCCCAAUCCUUGGCUGAUCAUUCAUGUGUCAUAUCCCUAAUCAAUAGGGACAACCAUCAACGCCCUUUUGUAAAUAACUCUCUUAAUGUUCAAGUUUCAACACAUUUGUGAAUACCGUUCCACCUAGGUAAACACCCCUAAAGUUAUUAAUAAGUUCUUCUUGAGUAAAAAGCCAUUCAUUUAUUUUGAGAGUACAAACUCCAUCACAUCAUACACUGCAUGCAUUUUUCUAGGUGAAUUCUGCAUAAUGAUUUUGUCUGUCUAAAUCAUUGAUUCCAUUGAGAAUUAUUAGAAAAGACAACUGAUUGAAGAAUACAAGAUUGAUUGAGUAUGUUGGAUGAGGCGCGUCAGAAUGAUGACAGGCAAGCCAUAUCCUACACACAAUCCCCCAUCUAUACACUUGUGAGAUGAGUGCAGAAAAUUCCAUGACUACAGGGUAAAAAGUUCUCUCGCGAAUAGUACAAUGAUCAAAGCAGUGAGAGGCAUUCCAUCGCUCACUUUGAGCCCCAUACACUGACAAAUUUAUGCUAUACUCCUGACAAAGAACCACCCCACACUGGGGCAAGUCAAAAGCAAAUCAACAUCACAAGGUGAGAAAGGGGAUAGAAAUUUUCUUGCUCGCACUUGCAUCAAUCUUUAAGUGUCUUUAUUACAUAUGAACACUCGCGUUAAUUUAAGUGCCCUAGAGUCGUGAAGAGCAAUUCUUUAUUUACGCACUUGUAUCCAUUGUACAACUCAAUUGAGUCUGUAAAUUCACCCUCACAUGGAGGCAAAGCAGAAGCCACUGUCGUUUGAGCAGCAUAAUCAGAAGUGCCAACAAAAGAUGAAGACUCCAUAGUCUAGCAAAGGCAUUUGCUUGAACUUGUCAAGAUCAGUUCCUCAAGCAACAAGAACAAAAAACUGGGGCAUAAAAAAGCAGUGUAUCUGGUAAAAGCAAGGUCAAUGCCCAUAAAUGAAGAACUGGAAUAAAAAAUAGGGGCAUGAAAUAGUAGUGUACCUGGUAAAAGCAAGGCCAAUGCCCUCCAGUCAAAAAUAUUCCCAAGAGAAGUUACUGUUGUGGUUCAAUUGAUAGAACCUCCAUUUGAUAGUGAGAAGAAAGAUCAGUGACAAAUGCCAAGACAGUCACCCUCUUACAUGUGAGCCAAGUCACGUCACAUUCCCAUUGUAAAAGUCUCUUCAGACUAGGGGCACUUCAAUUAACGUAGACUUCACAUGUGCAUAAGUAUCGUUCAAAGAAGUACGAGCAGGAUUACUCUAUCUCUUUUCGCAGGAUUCUUGACUUGUAAACCCGGAGAUGAUCGUGUAGCAUUUUUAUCCAUCGGCUUCGACCUUGAUGGUCCCAUUUGACGAGCUGCUAACCAUGACUUCAUCGUGAUUUCAACAAAGACCUCUCACAUUGGUAAAGUUGUACCGUUUGCGAGAAUACUCGGACCCCUGUUGACAUGAUGACAAUGAGAUAGUGUGGUCCUUAUAAAUCCUGCAUCAAUGGUCAGGAUAGCCUUUUCCAUGAGAGUGAGUGAAAAGUCCUUUUAGACUGAAAGUCCCUCAUCUGGCAUGCUCAAGACAUCUACAUUCUAAAUGAAUGUUGUCUUUCAAAAUCUUCCCCAGUGAAAAUCAAAAGAUGCAAAACUGACAAAAUCAUCAUGCAUGAAUUUCAUUUGAACUCAUAGCGUAUACAAUCAUGUGUGCAUAUUGUGCAAAUAGCAAACAUACUCUUAAAGAUCAGAGAUAUUGCCAGGUAAGCAUGUCUCUAUUCCCAUUUGCCUUAAAGUACCUACCACUGUCCAGGUACUCCCUUAUUGACACUUGACCUAGUCGAGUUGUCCCCAGAGUAUUGAUACUUGUGACUGACCAAGUAUCCCUUUUAUCGUUGAAUACCUACUACUGUCUAGAUAUCCCCAUAUUGUCAAGUACCUACCGCCCAGGUAUGCUUUCCAACACUUGGAUCAGCCUGAAUGGUCCCAGAUCAUAUCAUUAAAUACUUAUAUUCAUCCAAGUAUUCCAGUACUUUGUACACCUGUGGCUACCCAGGUGUUCCAGCGCUUUUGAGUACCUGGGGCCAUCCAGGUAAGCCUUGUGCUACAUUCAAAUUCCCAUUACCAUGAGGUGAGAGACCUUCAAGAAUAUCUCAGGUACGCCCUCGAUAUUCCCUUUUACUAGGAGGUGAGAGACCUUCACGAAUAUGCGGGGCGCGCCCUCGAUAUUCCCAUUACCAGGAGGUGAGAGACCUUCACAAAUAUCUCAGGUACGCCUUCGAUAUUCCAUUUUACUAGGAGGUGAGAGACCUACACGAAUAUCCCAGGUACGUCCUCGAUAUUCCCAUUUACCAAGAGGUGAGAGACCUUCAUGAAUAUCCAAGGUAUGUCCUUGAUAUUCCAAUUACCAGGAGGUGAGAGACCUUCAUGAAUAUGCGAGGCACGUCCUCAAUAUUCCCCUUUACCAAGAGGUGAGAGACCUUCAUGAAUAUGCGAGGCACGUCCUCAAUAUUCCCAUUUACCAGGAGGUGAGAGACCUUCAUGAAUAUCCAAGGUAUGUCCUCGAUAUUCUAAUUACCAGGAGGUGAGAGACCUUCAUGAAUAUGCGAGGCACGUCCUCAAUAUUCCCAUUUACCAGGAGGUGAGAGACCUUCACAAAUAUGCGAGGCACGUCCUCAAUAUUCCCAACUACUAGGAGGUGAGAGACCUUCACAUAUAUCCCAGGUACGCCCUCGAUAUUCCAAUUACCAGGAGGUGAGAGACCUUCACGAAUAUCCCAGGUACGUCCUCGAUAUUCCCAUUUAUCAGGAGGUGAGAGACCUUCACGAAUAUAUGGGGCACACCCUCGAUAUUCCCACUACCAGGAGGUGAGAGACCUUCACGAAUAUCCCAGAUACGCCCUCGAUAUUUCCCAAUUGCUAGGAGGUGGGACACCUUCGCAAAUAUCCAAGGUAUCUUUCAGAAUUGAUGCCUUGAGAAAGGUUGUCGUAUCCUCUCGAGAAAAGUCGAGUACCAGCUGCUGUCUUUGACAAAGGUCAGACACCCCCACAAAAUAGAUGCCCUGAGAAAGGUCGACGCAUCUCCCGAGAAAGGUCGGGUACCAACUGGUGUCCUCAAUACAAAUCAGGCACCCAUAAAUGAGAUGCCCUGAGAAAGGUCGGUGCAUCUCCCAUCACGGCGACCGAAGAAUGGUUAGGGUCCGAGACAAACCACUGAUUGCUCCAAUAGACGACUGAAGAAUGGUUCGGGUCCUGGAGAAGCAAUUUCUCGUCAAGGCGACCGAAGAAAGGUUCGGGUCCUAGACAAAUCACUAAUUGUUUUAACAUGCGACCGAAGAAUGGUUCGGGUUCUGGAGAAGCAAUUUCCUGUCACGUCGACCGAAAAAUGGUUCGGGUUCGAGACAAACCACUGAUUGCUCCAACAGGCGACCGAAGAAUGGUUCGGGUCCUGAAUAAGCAAUUUCCCGUCAAGGCGACCGAAGAAAGGUUCGAGUCCUAGACAAAUCAUUGAUUGUUUUAACAGGCGACCGAAGAAUGGUUCGGGUCCUAGAGAAGCAAUUUCCCAUCACGGCGACUGAAGAAUGGUUCGAGUCCGAGACAAACUACUGAUUGCUCCAACAGGCGACCGAAGAAUGGUUCGGGUCUUGGAGGAGCAAUUUCCCGUCAAGGCGACCGAAGAAAGGUUCAGGUCCUAGAAAAAUCAUUGAUUGUUUUAAACAGGCGGCCGAAGAAUGGUUCGGGUCCUAGAGAAGCAAUUUCCCGUCACAGCGACCGAAGAAUGGUUCGGGUCCGAGACAAACCACUAAUUGCUCCAACAGGCGACCGAAGAAUGGUUCGGGUCCUGGAGGAGCAAUUUUCGGUCAAGGCGACCGAAGAAAGGUUCGGGUCCUAGACAAAUCAUUGAUUGUUUUAACAGGCGAUCGAAGAAUAAUUCGAGCCCUAGAAAAGCAACCUCUUCAUAUCACCAGGUAAGAUGACGCCUUGAUACUUGCCAAACUCAAGGCUCACACCUUAUCUCACUCACUCCCGGUAAGUAACUACAGGUAGCUUCUUAUCUGUCUUAGUAUAUAUAAAGUUAUAUUGCCCUUUUUCUGCAUAAAUAAUAGGUCCCAAAUAAAAUAUAAUCUGCUACGCAUAUAUGGACAAAAUUUAAGCAUCAGUUUGUCUUUAAAUGCAACCUCUGCGAGCUCACCUUCAAAGAGGGGCAGCUGUUGACGCCUAAAAAUUUCAUUAAUUAGGUUUUACUUUUGUUUUUAUUUAUCUUAUUUUAUCUUUUUCCGAUGAUUAAAAAAAAAAAGAAGAAGAAAGAAGAGAAGCAGCCUCCACAUGGGCCCUCGGCCCAUUUUCGCCUCGGCCUGGCCCCGCCAGGUCGUCUCCUUCCUCGCGCCUCUGCAGAGCACGCGAGGGGGGGCGCAACGGAGGGGAAGGGGAUGGACGGACGGCGAUGGGACGUGGAGCAGGGGCAGCUGGCGUCGGAUGGGACGCCGGUUCGGCCGACGAAGGCCGUGGCGAUCGGCGGUCGAACUCCGUCGACCGGCCGCCCCUCGCCUAUAAAUACCUCCCCCCCCCCCGACGACGACAACGGACACACAGAGAUCCCGGAGAGAGAGAGAGAGGGAGCCAGAUCGAGUCGCAGCCCUUGGACACCCCACUGAGAGACUUCAGGGGGGCCGAGGGUUCGUGGCCUCAGAUCUGAGCAUCGCCGGAGGGGAGAGUAGAGAGAGAGAUAGAGAGGGAGAGAGAGACGCAGGAGGGGAAGGGAUUCGCGUGGGUCUCGCCGUCGCGGUCUUCGCCCUCAUCGCGCCAUCGCUGAGCAGGUAUCGCAUUGUCGCCGUCACCAUCACCCCUCCCGUAGUCCAAUCGUCGUUGUCAUCUUCGUUGCUGCCCUCGUCGCCGUCGCCAUCGCCGCUGUCGCCAUCGCAGCACCUCAGGCUUCUCCUCUUCGGCGCCGCGAAUCGCGAACCCUAGGGUUCGCAUUUUUUCAGGUCGCGGCCUCGGGUCAUUGGAUCAGACCCGGGCUACGAACCGGGUAAGGUUUCGAGGGGCGACUGCGAGUCGGGUUGGUAGUCAGGUCGGGCCCGGGUAGGGUUCCGCUAGGAGCCCGGGUUGUCGGGCCGGGCCGGGCGUCCCUAAACGACCGGCCACAGCGUCAUUUUAAUAAAAUAAAAUAUAAAAAAAAAAAAAAAGAGGAAAAAAUCUGAGUCAGGCCCGCAACGAGAGCCCGUCCUCAUUCGGAUCGUUGGCCCGGGUCGGACCUAACCCGCGAAUCCGACCCGGGUCAGUUUUUAUAUUAUUUUAAAUAAAUAAAUAAAUAAAUAUUUUAUUUCAAAAAAUAAAAAAUGUUUUAUUUUCAAAAAAUAUUUAAAAAAUGUUAAAAAUUUUGUAUUUUCAAAAAAAAUCGAGAAAAAAUAAAAAAUAAUUUAUUUUCCAAAAAUAUUAAAAAAUAUUUUAUUUUUUUCAAAAAAAUCAAAAAAUCAAAAAAUCAAAAAUAUUUCAUAUUUUCCAAAAAAUGUCAAAAAUCCAAGAAAGGCCAAAAAUUCACAAAAAGGCCAAAAAUUCAUGAAAAAGCCAAAAAAUUCAAAAAAAGCCAAAAAGACUUGUAUUUUUCCAAAAAAUACCAAAAAAUCCAAAAAAAAUCCCCUUUGUGUCCAAAAAUUAGAAAAUGACCUAGAAAAUGUUUUUCCUCCCAAAAAUGCAUGGAAAAUCCCUCGAACAUUCAAAAAACCUCAGGGUUUAAACAAGAUUAGGUACCGAAAGGGCAUUAGUGAUUAACUAGUGUAAUCAAGUUCCUGAUCCCAAUUUCUCUAGUUGCGCAAGAGUGAGUAUUUCUCUCGAUACUUCACUUGGGUUUCUAAUCAACCCACCCCAAAUCGAUUAGUGGUGACUCCAAUUUAAAAUUUGAUUUACAGGUUAAAAACUUGAACCAUUAAGUCGUGAAUUGGUGGACUUGGGAGAGUCCAGGCAUAACUAAUUUCAGCCGAGCCAUUAGCCUCCUUAGGCGCCCGUUCAUGACUGCGGGUGCCGAAAAAAAAAGAGGUCGCGACACCUACUCAAUAAUUUAUGAGAAAUUUGCGUAAGAAGGAGAACUUUCAAGCCUUCGGAAAAUAGUAUAGAAUCUCCACAAUUUUUUAAUUAAGCUUUCCAAACUUAUUCUUCUACCACUUGCAAAUUAUAGCAUAACAGAUAACAAUCUUUGCAAAAAUAUCACGUAAUAUCUUCGUUCAAUUUGCGGAUCAAACUUGCUAAAUAUAAAUUAUCUUUUAAGAAUGUAGCAAAAGUAUCCAUGAAUAUGCAAUAAUAUCUUUCAUGAUUAAAGGGAUUUCCUUAAGCAUAAAUCUCAAAAUCAUAUUAUUGAUGCAUUUCACAAAAAAACAAAUAUUUCUAUCAUGUGCCAAAUCAAGUAAUAAAAAAAAAAUGCAAUGCCUUAUGUUUAUGACAAGAGAUAUUUGCAAUGUAAAUCAUAUAUAAUUCAUAGAAAUCAUCUAAAAUCUUCAUAAAUUCGAAUAGAAAUUUGAAAGGCAAGAUGAUAGAUGCAAAAUUUUAUAUUCUCUUACCCAAGGCAUAUGUUUGAGAUAUACCAUUGAUUUAAAAAUGAUCAUUGCCAAUUUUCAAAUGAAGGAAGAAUGAUUGCAAAUCUAUGCAAAUAAACUUAUUUCCUUUCUGGUAUCCAUGUAUUUGCAUAGAUUUGCAAUCAUUCUUCUUUCAUGGAGUUUCUUGCAAUAAACUUAUUUCCUUUAUGGUAUCCAUGUAUUUGGAUCAUUCCUUAAGGUUAGAGCAAAAUAUGCAAUCUUCAUAAAUAACCAAAUAUUCUUUCUAAACUCAUCGUAAUAGAGUAUUUAAGAAAGAAUAUAUUGCAUGAUCAAUUAAUAUUUUGUAAAACAGAUUUCUACUUAGCAAAAUAUGACAAAAUCUGAAAGCAUAAAAUCAAACCAAAUAAACUCAAUUGUCCUUAAGCAAAAUAUCAAAAAAUAGUCACACGUAUUAAAUCAAUUCCCAUCUUACAAAUCACCAAAAAAUAUCACACGAUUUUUCCUUCAACCAAUCAUAGAAUAUAGUCAUAAUAAAGUCCAAACCAACCAAGGCACAAAGAGGAUAUAACGAAUAUCAAAUAUAAAGAGAAUUUAUAAAAAAAAAAUUAAAUUAUGUAUCCAAACCAAAUUGAGAAUUAAAAAAAAAAAUACAUUUCUUACCAAAUUCUCUUUCUUCUAUUCCCUUAUUCCCUACAAAACAAGUCAUCCUUUUUUUGGUUCCCAAAUUUGCUUAGGUCCAUGAGAGUUAGUAGAAUAUGCUAUUUUUAUCCAGUCUUUCUUAAUUGGUUUCCAGACUUUAAGACAUUCAUUCUCAAAGUGUUCUGGAUCUCCACAUGUGGAGCACUUGAGGGCAAUUCGGCCAAUAGGUUUUACAAAUACUUUUUGAAAAUGUUGUUUAUAAACGAGUUUAGGAGGUAUUUGUCUGAGUCUCUCUUUGACUUUAGAAAAGUCUAUUAGAGAAUCACUUUCCUUAUUGAAACCAAUUCCCGACUUAUUAUAGUAAGGUACUUGUAUGGAAAUGAUAUGUUUUAAUGUUUUUGAACCCUUUGAAAAUUUUGUUGAACUAUUUAAAAAUUCUUUUUUUAUUGAACUAUUUAAAAAUUCUUUUUUUAAAGAAUCAUUUUCUUUGACAAGUAAAUCUCAACUUUCUUUUGUUUGUAGAAAAUCUUUUUGCAAAAUUUCAAACUUUUCUUUUCGAGAAAGAUCUUGUUACCUAAGCCAUGAAUUCUCUUUUUUUUAGUUCGGCGAUCCUUUUAAGAGCAAACUUAAGAUUCAAGCACAACUCAUCAAUACCAUUAUAUGUCUUAUAAGGGAUUUCAGGGUAAUUUACCUCAAAAUUUGUGUCUAAAUAUGAUUUCGAAUGAGUCUGAGUCUAAAUGUGCCAUCAAGCAUAUUUUUCUUUGCUCAUUAUCUUCUUCUAUUGUUCUUUUAUGCCCAUUUUGCUUGUAUUGUUUCUUCUAAUUGAAACUUCUUCCCUUUUUAUUCAACUUUCUAAAUUUCUUUAUUAUGUGUGCCAACUCUUCAUCAUCCAUGUCAUCUUUUGAAUCUUUAUCAUCAAAAUCAGCAUUCGAUUUUAAAGCAAUGGACUUCUUACCCUCAAUAUCUUCAUUGUCGAUUUGUUCGACUUCAUAGGAUUGAAGAGUGCCAAUAAGUUUUUUUUUUUGGGUAAAGACAAAGAGUGCCAAUAAGUUCAUCAACAAAUAAUCUCAUAAUUCUCUAUGUCUCUCGGAUUGAUGUAUUGACAUGAUUCCAAUCCUUUGAGAGUCCUCAUAGAAGUUUGUUGACCUUCAUAGGAGUAGAAAUUGGUUUUCCUUGAUAUGCUAAAUCAUUUACAAUUUUUGUAAAACAACCAAACAUGUCUUCGAUGGAUUCUCGAGGUCAUCUUGAAAGACUCAUAUUGGCCAAACAAAAUGUUCACCUUCAUCUCUUUUAUAGGAUAUCUACCUUCAUAAGUAACAUGAAAUCUAUCACGGAUAUCUUUAGCUAUUUCACAUGAAGAGAUUCUAUUAUUCUUAGUUGGAGACAAGGCACAAUAAAGAGAGUAGAUAGCUUUUGCAUCCAGUGUUUCUCUUUUGGACAUCUCCAUAAGCAGGCGUUCGAUUGCUUUGUCUUUGCCAUCCUUGUUUGAUGUAGACACAGUAGUGUGAUUGAUUUCCUUUUCUAUAAUAUCCCAUUCCAAGGGAUCUCUAGAUCUUAGGAAUGCAGUCAUUCUAUUCUUCCAUGCAUUGUACUCUUUUUCAUCAAAAUAAUGUGGUCUGGCAUUGUUUUGACCCUCAACAAGUCCGGGUGCCAAGAGACUGGUCAUAAAAGAUCUUUAGCUCAGAAGUAAAAACACUUCAACAAAAUGAACACUUGGCUCUAAUACCAAUUGAUGAUGCUAGAAAGAACAUCUAGAGGGGGUGAAUAGGUGUUUGAAAGGAAUUUGGUCAAAUAAUUGCGCGAUAAAUAAGUUGCCAGCAAGUCUAGAUGAAGAACAAAAUCAGUUUUGCAAAACACCAGACUUUUGGUAGAUAUUCAGAAUAUAUUAUGUAAUAGAACAGACUUCUGAGAUAACCUACAAUAGCACAACAAAAUUAACUAAAGAGAUAAGAGAUAAGAGAAUUGCACAUAGAUUUUAUAGUAGUUCGGCUUAAAUCAAACCUACGCCUACUCUCCCAAGCUGAUAAUCUAUUAGCUGAAUUCCACUAUAUGAUUAACAAAAAAUUACAACUUUGAGUGCAAACACUUUGUGGUAGAUCACACUAUCUCACUAAGUUACUAUUUUGUUAUUUCUCUCAUGAUGACAAAUGUUUAAGCUUACGAAAGACAAAUGUAUGAUCGAAAGUUCCGUUAGAUUUGGGAUUUUAGAUUUUAUGCUUCAUCUCUUACUUGCUCCUUGGUUCUUGAUCUUCUCAAAUACUCCUCCAAUUCCAAACUAAUUGUUGGACAUUAUCCAAAUGAUCGUCUUCCAAUCUAUCUAUUGGACAGAUCUAUAUCAAGAAGAUUUGAUAGCCAUUGAAUGAAAAAGGUAGAAUUCUCAGUUGAUUAUGAUCGCCCAUACAAAUAGAAUCUUGGUUUCUAUAAGUACAACUUUUCUAUUUAGAAAGUUAUUAUCUUCAGGAUCUAAUUGUCAAUCAAUUAGAUUGAGUCAAUCAAAUCUUUCUUAAUGUAGAAUCCAAACCAGAUCACUAGCCGUUAUACGUUUUGGGCUUGUGUCUCAUUCUAUCAAGUUAUCUCUCUCUGAACUUGUUUCAUUCUGAACAUACGUUUUGAACUUUGUCAUGUUCUGGACUUGUGUCUCAUUCUAUAUAAAAAGUCUAAGCGUGUUCCAUUUGUACGUAAAGUUUGAGUGUCUUCCAUCUAAAGUAGACUUUACCAUCUAGACAUGAGUCUAAACAUAUUCAUCCUUGGAGUCUGUUUUUGAACAUAUUUAACCUUAAGAUCUGGACACAGAUGAAUAAGUUCAAUUUCAGUAUAGAGUCUAAAGUCUAAUCUUUGAUAAUAUCCUUUACACACUCUAUUAUUUGCAUAGUCUGUUACUCAAUUAUUAAACACGUUAGUAGCCUUUGAUAUGUUUUGUCAUCUUCAAAAAAACAGAUGGGGUUUUCCUAACAAAAGAGACCAUCGACCAGCCUGUUGCCAAGCCAUAACUCAAAUUUGCUAUCUUAGGAUGGACAUAUUGCCCGAAGACCCCACCGUUUUCAAGGAUUGCUCUUUGGUAAAAUCCACUGGUUCAAACUGUGUCUGAGGUGACGAUAUUGAGUACAGUUCCAUUCCUAGACAUGAGGUAGACCUGACCACUUUGAUUAUAUAUCAACCGCAACCCAAAAACUACGAUGAUGGUAGCCCAAUAUGCAUCCGAGACAACUAGCGGGUUAGGAGUGGCAUAUAGCACGAGAUUUCCGUCGAUUUGCAGUAUGAAAAUGAAUCUCCCAGCGGAGUAAUUCAUUUCGGAGUAGUGAGCGUUUAAGUUUAUUCUCUUGAUCUGACCAUUGUGUCAGCAGUAUCGUAUUAGUCGGUUGGCUGAAUGUAUCCCACAAUUCGACGUGGUUCCUGCUCGCUAGGAUGAAGUUCCCCAUGUAGUGCAUGGCUGCAUGCGCUACGCCAUUGCCAGUCAGGCUAGAAGACCACAGCUCUCUUCCUUUUGGGUCGGCAAGCAGUAGUCCACCGUCGGUGGUCACCUGGAUUUUCUAACCUCCGGAUGCUAGAUCAUCGCCAUUAGCCGACCAUACUAUGGUUUUGUCCUCUAUUUUGUGGAACCAUAUAGCCAGGAAGAGUUCCUGUCAUCCGCUGUUAAGGAGGAGCCCAAGGUUAAGUUGCCGCUGGUCUGAGCUUCGGUCGAAAGCGGAGGUGGAAUGAGCACUAAAAGGAUUCCUAAUUUCGUUGAAGUCAUGUUUGAUGAAAGUUGCGUGCUCUCUGAGUUGAGCUACUUCGCCUUAUGAAUGAAACUAGCAUUCUUCACAGAUUUUCCACUUUGUAUGCCCUCGGAGUCUCUCCCCCGAUUAUCAUUGAUAUUAAAUAUUUCUGAAAGAUAUAUCUUUAUAAAUUUAAUUUUCUUUUUUUUUAAUAGAAAUCAAUGGUGAAAGAAAAUUUUCGAAUUUAGAAUAUAGCGAGUCAGCACCAUGAGCUUACCGGGACCCUGAUAUUUUCUAAGGAAUAGCAUGAAUUUGGAAGACUUUGACCAAACGUCAUAAAUGUUAAGUUGGAGACUUUAUGAGUUAUGGAGAAGAAGGCAGGGCCAGUAUUUGAUUCAAUCCCUAAAUUCGAGCCAAUUACUAAUUUACUUCGUGGAAAUUUUGAAUGUUUCAAUCUAACUGUAUAUAUGCUCGGACAUAAUAGGAAAUUUGCUUUGUCGUCCUGCAUUAGGUAUGCGCUCAAUGGGCGCGAACUGUGGUCUGAGGCAUUAUGGUGAUUUGAUGCUUAGAAUGGGAUGGGUCUUUGUGCAACUUGGAGAGGAAUGGUUACAACAAUGAUGAAUGAACAUAAUUUCCGUAUAUAUUCUACUAAAGUUUGCAUACAGUAGGUCCAGGUUUCGAAACUCCUAUAUGUUUGUUUAAAUGGAUGUUGUAGUGAUGGAAUGAUAUUUUAUUCUCAUGGACUUAACAAUAUCAGGCAAACUUACCGCAUCUAAAAGCAAUUUGAUUUACAUUAUGACUUGACUGCACUUUUGCAAUAAGGUUAAGACUUUUAGUAUACUUUAUCCUAUAAAAAUAUAGAGCAUUUGGAGCUUAUGGAUGAUCAAUGAAUUAUCAAAUUAUCAACUUAAAAAAAAAAAAAAAAAAUCUUACGGACGCUCAUUGGGGCACGGACAGAUAACAUACUCGACUUUAAACUUCGAUUUAGUGCUCUAUAUGUGAUAAACGGACCACAACCGAAUACCAUUUAGGACAUCAAGGCGAUAGAGAUUAGAGAUGGAUGGAGUUGAACAGAGCUUAGUUUACUCACACUAGCUAGACAUGGCUUUUGCUUGGGGACUCGCCGCUGAUGUCUGAAAUUGGGGAUUCAAUCUAUCGAUUCUUAAUAAAAAAAGCUUCACACUACAUUUCAUCGCAAUUAAGGGAAAUGUUAUUUUUGCUACAUCAUGGGAGAUUCGACACGACAAGAACAUUGAAACCUUUGAUAUCAUUUCCACUUAUACAUCAUUAACAUAGCGGUUUACAAAUAUUCACCUUGGAGAUUGUUUUUAGUUCUAAUAUGCAUCAUCAAAAAUCCGAAGGAGAAUGAACCGAGUCGUGGCCCAACAAAGCAGCAUGGUCAAACGCUAACUCCAAAUAACUUAACGUGGGCCGGCCACAUGAAGAUGACAUUGGGCCACAUGCUCUUAAAUUGAGCAUGCAUUGGACAAGGACGAAGUACAUGCAUUGAAUGGAAUGGCCUCAUGCAUUCAUGCGAAGGGAACAAGCCCAUGAUCGUCUAAUGACUUUCUGCUUCGCCAGCUGCAUGAAUGGGGGCAUUCACCUCCUAUGAAAUUGGCGCAAGCAGACUUUUCCGCAGUGAAACAAACGAAAGACGGAGGCCCUUGACCAAAACAUUGUCUGUUCCAUCGAAUUGAGAAUAAGACAUGAAGAAGAUGGCGAACACGCUAGCAGGUGCCAUAGCUAACUGAGACAAACAUGAAAUCAAACCCAUUAAGCUUCUGGUGCAGAUCGAUCUGUAGAUUUCAAUCUACGGGAUCUUUCCAUUGUCUCGUCUCGAUAUAUUUUCCAGUUCCGUCUUGUUUGGAAUGGCUUUGACCAUUGCUCACUAAGUUGUUUAUACAAGAUCUCCAAUGAUCAUUUGGAAAGGAAUAUGUAUUGCUUAGAAAAUUGUCUGCCUUGUGUCCCUUCUCGCAAUUUCUCAACAAAUGCAUUAAGAAGAAAGAUUGUCUGAUUAUGUUAGGGAAAUCCGUUACAUAGCCUGAGCGAACUUCAACCACAUACUAGGGCCAAGGAGCCUAUAAGAGACGAAACAUAGAGCCUAUAAUUCCAAAAUCUAAGUGAACUUUGACCACAUACUACGAGUUUAAAUUUGUAAUCAUUUGAGAGGUGUUGAUAGUGUUAUAAGUGUGUGUUUUGGUGUAAGAUAAUGAGUCCUAUCAGCUUGGGUAUAAGCAGCACCAGCAACACAACUUGAUUGUAACAAGUCAUUAGUUAUCUAGUAAAAUCAAACCAGUAGAUUAUUAGCGUGAAAGAGUGGACAUAGACUUAAUCUAAAUCGAUCCAUUAUAAAUUUCGCGUGCAUCUUUCUUUUCUCUAAACUCUUAUUGUUUUUUGCUAUUGUUUAUUGCACACUCGGUAGGUGCUUCGGAGUCUGUGCUACUGCAUUCCAAAAUCCGACCCUUAUUCAGAAUUUAAUCUUGAUUCAUUCUAUUCCGUUUUAAUUUGUCAAGAUUUUGUAGUAUCAUCUAUUCACCCCCUCUAGGUGGUACUUGCUAGCCGCCCUCAUAUUUUACUUCCAACUAUGUGAUUUGCGGACUGGGAUUUCUUUGGUCUAGAAGAAGUGUCCCUCCUGUAUGAAUAAAAAACUAGCAGAACUAUUGAAAUUGGGAUUCCAGGACAAUGAUCCACGACCCGAGGAUUGGCAACUUUCAUAUGCUUUCUCUUCAUCUAAUUUAGCAGAUAAGGUCUCUUUUGCUUGGUCAAGUUAAAAUACUCUUCCACCGUGUCAAAUGCAAUUUUCAUAAAGCAAAAUGUCGGUGAAAAUGCUUUGAUAGUUGCAUUCGGCCUCACAUGCAAUCCCUUUUGCGACGAUCAUCAACCCGUUCUCUCUUGGAUACAUGCGGGAAAUGUUAAACUUGACUGAUGAUAUAGCUUAUUUAAUCGGGAUCCAUGUGAAGACAGUAUGCGUAAUAGCACUUACAAACAAUACGAGUACUUUUCAUGAUUACAGACAACAAUGGUCUUAAAUAAGCAAAAUCAUAUUGAACUCAUAAAAGAGCUUGGAACUGGAGGUACUGGGACUUCAACAGCUCCUUCCAACAUCUGAGUGAUUUUCUUCAUGGUUGGCCUCAAAGCCGGGUCUUCCUGGAUGCACCACAAUGCUAUCAUCACAAAUCCUUUCACCCUCUUUACGUCCCUUGAUGCCUCCUCAUCGCUCUCCACUAGCUGAAGCACGCUCCCGUUAUGGUAGCAGUCAUACACCCAGUCAGCCAUUACAAUUUGAGCUUCAAUUUCCGCUUUCGGCUCAUAGUUCUUUCUGCAGCAGAUGAGCUCAACCAACAAAAUGCCAAAGCUGUAAACAUCUACUUUGCUAGAAAUAGGCAUAUUCCUGAACCAUUCUGGUGCUAAAUAACCUCUGGUUCCUCUGACUCCAGUGGUGGUUCGUGUUUGGUUCGCCAUCAAGAGCUUAGCUAAUCCCAAGUCUGAGAUUUUUGCAGUGAGAGAGCCAUCAAGAAGAAUAUUUUGUGGCUUGAUGUCGCAGUGGAUUAUAUGCCUGGUGCAAUCCUCGUGCAAGUAAGAGAGCCCCUGCGCAACAUUGCAGACAAUUUCUAUUCUUCUGUACCAGCUGGGCCUUGAAGCGCCAAAUAGGAAAUCCGCCAAAGUGCCAUUGCUCAUGAAUUCAUACACCAGUAGUCGGUGUUGACCUUCAUUGCAGUAUCCAAGCAACUGCACUAAGUUCUUGUGGUCAGUUCGGCCAAUUGCACUCACUUCUCUUUCAAACUCCUUCUCGCUUUCUCCAGUCUUUGUCGCCAACACUUUUACUGCAACGAAGUUCGUAUCCUCGGAUCCAAGAACACCUUUGUACACUGUUCCAAAAGCACCCCUACCCAAUUCUUCUUUGAAUCCAUAUGUUGCUUCGUGAAGCUCCUGAUAGGUGAAAGUCCGCAUGCCUGUAACUUGAUUGAUCUGGACUGGUCGUGACAACUUAGAAUCCCUAGAUCGGAAGCUUCUAUAUAUUAAAUAGGUAAUGAGUAAAAGCAAGUUCACAAAGACAGAGCAACUCAACAGCACUGAUCCGAUGAUCAUCAGAGUCGUAUUCUUGUUUUUCUUCUGGUCAUUUUUUGUGCAUUUUGAAGUCGUGUCAUGUAUCCUGACCUUGAUCAGAGUCUUUCCAGUCUCCCAUGAACCCAUCCUUCCAUUGGAAAGAGGGUUCUUCUUUUUCCAGCAAACUCCAUCUUCGAAAAUGGCGGCUGCGCAAAAACAAUCAACUAAGCAAGCCUCUCUGCACCAGUCCUCGUUUUGUCCCGUGCUAUGCUCGUAAACGGACGCUGGCCAGUCUGUUUGGAGCAUUUCACGCAAAACGAACUGGUCUGUUUCGGGCCUACUUCCGUUACAACUCUGUGGUACGAAGUCCUGUAUGCAUCCGUUCAUCUCAUUCGUUGAAUCUAACGGAGUAUAUCCAGGUGGGCAUUGGCAUCGGGGCCUCAGAUCAUCUCCAAGAGUACAGUAGCUGUUGAAGCCACAAGCUCCAGAACCGCUAUUUUGAUUGAUGCUCGUGCAUAUAUUUGGAGGGAUUGGGGGAGAGACUGUCGACCAGCCCAUUGGCCAGCCAGAACUUGAAUUCGCCAUCUUAGGGUGGAUAUAUAGCACGAAUACCCCGUCAUAUUCAAGGAUCGCUCUUUGGUAAAAUCCGUUGGUCGGGACUGUGCCUGAGGUGAGCGGUUCGAGCACCGUUCCAUUCCUAGCCGUGAGGUAGACCUGACCACUUUGAUUGAAUAUCAACUGGAAUCCGCUACCUACGGUGUUGCUGCGCCAGUAGAUAUCUGAGGGAUCAUACAGGACAGGAGUGGCAUAGAAUGCGAGAUUUCCAUCGUCUCCUAGCAUGAAGUGGAAUCUCCCAGCGGAGUAAUUCAUUUUGGAGUAGCGAGCGUUGACUUUAGUCCCAAGAUCUAACCGUUGCAUAGGCAAUAUCGUAUCCGUCGGUCGGCUGAACGAAUCCCACAACUUGACGUGGCUCACGCUCGCUAGGAUAAAGUUCCCCGUGUCGAGCAUGGCCGCAUACGCUAAGCCAGUGCCGGUCAGGCCAGAAGACCACAGCUCUCUCCCUCUUGGAUCAGUAAGCACCAGCCCACCAUCCGCGGUCAACUGGACUUUCGAACCUUCAGGUGCUAGACUAUUGCCAUUUGCCGACCAGACUAUGGUCUUGUCCUCUAUCUUCUCGAACCAUAUAGCCAACAAAUAAGCUCCUGCUCCCAUUCUCCGGAAGCCAAAGGCAAACUCACCCGACGGCGACGACCAGGAAGAGUUCUGGUCGUUCGCCGUCAACGAGUUGCCCAAGGUCAAGUUGCCGCCGAACUGAGCUUUGGUGGAAAGGGGAAGUGGAACGAGUACGAGAAGGAUUCCUAGUAUAACUGAAGCCAUGUUUGAUGAAACAGGCGUGCUCCUUGAGUUGAGCUACUUCGGCCUUAAGGAUGAAACCGGCGUUCUUAUAGAGAUUCCCUGCUUUCCAAGCUACCGGAGUCUCUCCCGUACGUCCCGUCGUUCACGGCGGGUGAGAGAGGCCACCAUUCCUCCUCCGCUUUAAUGCGAUUGCUCCUUUUUCUCCACAGCAAGUUUGAACCAAAGUUGUGGAUUGCCUUUGCCCAUGUCAACACAUAUAUCUAUCACUAUCUUUGACCCAAAAAAAAAAAAAAAAAAAACACAUAUUUCUAUCUGGAAUAAUAAUUUUGCCAUAUGGUCUGAAGUUUUAUAAAAGCUCCACCUGUAGUAAAAGAAAAUGAUUAAUUAAAAUAGAAGGUGAUAUUUGUACAUAUAUUUUAUUAGUCAAUCUUUUUUUUUAUAAUAAACCAUUUAUUUAGCAGCAAUUAAUAAACCAUUUUAGAGUAUAUAAUGAGUUACUUGAUUUUGUUUCUUUUAUCUUGAAGUAUCUUAUUAGUUCUAUUGAUAUAUCCAUCAAAUUUUCUUAAACAAUUCUUAUAAUAAUAUCAUCGAUAUUAAUUUUUCUGAUAAUUAUAUCUUUGUGAAUUUACCUUUCUUCAUUUUCUUUAUUUUUUCCCCUUUUUUUCUUAUAGAAAUCAAUGGUGAAAGAGAACUUGUCAAAUUUAGAAUAAGGUGACCCUGCUCCAGAAGCUUGGUGGGACCUUGAUACUUUUCAAAGAACGCACUUGGAAAAAUUCGAUCGAACUUCGUCGUACAUGUUUGUUGGAGACUUUUUAAGAUGAAAUUGAUGGAAAAAGAAGGCAGGGCCAGCAGUUGAUUUAAUCCCCAUGAAUUCAAACCGACUACAAGUUGCUCCGUUGAAAUUGAAAUGCUCCAACAUACGUGGAAAUUUUCAUCAAGCAUGCAACCGAUGGAUGCUUUCCACGGCGAUGUUGUGAGGUCUUGUGCAAUUUGGAGAGGAAUGGUUACAAUGAUGAACGAACAUAAUUUUGCAGACACUCUACAAAAGUUUACAUCCAGGGAUUCCGGGUUUCAAAACCGACAUGUUUGGUUAAUUGAAUGUCGCGAUGACAUAAAGAUAUCAUGCUCAUGGAGUUUACGACAUCAUACAAUACUUACCACAUCUAAAAAGCAAUUUGGUUUCCAUUUAAUAUAAUUGAUCAGUUCACAAAGAGGGAGUGUCCCUGUAUAUAAAUUACCGCAAAAGAGGUAACUAUCUACAGUUUUCUACACAUCUUUGAUCUUACUGUCGAGACUCCUCUGCAUCUUUAGCAUCUCAGUCAUGGCAAAAGUAUUUCCGUGCCACCGUGAUAAUGCCAGCCAAAACUUCCUGUUCAUACAAUCGUCCCAAAAAUAAAUUACAACCUGCUGCUUUCCACAAUGCUCAACUAGUAAGGGGAAAUGCUAAUUUUCCAGGGUUUUUAGGGUCCGAUCAGGGCCUGACCUUAUAAUUAGGAGCUUCCAAUAAGCUCCAUCCUGCAUGAAUCCCACAUAAUCUGGCCUGAUUGAGUAGGAACUUUCCCGGAAAAAUUCCUGAAUGCUCGACUGGUUAUGCUAAAAUAGUUAUAAUAGGCGGGGAAACUGUAGUCUUAAUCUCUUCCAUCUGCUCCUAAUGAGGGUCGGGUGCAAUGCCAACACGUGCUCAGGCAUAAAAUCAUGUCUUGUUAAUAUGCCCACCACAGGCAAGAUUAAAAUGAAUACAUAAAAGAACAUGUUGAACCAGAGCAAAAUGCUAUUCGCACCCGGUGGCACAGAAGUAUCACACCAAACACCCACAAGAGACGAGAAGAAAAAUCAAUUGUGAUCCCCCACCCUGAUCUACUCUGAUUUUUUACUGAAAUAGGAAGCUAAUGUCAAGUAGCUGCAUGUGCAGAAAUUCAGCUAAACGGAGAGGAAAACAUCCUAGUGCAAAGCUCUUUUACCAAAAAAAAAAACAUCCUAGUGCAAAGCUGAGCUAGUGAAGCUACAUAAACAAUUGGCACACCACAAUCCCUUUCACGGGGUUAAACUUGAACAUAUGAAAGAUAAUCGAGUAAUAUAAGAAUGGAACAGGGGAGGGUGAGAAAAUCAAGCUCGUGAGGCCAAAGGAGGAUGGUGUUAAUGUAAUUCUGAAAAAUGGCCCAAUUCUCUGAAAAAAAGAAAGCAUCGGUGUUUUUAAUAGGCUUUGUUAGCAUAGUGUUCUUUGGGUUGUUACGAUAAUAACAACUUACUAUAAAUCAUAAAUUCUUGAAGGAGUUGACAUCACAACAAUUCAUAAUUAUUUAUUAUUUGAUUUUUUGUGGUCUAAAACAAACUGUUAUUCUUAUAAUACAUUAAAAACUAUCACCAAAUCAAUUACCUUUUUUUAAUAUAUCGUCGACUGCUCCCAUCACAAAGAAAAAAUCAAUUUUUCAAGUAAAGAAAGGACUAGAGGUAUCACUGAAUGAUGGUGUAGUACUCUAUUUAAAUUGGCAGUAAAGUAUUUCAAUGCCAAAUGACGAAAAGAGCAAUAGAAUAGCUUUUGAUAGAAUUAAAGAAGUGAAAGUGAGAGCUUGCGCCAGCGAUUUUGGGUAUCACCCGUGGAUGUCUCAAGCCAACUUUCCUUUUAACUUUUUUUUUUUUUUGGCUAAAAGGCUAAUCUAGCAACCUCAGAAGCACCUCUUUUUUGAAAAAUAAUAAAAAAGUAAACAAUGUCGGUUUUUUUUUUUUUAUUUCAUUAACCAAAUCGCACGGAGUUAAUAGUGAGACUUGAUUGAACUAAUUUGAUAAGUUUUAAAACUUGAUUACACUUUUGAAAAAUUUCAUAACUCGAUUGCACUUUUGCAAUAACUUUGGAACUUUUGGUGCACUUGUUCCAAAAAAAUAUUGAGCAUUUAGAACUUAUAGAGGAUCAAUGAAGUAUCAAAUCAAUAACUUAAUAAAAAAUCUUAUGGACACCCAUUGGGGCGAGGCAAGCUUUAAACUUCAAUGCAAUGCUUGUUAUGUGAUAAACGGACCACAACCAAAUGCUUUAGGACAGCAAGGUGAUGAAGAUUAGAGAUGGAUGAACUUGAAGGGAGCGUGGUUUACUCAUGGAAUGGGCUGGAUAGACAUGAUUUUUGUUUGGGGAUUCAUUGUCAAUUUUUCAUAACGUUUCAUAAAAUUAGGGAUUUGAUUUUUUAAUCCUUAGCAAAAGAUAUGUGAAUUUGCAUUAUCUAACGACAUUCAUGCCUCUCACUACAUCUAUUGCAAUCAAGAAGAUGGUGCUUUUUGUUACAUUGCGGGAGAAUCGACUUGAGGAGAACAUUGAAACUUUUGACAUCAUUUUCCUCACCUCGUUUUUUCGUUUCCAAUCACACAUCAUUAACACAGCGAUUUAAAAAUAUCCACCUCGGGAUUAUUUUUAUUUCUCAGUAGCAUCAUCAAAAUCCUAAGGAGAAUGAAUUGAGUCGCGGCCUAACCAAGCAAGAACGCCAGGAAGUGUUCCUGUCAUUCGCGGUCAACGAGGAACCCUGCAGAUACCUUACAAGGAAUGCACAAAUUUGGAAGACUUUGACCAAAAGACGUCGCCGUACACGUUUCGUUGGAGACUUUAUGAGGCGAAAGGGAUGGAAGUAGAAGGUGCUGGUUCAAUCCCUAUGAAUUCAAACCGACUACAAGUCUUUCCGUGGAAAUUGAAUAUGCUCGAAAGUACGGAGAAAUUCGCAUCAAGCAUGUGCCUGAUCAAUGCUAUCGGUGGCAUUGUGCCGUCUUGUGCCAACCUCGAGAGGAAUGAUAACAGCAAUGAUGAAUGUACAUAAUCCUCUAGAUACCCUACAAAAAUUUGCAUAUGAGAGUUCCAAUUUUCGAAACUGAUAUGUUUGGUUAAAGGGAGGUCACAGUGCGAUGUCAUAUUCUCGUGGACUCAAUGACAUCACGCGAAACUUACCACAUUUAGAAGCAAUUUGGUUUCGCAUUUAGUGUAAGUGAUUGGUACACAGAGGGAGUGUUCCUGUAUAUAAAUUACUGAGUAAGAGAUUUUUUUUUUUUUGGAAACAGGAGGAACCAGCUUGCACCGACAGUGUCCUGUAAACCCUCCGGUGACGCUAACAGGGAAACUACCAUCCCGACGUCACGCUUAAGUCACCACAUAGCACUUCAGCCUCUUUGCUUCGCAGGGGCUUCAAACCUUGGCCUCCACCGGGGAGAGCCAAGGAUUUACCAUCCAUGUCACCGGCCGGUGGUUACUAAGUAAGAGGUUUAUCUACAGUUUUCUGCACAUUUUUGAUCUUACUGACAAGACUCCUCCACAUCUUUAGCAUCUCAGUCACAGCAGAAGUAUUCCCGUUCCGCAAUGAUAAUGCCACCCAAAACUUCUUGUCGAUACAUUCGUACGGCAAAUAAAUUACAACUUGCCGCUUUCCACAAUGCUCAAUUAGUAAGGCGAAGGGCUAAUUUUCCGGGGUCUGUAGGGUUCGAUCAGGGCCUGACCUUAUAGUGAGUGGCUUCACCCAAAACCUGGCCUGUAGGAAUUUUCCUGGGUAAAUUCCUGAAUGCUUAGUUUUAGUAGACGGGGAAACUGUAGUCUUAAUCUCUUCCAUCUCCUCCUGAUGAGGGUCGGGUGCAAUGCCAACACGUGCUCAGGCAUAAAAUCAUGCCUUGUUAAUAUGCCCACGACAGGCGAUCUCUGCAAUAAAAGAGCGUCAAGAUUAAAAUAAAUACAUAAAAGAACAUGUUCAACUAGAGCAGGGUGCUAUUACAAUAAAUACGCACCGUCACAUGAAAGUAUCACAACAAAUGCCCACAAGAGACGAGAAGAAAAAUCAAUCGCGAUCCCUCACCCUGAUCUAUUCUGAUUUUUGAGUGAAACUAGGAAGCCGCCAAAUGUCAAGUAGCUGUAUAUAGGCAGAAGUUGAGCUAAACGGAGAGGAGAGCAUCCCUGGUGCAAAGCUGAGCUAGGGAAGCGACGUAAACAUCUGGCACACCAAAAUCCCUUUCACAAUGAUGAACACAAGAAAGGUAAUCGAGUAAUAUAAGAAUGGAACAGGGGAGGGUGAGAAAAUCAAGUUCGUGAAGCCAAAGAAGGUAAUGUAAUUCUGAAAAAUGGCCCAAUUCGCCAAAAAGAAGGAAGUCAUCGGUGUUUUUAAUAGGGUUUUGUUACCAUAAAAGACUACUAUGAGAAUAACUACUUGCUGUAAGUCACAAAUUCUUAAAAACAAGUAGACAUCACAACAAUUCAUAAUUAUUUGCUAUUUAAUUUUUUUCUGGUCUAGAACAGACUUUAUUCUCACAGUACAUCCAAGUCUAUCACUAAAUUAUUUAUCUUUUUUUUCUUAAAUAUAUUGUUGAAUUUUCUAACCAAAAAGAAAAAAAAUUAAUUUUCCAAGUAAAGAAAGGACUAGAGAUAUGUCCAAGAUCACUGAAUGAUGGUAUCGUACUCUAUUUAAAUUGGCAGUAGAGUAUUUCAAUGCCAAAAAACGAAAAGAGCAAUAGAGUGGCUUUUGAUAAAAUUAGAGAAGUGAAAAUGAGAGCUUGCGCCAACUAUUAUGGGCAUCACCAGCAGAUGUCUCAAGCCAACUUUCCUUUCAAUUUUUUUUUUCAAUUUUUUUUUCUGAAAUGACUAACAUAGUAACCUCAGCCGCGCCUCUUUUUUAAAAAAUAAUAAAAAAGAAAACCAUGUCAGCUUUAUUUCUUCAUCAACAAAAUUAGACGGAGUUAAUAGAGGAAUUUGAUUGAACUAAUUUGAAAAGUUUUAAAAUUUGAUUACACUUUUGAAAAGUUUCAAAAUUUGAUUGCACUUUUGAAAAGUUUCAUAACUCGUCUACACUUUUACAAUAACUUUUAUGACUUUUGAUACACUUGUUCCAAAAAAAUAUAAAGCAUUUAAAACUUAUAUAGGAUCAAUGAAAUAUCAAAUCAAUAACUUAAUAAAAAAAAUCUUAUGGACACCCAUCAGGGCAAGGCAUGCUAGCAUACUCGACCUUAAACUUUGAUUCAGUGCUUGUUAUGUGAUAAACAAACCACAACCGAAUGCCUUUUAGGAUAGAAAGGAGAUGAAGAUUAGAGAUGGAUGAACUUGGAAGGAGCUUGGUUUGGUCAUGGAUUGUGCUGGAUAGACAUGAUUUUUUUCUUUUUUUUGGGGGGGGGGGGGGGAUACCUAAAUUUUCAGCUAUCAAAUUUUUCAUAACAUUUCAUGAAAUUAGGGAUCUGAUUUGUUAAUCCUUAGAAAAGAUAUAUGAAUUUGCAUUAUCAGCAACAUCCAUGCCUCUCACUACAUCUAUCGCACUCAAGAAGAUUGUGCUUUCCGUAACAUCAUGGAAGAUUCGACUUGAGGAGAACAUUGAAGCUUUUGACAUCAUUUUCCUCCCCUCAUUUUUUCAUUUCAAUGCACACAUCAUUAGCACAGUGAUUUAAAAAUAUCCACCUCGGGAUUAUUUGUAUUGCUUAGUAGCAUCAUGAAAAUCCUAAGAAGAAUGAAUUGAAUCGUAGCCCGACCAAGCAAAGACGCCAAGAAGUGUUCCUGUCGUUUGCCGUCAAUGAGGAGCCCGAGGUAACAUUGCUAGCAAUCUGAGCUUCGACGUAAAGUAAAUGCAGAACAAGUACUAGGACAAUUCCUAGUACUACGGAAGCCAUGUCAGAUGAAGUAGGCGCACUUCUUAAGCGGAGCUACAUCAGCCUUUAAAUUGAAACUGGCGUAUGCUAAUAGAAAUUUCUAUUUUGCCCAAGCCUAUCCCGUUCAUCCCAUCGUUGAAGGCCAGGUGACUACUUGUUCUUUGCUAUUGACACCUAAAUUUUGAAUAAGUAUUUAAGAUUAAAUUGCAUAAGAAAAUUAGGGACAAAUUCGGCCCUAACAAAAAUGAUUUUCGCGUCAAUUAGAUCUUAAUUUUUAUUUGCAUCCAUUAAGCUUUAUUUCCUUUUUUUUCCCUUUAUUUUUCACUUAUUUUCGGAUAAUUUAUUUAAAAAAGGAAAAAAGAAAAAGAAAAAGAAAAUAGUUCUUAUGGAGCUGGGCGUGAAAGCCCAGCCCCUCCUUCUUGCUCUUCCCCGCACGGGCCUGAGGCCCGUUUUUCUUUUCUUUGGCCCAGCCCCUUUCCUUUCUUCUUCUUCCUUCCUCCUUCCCCCCUCCGCCUCUGCAAUUCACGAGCAGCAACGACGACGCGCUCAAGGACGGCCUACAGGGAAGAGAGAGGAGUAGGCCGGCAGCGGAUGGGACGCACCUUCAAAGCGGAGCAAGUGGGCAACUGAGGAGACGCCGGUUCGGCCGCACCAAGGCGCUCGGCCCGCCAAGGACCGGCGGUCGAAGCCUCCGUCGACCGGGCCCCCUUUGCCUAUAAAUAGGGCAUCGGGGGGAAGGCCAAAGACACACGGAAGGAGCGAGCUCAGACGACUUCCCUUGAGAGACAUCAGGGGAGGCCCGAAAGCGAGCGAGAUCUGAGUGAGGGCGAGUUUUGAGAGCCGGUGAGAGCAAAGGCGAGCCUUCGGCAACCUUCGCACCGACGGACCACCGUCGCGCCGUCCCCAAGCCAGACCGUAAGCUCCCUCCCGACCUCUGUCUUUGCCCUGUUUGGGGCACGCUAAGCCGGAGCUUGCGGCCGUCCAGCCACCGCGAGCUCCGGCCUUGUCAUGGCGUCGCCGGCCAGGCGAGGGCAGGGCGCUCAGCUUGGGUCGGCUGAGGCGACGCCGGUGUACACCCUCAGCCGGGCCGAGGCGACUGACGCCACUCGUGUCAGCCGUCUCCGUCGCUGAGAGGAGAGGGGCGCGAUGCCGGGUAGGGAACCGGGUCGGAUGCGGGUCUUGGCCGGGUAGGGUUCAGAUGCUGGGAGAGAGAAGUGGGCUGGGCUUGUUUUUAUUUGGUUCUGGGUCUAACUCGCGGGCCGGGCAUGUCUUUUAAUGGAAAGUGGGCUUGAUUUGUUUGGACUUCGAUUGUUUUUUUUUAAAAAAAGGAGUAUUCCGGGCUGAGCCCGCGCCUCAGGCCCAUACCUACCGGUGUGUGGCGAGUCGGGUCGGUCCCAACCCGGGGAUCCGACCCAGGUCGUUUUAAUAAUAUAUUAUUAUUUUAAUAAUAAAAAUUAAAAAUAAUAAAAAUAAUAAAAAUAAUUUGUUUUUCAGAAAUCAGAAAAAUCCAAAAAUAUUUUACAUUUUCCCAAAAAAUCAGAAAAAGUGAAAAAUCAUUUAUAUUUUCAAAAAAAAAUCAAACAAAUUGUAGGUUAAAAACCCAUACCAAAAGUAGUGAAUUUGUAGGUUUGGGAGAGCCCGAGUUAAGCCUAACAGACUUAACUGAGCCAUUAGCUUUCACAUGCGCCAGCGCGUAAGUAGGUGUCCGAAAAUAAAUAAAUAAAUAAAUAAAAUAAUGGUCGUGACAUUCGCUCAAACCAAAUCUAUCGCACUCGAGAUGUCCAUGUUGACAUUAUAUGACAUAUUAUCUAAAAUAAUGAUUUUUAUCAAGUCUUCUAAUGUUUCACAAGUGGUCCAUAUGUUAAGUUGAAAAUUUGAUGAUUUACUAUUUUACUCAAAGUUGAUAAAUUCCAUAUAAUGCUGGUAAAUUCCACUGAGCUAAAAGUAAGCCACUAAUUUCACUAGUAAUUUGUUAAUUUCACCAAUAAAAUUUUGAUGCCGGUGGCAACUUCCUAAAUAGGUUGACAAGCUUAGUAUUGAACUUUACUAGAUUUCAUACUUAAUCAAUAAAAAUUAUUUAUAAAAUUUAAAAAGAAAAUGAUGCCCUCAACUCACGAAAAAAAAUGACUCAUUGAAUUUAGUCAUUUUUUAAGUAUAAUUGAUUGAUCGAUCAUUUUUUGUUGUGCAUCCCUACCAACAUGUAAAAUUGAUUCUUAAGCUUUUAACAAUUUGGCAUUUGCUUGGCGAUUGUAUAUGUGACACCUUGGAUUUAACUCACUUGAGGUAUUGUCUGUUUUGGCUCGUCCUAUGCUGCGCCUCAUGAUUUUGUCAUUUGGCAUACAAGUGAGUAUCCAAAUGAGCCGUAACAUCAUUGCUUGCUUCCACUGGCAAUGGCGUUUCCUCUUGUGGAUUUUCAUGCCAUUGUUGAUGCAAAACAUGUACAAAGUGCCAUGUGCAAGUGGAAACAUGUAUUUAAAAAUGAUAUUGUAGAUAGUUGUUUUUACCAUGAUAAGAAUUCACCAAACUUGUUCACUGUUACGAGUUUCUAGUAAAAGUUGAGUGGCAACCUUUUUAUCAAGUUGAACUAUUUACUUACCAACAAGAGAACAAUACAGUUCUGAAAUGGUCAAUGAACUUGAAGUUACUAAUUUCACUAUUAUGGUACUAAUUUCAUGGCUAAGCUUUGAUUUUGAGUGGUAAAUUAUAUUCUACUUGAAGUUGGUAAGUUCCUUACUCUGAUGGUAACUUAUAAAACAAGUACUAGAAGGAAUCUUAACAUCAUUGAAGCCAUGUUAGAUGAAACUUGUGUGCUCCUUGAGUGGAGCUACUUCAGCCUUAUGAAUGAAACCAUCAUUCUUUAUAGAUUUAAUACUUUGUAUGCUCUCGGAGUCUUUCCCACAACUUGUUUGAACCAAAUUUGUGGAAAGAUUUUGCCCAUGUCAACACAUAUAUCUAGUCUUAUAAUAGUAUUACUUGUUUGUUUCUUUUUUCUUAGGGCUCGAUUGUUAACUUGCCAAACAGUAUUUAUUUCUAUUCUUUUAUUCCUGAAAAAUAGUUUUGGAACAUAAUCGCGUUGGGUAAAAUUUUUAUUUUCGAGAACAGAUUUGGAGUAGAAUCAAGAAUAAAAAAAAAUUAUUCUUAUUCUCGGGAACAAUUCUAUAAUCAAGUCAACCUAUUUUUUUUAUUUUUCCUCUUCUUUCUUCUUGCUCUUCUUCCCUUUCUCUUGUUCUUCAAGUGCUGCCACCGCCACCAUUGUCGUCUGUCGCUGCCACCACCCCCUGCCGUUUGCCACUGAGUGCCGACAAGCUCGCCAAAGGCUUGCUCAGCCAUCGACGAGGUGGGCCUCGCCCAAGCCUCCCUCGACCACCGGUGAGCCUUACCUAAGGCCAAGCGAGCCUCAUCUGGGCCUCCCUCGGCCACCAGCGAGCCUUGCCUAGCCAGGCAAGGCUCAACCCAGCCGCUGGCGGGGCUUGACCUCGCCAAGGCACUACAAGGUCAAUGUUGUCGGGCCAAGGCAAGGCCGACCUCAUGGUAACUCGGCGAGGUCGAGCCCCGUUAGCGGCUAGACGAGUUUAGCCUCGCCAAAUCUGGGCGAGGCCGCUCGCCCAGCCAAGGCUCGGAUGAUGAGGCAUGGCCUCGUUGAGGGCUAGCAACACUCCAGUAAGGUUGCUGGCCCUCAUCUGGCUGGUCGCCGGUCAUCCUAAGGCCGGCGACCGACCACCUUAAAGAAGAAGAAGAAGAAGAAGAAGAAGAAGAAGAAGGAGAAGGGGAAGGAGGAGAAAAAGAAGAAGAAGAAGGAGUAGAAGCAGAAGAAGAAGGAGGAGAAGAAGAAGAAGAAGGAGCAGAAGGAGAAGGAGAAGAAGGAGAAGGAGGAGGAGAAGAAGAAGAAGGAGGAGAGGCAGAAGUAGAAGAAGAAGCAGAAGCAGAAGAUGGAGAGGCAGAAGUAGAAGAAGAAGUAGAAGCAGAAGAUGGAGAAGGAGAAGAAGAAGAAGGGGAGAAAGAAAGGAAAAGAAGAAAAAAGAAAAAUAAAUAAAGGAAAAAAAAUAAAAUUAUUUAAAAAAUAAACAAAAAUGAUUUGAAAUAGGAAUUUAAAUUUUGCUAUAUAUAGAAUACAUAUUUUUAAUUGUAUUUUAAUUUAUUAUUUAGUAUUUAUAUUUAUAGUUUAUACUAUACUUUAUUAUUUACUAUUUAACAAAAAUUUGAUUAGUUAAUAUUUUUAUUACUUAGUAUAAAUAUAAUUAAUCAAUAGAAUUUCUAUGAUUUGAUAGAAUUUUAGAAUGGAAUAGAAUUCUAAAUUCAAAUUCUUUUUAAAUUGGAAAUAUAAUAUGAUUUCUUCAUUUAUAAGAAGACAAUUAUAUUGGUGAGUGGUCCAUGAGAAUUCAAUAUCAAAUUUACACUCAUCUAAAAAGGUAAUUGAAAAAGAUUUGGAAUAGAAAUUUGAUGUAGUUAUUAAACGCAUUUCUAUUCUUUUUUUAUUCAAAAAUCAGAAAUUUUGUACAAUUACCAAACGCAUUCUUUUGCUCAAAAAUUGUUCCCGGAAACAGAAUGAUUACUAAACGCGCCCUCAAAGUAUCUUAUUAGUUAUAUUUUUAUAUUCAGCAAAGUUUGUUGGAAAAUCGACUUUGAAAUUGGGUUGAACAAUAAAGUGAGAUUUUGAGACAUAAUAUCACUUUUUUUUAAGGAUUUUUUGCUCCCAUAAAGUUGUUAAUAGUCACCAACAAAUUUCCUCUAGAAUACAACAAAGUCUCGAUAAGAAUAUUAUAAAGCAAUUCUAAUAUUUCUCCUGAACCUCUCGAGGAAAGCAAUUCCAAAAGAUGGUUGUAGUUUUUGGAAAGAAGACUUGAAAAAAAAAAAAUACUAGCGAACCGUUUUCUCAAAACCUAACAUAUUUAUGUCGGUCUUAUUGAACAAAGACAUACCUUCGGGAAAAGUUACAAAAUGAACUAGUAAGAUUGCAAAAGACCAGUCGAGAAAGGUUGCUAAUUGAACUGGUAUGUUUUCCAAACGACAACUUCAAAAGAUAUAAAAAUUCGGAAUAAAAAAUAAUUAAAACUAUUACUAUUUUAAUAAAAAAUUCCAAAUUUAAUAAUUUUGAAAAAAAAGAUAAAAAAAUAAAUACUAUGUUUUGAUUAACAAGAUAAUCAUAUGGAAACAAGAUAACCAUAUGGAAUAAGAUAAAAGGAUACGGGAUUAGCGCUAAUUAUACUGCGAGCACGCAAGCAAGUCAAGUGCACUUAAUAAUAUAGCCCACACCCUAACCUUGUUUCUAAGCAAACUAGAAAAGCUCACACAUUAAGUGGCCUAUCUCAUACUAACACAGAGCUACUCAACAGCACUAAUCCGAUGAUAAUCAGAGUGGAAUUCUUGUUUCCAUCUCCCGUAGAUUUUGAAGUCGAGUUAUUUAUCCUGACCUUGAUCAGAGCUUUUUCAUCCUCACUAGGAUCCAUCCUUCCAUUGGAAAGAGGGAUCUUCUUUUUGUAGCAAGUUCGCUGUCGCCAAAAAUAGUAAUUGCGCAAAAACAAUCAGCCAAACAAGCCUCUCUGCACCUGUCCUCGGUUUGUGCUGCAGUACGCUCGUAAUCAUUCCUUGGCCAGUUUGUACGGAGCAUUUCAUGCAAAGCAAACUGGUCUCUUUCGGGCCUACUUCCAUCACAACUCUGCGGUACGAAGUCCUCCCUGCAUCCAUUCAUCUCGUUUGUUGAAUCUAAUGGCGUAUAUCCAGGUGGUCAGUGGCAUCGAGGCCUCUGGUCGUCUCCAAGAGCACAGUAGCUGUUGAAGCCACAAGCUCCAGAACUCGUAGUUUGCUUGAUGCUCUGGCAUAUAUUUGGAGGGAUCGGGGAAGAGACCAUCGACCAGCCCAAUGCCAAGGCAGAACUUGAAUUUGCCCCCUUAGGGUGGACAUAUUGCCUGAAGACCCCAUCGUAUUCAAGGAUUGCUCUUUAGUAAAACUCGUUGGUCGGGACUGUGUCUGAGGUGACAAGUUUGAGCAGUGUUCCAUUCCUAGCCGUAAGGUAGACCUGACCUUUUUGAUUGAAUAUCAAUCUAAAGCCGCUACUUUGGUGUUGCUGACCCAGUAAGUAUCUGAGGCAAGCCACGCGUCAGAAGUGGCAUAGAAUGCGAGAUUUCCGUCGUCUCCUAGCUUCAAGUGGAAUCUCCCGGUGGAGUAAUUCAUUUCAGAGUAGCGGGCGUUAACUUUAGUCCUUGAUCUAACUGUUGCGUAGGCAGUAUCGUGUCGGUCGGUUGGCUGAACGUCUCCCACAAGUUGACGUUGUUCUGGCUAACUAGGACAAAGUUUCCCGUGUCAAGCAUGGCCGCAUGCGCUACACCAGCGACAGUCGGGCUAGGAGACCUCAACUCUCUUCCAUUUGGGUCGGCUAGCACCAGUUGGCCGUCGGCGGUCAACUGGAUCUUCGAACCUUCUGGCACUAAAUUAUCACCAUUCGCCGACCAGACAAUGGUCUUGUCCUCUAUCUUCUCAAACCAUAUUGCCAGCAAAUGAGCCCCUUGUCCCAUUUUCCGGAACCCGAAGGUGAACUCACCGACGGAGACAGCCAGGAAGAGUUCUGGUCAUCCACCGUAUAACAAGGAGCCCAAGGUGAGGUUGCCGUUGAUCUGAGCUUCCGCGGAAAGUGGAAGGGUAACAAGCAGCAGGAGGAUUCGGAGCAUCACUGAAGCCAUAUGAGAUGGAAAAUGGAGGUGCUCCUUCAGUCAAGCUACUGCAGCCUCAAGGAUGAAAACCAGCGCCCUUUAUAGAAUUCGAGAGCGUCUCUCGUCACCUGUCAACAAGAUUAUAAAUCCAGCACCUCGACACCUAGCAGUAGAUUAGCAAGUUAUAUUUUUUUAAGGAAAACUGUCAAUUAACCGGUAAAUUAUCAGGAAAAUACAAAACAGUUUUCUAGAGUUUUACAAUGAGGCCCUUUCGGUCAAUUAGUAAUAACCAAAGAUAAAAUGAUGUUAUCAUCCUCAAAUAGUAACGUUAUCUGGUCCAGCCUAAGGAUCUUAAACAAAGGCCGUGAUUAUUGGAGCCCGCGUUCCACGUAAAUAAAAUAGAAGGAUUAACCACGGGGGGAAUUUGUAACCAAAUUUGGAAACACCCCCCGGCCUGAUCCUAGCUCUGCUGCACUGACCUCAAAUAGUAAGAUUAUCUAGAUUACCCAAUGCUUUAACAUACAAAAUGAAGAUUUUAUCUCUAGAAUCUGGUAUAUAGUGGCAGAUCACCAAGUGAUUUAUAAUUUUACAAGUGAGCCCGUCAAGCAAUUAGUAACUCUCUAGUGGAAUCAUGAUGUUAUCACCCCUACGUCAAGUAGUGAACUCUCAAGUGCUUUAAAAUUUUUCAAGUGGGUUCAUCAGAUAGGUGGUCAAUCUCUAAAGAAGUUGAUAAUUUAUUAUUUCACCGGUUGUACCUUGUUAAGCUAAAAGCAAGCUUACUUCGAAAAAUUACUACUUUUACAAUCCUUAACUGUACUAGUAAUCUCCAAAGACAACCUCCUUAAUUAGUUAAGUAAGACCUUCGGCAAAUUUCGUACUUUACGUGAUACUUACUACCUUAAGGGAGAGCAGACAUGUUGCUAAUUUCACUGCUACUUACUAACUUUAAUGAGGGAGUUUACCAAUUCAAGAUUGAAUUGGUGUCAAUAAAUCUCUCAAAUUGUUGCGACUUAUUAAGCCAAAAGCGGGCCUACGUUGGUGAGUUACUUAUUCCCAUGGUAAGUUAAUAACCAAUGUUAUAUUUCCAAUGGCAAAUUCGUUACUUUCCUAGUAACUUAACUUAUAGAGAGACCCGUAUUGGCAAUUUAUCAUAUUCAGUCUUAAAUUACUAGUUUCACUGCUAAGUUUUUAACUUUGAGCGAUAAUUUCUAAGAAAGGUGAUAAUCAACUCUUCCAUUUAAUGUUGGCGAAUUGCUAACAUUGUCUGUAAAUCACCAUCACUUGGUUGGAACUUAUGAAACACUGACACUUUCUGAAAGCUUUCGUGUGGUGUUGGACACUUCACACGUGUCUACCACUCUCGGACACUCCUAAACACUCAGUCAACGUGUGUCCGAAAAUUUGACACUUAGUUAAUUUUCCCAACACUUGAGUUAGAAUUCCGACAUGUGAAUUUUUGACACAUGAUUUCGAUACAUGCGAUCAAUUUUAAAAAUUUUCAAUAAAUGAUUUCUAAAUGUAUAUAUCCGAAAAUAAUAAUAAUAAUAAUAAUAAUAAUAAUAAUAAUAAUAAUAAUAAUAAUAAUAAUAAUAAUAAUAAUAAUAAUAAUAAUAAUAAUAAUAAUAAUAAUAAUAAUAAUAAUAAAUGGGGAAAGAAGAAAAAUCUAGUUUUCUUUUUUUCUCUUUCAACUCUUAGUUUCUGUGAUACAAUUCACUUUCCAAUUUUCUUUUCUAUUUUCUUCUGACAAGUCUGACACAUAAGUCCAGAAUGUGUAUGGCUUGUUUUUUUUCCUCUCUCCAAGUUUUAUAAAUUAUCUAAUUGAGUUAAAUUUGUCAAAUUGAAGUAAUGAAUAAUAUUAAAUGAUGGUGGACUAAUAGUUUUAGUAUAAAUUCAUUCUAGCCCUCUAUUAUUAUUUAUUUAUUUGUGACUUUGAAUUAAAUUAAUUUGAUUGAAAUAAUUAUAAAAAUGAUAAUUUAUUGUGUAUAUAAUAAUAUGAAUUUAAUAUAUAACGUAUCAUAAUAUGUCGAAAUUAUCUUCUUCUUUUUAAAUAAUUUGUCAACGUGUCAUAUUGUGUCGUAUCGCAUGUUGUAUGCCGCGUGUCAAUGCUACUUAGAUUGGAACUUUGACCAACAGGUUACAUGAUAUAACCGAAUUCUAAUCAUAUUGGAAAAGUGCCAUGCACGAAACAUGACUGGAGUAGGCGUGUUUCUUAGUUUCUCCGUACGUGGAAAUUUUGAAGAAGGCAAGUCUGCUUGGGCGGAGCCAUUGAGCUUCGGCCGCGACCCAGAAAUUUCUCAAGGAGAAACAGACAAAUUUAGAAGACUUUAAAUUGACCGAAACGUCUUUUAGGGAGGAGGAGAUUUUGGGAGUUGAAAAUGUUUUUUUGACCAAAACACGAAGAUUCAAUUCCCGCGGAAAUCAAAGCGACUGCAGGUCACUUCGUGGAAAUUGAACGUUUCGGUGCGUGUACGGACGUGGAAAUUUGCAGCGGUGUCCCGCAUGAAGCAUGCAUGCUGUAUGAACACGAUCUCAUGCCAAACUGUAUGAACACGAUCUCAUGCUUGCUUACGGAUCACGAUCGGUUGACCGCCUUUUUCAUGUGUUUCUCAUGAAAGUGAAGCGGGACCCACUAGAUCAUCAUGCAAAACGCUCAAAAUAUAAAAAAAUUCAAAAUAGUAAAUAAAGAAGCAAACUUCUACCACAUACUAGAGCCGAGGAGCCAGUAAGAGACAAAGCAUUGAAUCUACAAUUCCGAAACCUAAGUGAACUUUGACCACAUACGCUUAUCUUGUGAACUUAAAUUUAUUAUUACUUGAGACUUGUUGACAGUGUUAAGUGUGUGUUUUGGUGUACAAUAGUAAGUCCUAUCGACUUGAGUAUAAGCAACACUAGCUUUGGAUAGAAGCGCUUGGGUAUAAGCGGCACAACUUGACCGUAACCAUUCAUCGGUUAUCUGGUGGAAUCUAGCAAGUAGGCUGUUAACGUAAGAGAAUGGACGUAGGCCUAAUUUAAGCUAAAUCACUAUAAAUUUACAAUCUUCUUUUCUCUGAACUCUUAUUGUUUAUUGCUAUUGUUUAUUGCACACUUACUGGGUGAUUCAAAGUCUGUGCUACUGCAUUCCAGAAUCUGACCCUUAUUCAAACUUUAAUCUUGACUCAUUCUUUUCUGUUUUAAUUUGUCAAGAUUCUGUAGUAUCACCUAUUCAAACUUUAAACCUGCUAGCCACCCUCAGAUUAUACUUCCAAUUACGUGAUUUGCGGACUGGGAUCUUUUUGGUCUAGAAGAAGUUGGUUGCCAAAAGAAAGUGAGUAUCCCUCCUGUAUGAAUAAAAAAGCAGCAGAACUGUUGAAAUUGGGAUUCCAGGUCCACGAUUUAUGACCUGAGGAUCGGCAAGUUUCAUAUGCUUCUCAUCAUCUAAUUUAGCAAAUAAGGUCUGUUUUGGUUAGAUCAAGUUAAAAUACUCUUCCACCGUGUCAAAUGCAAUUUUCAUGAAGCAAAAUGUCGAUGAAAAUGCUUUGAUAGUUGCAUUCGGCCUCGCAUGUAAUCCCUUCUGCGACGAUCAUCAACCCGUUCUCUCUUGGAUACAUGUGAGGAAAUGUUAAACUUGACUGAUGAUAUAGCUUAUUUAAUCGGGAUCCAUGUGAAGACAGUAUGCGCAAUAGCACUUAUAGACAAUACGAGUACUUUUCAUGAUUACAGACAACAGUGGUGUUAAAUAAGCAAAAUCAUAUUGAACUCAUAAAAGAGCUUGGAACUGGAGAUGAUUACAGACAACAGUGGUGUUAAAUAAGCAAAAUCAUAUUGAACUCAUAAAAGAGCUUGGAACUGGAGGUACUGGGACUUCAACAGCUCCUUCCAACAUUUGAGUAAUUUUCUUCAUGGUUGGCCUUAAAGCCGGGUCUUCCUGGAUGCACCACAAUGCUGUCAUCACAAAUCUUCUCACCCUCUUUAUGUCACUCGAUGCCUCCUCAUCGCUCUCCACUAGCUUAAGUACACUCCCGUCGUGGUAGCAAUCAUACACCCAGUCAACUAGCACAAUUUGAGCUUCAAUUUCUGCUUCCGGCUUGUAGUUCUUUCUGCAGCAGAUGAGCUCAACCAACAAAAUGCCGAAGCUGUAAACAUCUACUUUGCUAGAAAUAGGCAUAUUCCUGAACCAUUCUGGCGCUAAAUAACCUCUGGUUCCUCUGACUCCAGUGGUGGUUCGUGUUUGGUUCGCCAUCAAGAGCUUAGCUAAUCCCAAGUCUGAGAUUUUUGCAGUGAGAGAGCCAUCAAGAAGAAUAUUUUGCGGCUUGAUGUCGCAGUGGAUUAUAUGCUUGGUGCAAUCCUGGUGCAAAUAAGAGAGCCCCCGCGCAACAUCGCAGGCAAUUUCUGUUCUUCUGUACCAGUUGGGCUUUGAAGCGCCAAAUAGGAAAUCCGCCAAAGUGCCAUUGUUCAUGAAUUCAUACACCAGUAGUCGAUGUUGACCUUCAUUGCAGAAUCCAAGCAACUGCACCAAGUUCUUGUGGUUAGUUUGGCCAAUUGCACUCACUUCUCUUUCAAACUCCUUCUCGCUUUCUCCAGUCCUUGUCGCCAACACUUUUACUGCCACAAAGUCUGCAUCCUCGGAUCCAAGAGCACCUUUGUAUACUGUUCCAAAAGCACCCCUACCUAGUUCUUCUUUGAAUCCAUAUGUUGCUUCUUGAAGCUCCUGAUAGGUGAAAGUACGCGUGCCUGUAACUUGAUUGAUCUGGACUGGUCGUGACAACUUAGAAUCCCUAGAUCGGAAGCUUCUAUAUAAUAAAUAGGUAAUGAGGAGUAAAAGCAAGUUCACAAAGACAGAGCUACUCAACAGCACUGAUCCGAUGAUCAUUAGAGUCGUAUUCUUGUUUUUCUUCUGGUCGUUUCCUGUGCAUUUUGAAGUCGUGUCAUGUAUCCUGACCUUGAUCAGAGUUUUUCCAGUCUCCCAUGGACCCAUCCUUCCAUUGGAAAGAGGGUUCUUCUUUUUCCAGCAAUAUCCAAUGCUUAAAACGGCGGCUGCGCAAAAACAAUCGGCCAAGCAAGCCUCUCUGCACCAGUCCUCAGUUUGUCCCCUGCUAUACUCGUAAACGGAAUUUGGCCAGUUUGUUGCGAGCAUUUCACGCAUAACGAACUGGUCUGUUUCGGGCCUACUUCCGUUACAACUUUGUGGUACGAAGUCUGGUAUGCAUCCGUUCAUCUCAUUCGUUGAAUCUAACGGAGUAUAUCCAGGUGGGCAUUGGCAUCGGGGCCUCAGAUCAUCUCCAAGAGUACAGUAGCUGUUAAAGCCACAAGCUCCACUGCCAAACUCUUGGGCGAUGCUCGUGCAUAUAUUUGGCGGGACUGGGACAGAGACCCUCGACCAGCGAAAAGGCCGGCCAGAACUUGAAUUUGCCGUCUUAGGGUGGAUAUAUUGUAUGAAUACCCCGUCGUAUUCAAGGAUCGCUCUUUGGUAAUACCCGCUGGUUGGAACUGGUUCUGUGGUGAAACGGUUGAGUAUUGUUCCAUUUCUAGUCGUGAGGUAGACCUGACCACUUUGGUUGAAUAUCAACUGGAAGCCGCUAUCGACGGUGUCGCUAGCCCAGUAAGCAUCUGUGGAAUCCAACGGGUCAGGCUUGGCAUAGAAUACGAGAUUUCCGUCGUCACCUAGCUUGAAGUGGAAUCUCCCGGCGGAGUAAUUCAUUUUGGAGUAGCGAGCGUUGACUUCAGUCCCAAGAUUUAACCGUUGCGUAGGCAGUAUCGUAUCCGUUGGUCGGCUGAACGAAUCCCACAACUUGACAUGGCUCGCGCUCGCUAGGAUAAAGUUCCCCGUGUCGAGCAUGGCCGCAUACGCUAAGCCAGUGCCGUUCAGGCCAGAAGACCACAGCUCUCUCUCUCUCGGGUCGGUAAGCACCAGCCCGCCGUUGGCGGUCAACUGGACUUUCGAACCUUCGGGCGCUAGAUUAUCGCCAUUCGCCCACCAGACGACCGUCUUCUCCUCUAUCAUCUCGAACCAUAUUGCCAGCAAAUGAGCCCCUUGUCCCAUUUUCUGGAACCCGAAGGCGAACUCGCCCGACGGCGACAGCCAGGAAGAGUUCCGGUCGUUCGCUGUCAGCGAGGAGCCCAAGGUCACGUUGCUGCGGGUCUGAGCUUCAGUGGAAAGGGGAAGUGGAGCGAGUACAAGAAGGAUUCCUAGUAUAACUGAAGCCAUGUUUGAUGAAACAGGCGUGCUCCUUGAGUUGAGCUACUUCGGCCUUAAGGAUGAAACCAGCGUUCUUAUAGAGAUUCCCUUCUUUCCAAGCUACCAGAGUCUCCCUCCUUUUUCUCCACGGCAAGUUUGAAUUAAAGUUGUGGACAGCCUUUGCCCAUGUCAACACGUAUAUCUAUCAACUAUCUUUGACCAAAAACAAAACACAUAUAUCUAUCUAGAAUAAUGACUUUACCAUAUGGUCUGAAGUUUUAUAAAAGCUCCAUCUGUAAUAAAAGGAAAUGAUUGAUCAAAAUAUAAGGUGAUAUUCGUAAAUAUAUUUUAUUAAUCAACCUUUUCUUUUUUGUAUUAAUAGACCAUUUAGAAGUGAAUGAUGAGCAUCCAAUUUUAGCAGUUUGAUCUUUCUUUUGUUUUUCGUUAUUGAGGCCUUUUUUUCCUUUUUACUUUAUCAUGUUUCUUUUUUCUUAAAGUAUUUUAUUAGUUGCAUUAAUAUUUUCAUCAACAUUUAAAUAAAAAUAAUUUAUGAUAGUAUCAUUGAUAUUGAUUUUUUUUGGAUUAUAAUGUUUUAGCAAAUUUAUAUUUUCCCUAUUUUCUUUGUUUUUUACUUUUUUUUUUUGUAGAAAUUAAUACUGAAAGAACUUGUCAAAUUUAGAAUAAGGCGACUCAGCUUGCCAGGGACCCGGACACUCUUCGAGGAAGGCACAAAUUUGGAAGACUUUGACCAAACGUCGUUGUACAGGAGACUUUACGGGAUGAAAGGGAUGGAAGAGGACGGCCCUUAUAUCACGUUGGUAAACUCCACUAAGCUAAAAGCAGGCCACUAAUUUCGCAAGUAAUUUGUUAAUUUCAACGGUAAAAUUUGGUUUUAUCAAUACAUUAUUAAGUUACCGAUUUCAAUCGUGGAGAUUUUUCUAAAUAUCGAUUAAUUAAUAAAAACACUUAUAAAAUUUAGAAAGGAAAUGAUGCCCUCGACUCAUAAAAGAAAAUGAUAUAUCGAAUUUGUAGUCAUUUUUUUUAUAAAUAUAAUUGAUUCAUCUAUCAUUUUAUUUUGUAGAUAUAUUUUUCUCCAUUUUCUUUAUAUUUCACAUGAAACAAUGGUGAAAAAAGUUAUUGCCAUAAACAAGAUGACAAUAAACUUUUACCCCUUAAAAGGCAUGUGCCUUGCAUGCGCUAACAGAAUGGAGUGACAAUUUCAAAGUUCAGGGGCAAAUAUAUACUAUUGCAAAGUUCGAGAGAGAUUUGAGUAAUUUCUUCAGAUUUUCUUUCCAACAGAAAAUUUGCCACUUUAUUAGAAAUUUACUAACUUGUAACUUGUAAUGACUUACGUGGUAACUUAUUAAUUUCCCUGCUACGAUUUAGUUUUAAAUAGCCAAUUUCUAAAUAAUUGAACAACUUACGUUCCACUUGAAAUUGGUAUUACUACCUUAUAAGCGGAACUAUAUGGUAAGUUAUUAAUUUAUAUGAAAGUUAUAAAUUUCACCACUAAAUUUUUGUUUUGAGUAAUAAAUGUCUAAAAAAGAGUUAAUGACUUAUCAUUGCAUUUAUUGGUGAUAAAUUGCCACCAUUGUUAGUGCAUUACCACAUCAGUUGACUAAGAAAUCCCUAGUUACGUGAUUUUAUCAAUAAAAUUUGGAAUUCAUUGAUCGAGUUUGAAUUCCGACAUGUGAAUUUUUGACAUAUGAUUUCGAUACAUGGGGUCAAUUUUAAAAAUUUUAAAUAAAUGAUUUCUAAAUGUAUAUAUCUGAAAAAUAAAAAAUAAUAAUAAAAAUAAUAAAUGGGGAAAGAAGAAAAAUCUACCUUUUUUUUUUUUUUUCUGUCUUUUAACUCUUACAUUCCGUGAUACAAUUCACUUUCCAAUUUUUUUUUUCUAUUUUCUUCCAACAAGUUUGACACGUAAGUCCAGAAUGUGAAUGUCUUGUUUUUUCCUCUCUCCAAGUUUUAUGAAUUAUCUGAAUUGAGUUAAAUUUGUCAAAUUGAAGUAAUGAAUGAUAUUAAUUAAUGGCGGAUUAAUAUUUUUAGUAAAAAUUCAUUCUAGGCUUUUAUUAUUAUUUAUUUAUUUGUGAAUUGAAUCAAAUUAAUUUGAUUCAAAUAAUCAUAAAAAUGAUAAUUUAUUAUGUAUAUAAAAAUAUAAAUUUAAUAUAUAACGUGUUAUAAUGUGUCGGAAUUCUAUAUUUUUUUAGAAAUAAUUUAUCGACGUGUCAUGUCGUGUCGUAUUGCGUGUUGUGUGUCAGUGUUGGUACUACUUAAGUUGAAACUUAGACCCACAAGUUACAUGAUCUAACCAAGAAGAUUUAUAAAUUUUAAUCAUAUUGGAAAAGGGCCGUGCACGAAACACGACUGGAGUAGGCGUGUUUCUUAGUUUCUCCAUACGUGGAAAUUUUGAAAAAGGCAAGUCUGCUUGGGCGGAGCCAUUAAGCUUCGGCCGCGACCCAGAAAUUUCUAAAGGAGAAAUAGACAAAUUUAGAAGACUUUGACCGAAAUGUCUUUUAGGGAGGAGAUUUUGGGAGUUGAAAAUGUUUUUUUUUUUUUUUGACCAAAACAUGAAGAUUCGAAAAGCGACUGCAGGUCACUUCGUGGAGAUUGAACGUUUCGGUGCGUGUAUGGACGUGGAAAUUUGCAGCGGUGUCCCGUGAAGCAUGCAUGCUGUAUGAACACGAUCUCAUGCCGAACUGUAUGAACAUGAUCUCAUGCUUGCUUACGGAUCACGAUCGCUUGACCGCCUUUUCCAGGUGUUUGUCGUGAAAGUGAAGCGGGACCCAGUAGAUCAUCGUGCAAAACGCUCAAAAUAAAAAAGAAAAUCAAAAUAGUAAAAAAAGAAGCAAAAGAAAAAGCGAAAGAAAAGCGUCUGAAAUACUUUUCCCCCCGCCAACCCACUCCCUAAUCACCGCUAACUUUGACUUUAAUCAGAUCGCUAAUGGACUUCACAAGAAAAAAAACAACCCUCCUAAUCAAUCCCCCCCGCAACCCGCGAAACGUGCACAGCACACGUAACACCACCCCGCCAACUGACACGUCAGCACACGCUCGCCACACUGUCCGUUGCUCUCGCUCCAUUGUCGUCUUCCGCAGGGAAUUCCAGAAAUGCAGGAGAUGGCGAUGUCUAUCCACGAGAAAUCUGCUGCUUUGUUUCGUGCGAUGGAGGUUCUCCCCAUGCAGACAAUUACCUCCUCCUUCUCCUUCUUCUUCCUCGUGCUCUAAAGCACACCGCUGGAUUGUGCUUUGCCGGCGGAAGUAGGUGAGGCGAGGAAUGUUCUCGACGUGAGCGGCGUACUCCACACGAUUGUGAACCGUGUCGUUGGGGGGAUCUAAUGCUUACUGCUUAGACUGCAAUUAAGUCUUGUGCAGCUUGGAGAGGAAUAACUACAUUAAUGAUUGAUGAACAUAAUUCGGCAUAUAUUCUGCAGGAAUUUGCAUACAUCAAAUUUGCAUAUACUAAAUCGCUCUGUUAACUCUGUUAAAUUUGACCAUCGAAAAAAGUUGACAUAAUUUUUUCAUUGUUGUUCAAAAGGAAAUGCGUUGAUAUGAAUGUCACACCAGCCAAUUUAGAAGAAAAAUAUUAAAAGAUAUUUAAAGCUAAAUGUUCGAUGUUGCAAUUAAAUUAUAAUAAAUUGUUUUCAAAACUUUAGAAGAAUAAAAUUAGGGAAAAAGAAGAAAACUUAAAGAGAAAAAUCAUUCUCGAGAAUCCGCUCCAUCAAUUUUUGCAUUCAGCUACUUCGUUUCCCAGCCAUAGCUGGUGCUGGUUCUUAAGCUUCCAUGGCAACGAGAUCUCUAUUCUCGCUCAAAUCCGCCACUCACUAGAGGUUCACCACCUCGCGGCCAAACAUGGCUUCCUCCUUCGAUCUUCUUUGACGAUACGGGCUAUGAUCAUUGUCUCAUAUCUGUGCAAGGGUCAUCAUUUGCCGUAAUUGUCGGAGGAGCGAGAGUGGCUAGUGGGAAGGUCCCUGUUGACGAGUGACGAGGCUGGCUCACUUGUCUCCCACACGCUUACUUUAUUUUUAUUUUUUAUUUUCAAAAUGCGAAGUUGGUAGCAAGGGCCGCACUAGCUUUACCUAAGUCUGGUGUGGGACGUCGGCCCCUCGUUGAUGCAUGGGUGGCCGUUGAGCCGCCACCACCUUUACUGCAUCUAUGCUGUCCUUCUCAGCUUCUCCCGUGUUUGAUUCUUCUUCUUUUUUUUCCAAUUUUUUAAUUCGAUUUUUUAUUUUUCUAAAAUCUUGAAGUCAAUUCUUUUCCUUUUUUAUUUCCUUUAUUUUUGUAAUAUCUAACAUGGCAAUCUCAUCAACACAUAAUUCUUUAAAGAAAUGGUAAAAAAAAGUCGCAUCAACUUUUUCUAAUAGCCAAAUGGCACAGAGUUAAUGUAUAAACUUGAGUGAACUGAUUUGAAAAGUUUUAAGAUUUAAUUAUAUUUUUUUCAAGAUUUAAGGAUUCGAUUGUACUUUUAUAAUAAGUUUUAAGACAUGUAAUACACUAAUACCAUAAAAAUAUAGACUAUUUAGAGCUUAUAGAGGAUCAAUGGAGUAUCAAGUCAAUAACUUAAUAAAAAUAUUGUGAACACCCAUCGAAGCGUGGAAAGCUAACAUGCUCAACUUUAAACUUUGAUUCUAUGCUUGGUAAACAGAGCAAGUCCAGAUACCUCUUAGGACGUCCAGGUGAUGAAGAUUAGAGAUGGAUGAACUUGAAAGGAGCUUGGUUUACUCACGAAUUGGGCUGGAUAGACAUGGCUCUUGCUUGGACCGUCGCUAUUGACACUUAAUUUUUUGCCUAUUUUAUAUUUCGAAACAUUUUCAUAAAAUUAGGGAUUUAGUUUGUUAACCCUUAGCAACUAACCGUCAUGCUUCUCCCUACAUUUCAUCGCAGUUAAGGGGAUUGUGGUAUUUGCUGCAUCAUGGGAGUCCAAAUUGGCGAGAAAAUUGAAGCCUUCAACAUCAUUUUCCUCACCUCGUUUUUCCACCUUGGAGAUUUUUUUAAGUAACAAGAGACACCUCGUAUUUUUACGGUGUUUAUCAGUUAUGUGCAAUAAAUCUCUACUUCGCCGCUAGUAAGAUUUGAACUCUUUGCGCAGCAUGCUGGGGUUGAAAUCCCGCUACCGACAGUCCCCUUUGCUAGGCGAUCUGUAAAUCCAUUAUAAAACUUUAUAAACCCGUGUUAUGCCCUAGCCUUAACACGGAGUAAUCUCCCUUCCUCUUAAACUUUUUAUCAUAUCCGAAUAAAUUUUUUUUUUCUUCACCUGGUGCAUUAGGGGCAUUCAUCUACUUCUAUAAAAUUGGCGCAAGCAGACCAUUCCAAAGUGAAACAAACAAAAGACGAAGACCUUGACCCAAAUAUCGUACGUUUUGUUGAAUAAAAAUGACAUUAGAAUGAUAGCAAACGAGCCGGCAGACCCCAUGGCUGACAAAAACAACUAUGAAAUCGAACCUGUCAAUUUUCUGAUGCAAAUCAAUGCUAGAUUUGGAUCUUCUGGGUCUUUCCAUUGUCUUGGUAUAUUUUUCGAUUUCCUCCAGUUUGGACCCAUUGUCCAAUGGCAUUAACAGUAGCUUGCUGAGUGGCUUAUACAAGAUCUCCAAUGAUUAUUUGGAAAGGUAUAUGUACGCCUAGAGUAUUGUCUUUCUUUUGUCACUUCGGGCAAUUUCUCAACAGAUCAAUCGAGAAGAAAGUUCGUUUGAUUAUUCUUCCAACCACGUGAUUUGCAGACUCUGAUUUCUUUGGUCUAUAUGAAGUUGGUUGCCAAAAGGAGGUGAAAGUCCCAUCUGAGUGAAUAGAAAAGCAGCAGACCUUUUGAAAUUGGGAGUUCAGGGUAGUGAUCCUCGACUUGAGGAUUAGCAAGUUUCAUAUGGUUUCUCACCAUUCAAAUUUAGCAGAUAAGAUCUGUUUUGCUUUGAUGAGGUUAAGAUAAUCUUUUACUGCAUCCAAUGCAAUUUUGAUGAAGCAAAAUGGUCGAUGGAAAUGCAUUGAUGGGGUCACAUUAGUUUUACCUGCGACACAAUGGAAUAUGAUCCAUGAAGAAUUCCUAAGAGAUUUAGAACAAUUUUGCCAACAAUUGCCAACAUGCUAGUGAAUUUCAAACUUUAGGAAGAGUUAGCUUAUUGAAGCUGGAUUUAUGUGAACAUAUUAUGACAAUGUUUAUUCUGGUGUAGGUGCACUUACAGACCAUACAAAUACUUUUCAUUAUUACAGACGCCAGUUGUCUAAAUAAUCAAAAUCAUAUUGUGUUGUUGCGCGCGCGCACGGAAUAUAGACGGACCAAGCAAAUCGGAUAAAAUAGUCGGAAUGAAGGAAAGGAAAUCAGACACCGGAUUUACGUGGUUCGGUCCGAAUAUCGGAACCUACGUCCAUGGGGAGAGCAGCACGGAAUUCCACUAUAGAAACAAGCGAUACACCGGAGAUUACAAUCACUCGAGCACUCAAACACACUCUCAGUAUUUCCCAGCCCCAAAUUACACCCAGAUAACUCACACAGUGUUUAGUCCCUCACAAUUCCUAGUGAAACCUCACUCAAGGAAUUAUACAAAUUCUACUCACAAGAAUUUAACUGGCUAAAACACUCGGAUGUAAUUUCAACGAGAAAAACUCUCUCUGCCGAGAGCUUAUGGCUUUUCUCCAGGAAGUCUCACGACUUCUCUCACCAGCUCUUCAGCUCUCUCUCGGCCACCGAAAUAACUCAGCUCGGCGCCCUCUUCUCCUUUGCUCCUCUGCCUUUUAAGGACGAAGUAAGACAGAAAACGUGAAGCCAUUCAGGCGCCCGUAAUCAGCACUGACGCCCACUAAAAUUCACGGGCACGCAUGCAUGCAUGGGACGCAUUUAAUAAGGCAGAAAACAUGCCCAUAAUUCAAGCGCGGAAGAAGGAUGGCUGCCGUCUUCCAAGACCAUCUCCACGACGUUGAACUCCUUCAAGUAAUAGUUUACCCUUUCUUUCCUUCUGUUGGUUUUAGCUGAAUAAACAAAUGGCAAAGGAAAGAAACAAGGAGAAAGAAGACAAAACAAGCCUACAAAUUUUACUUUUGUCUUGGUCUUCAACGUCCACUUCACCAUGCAUGCACGUCCAUGUGCAUGCAAUUAAAGAGGUUGAAUAAAAUAAUGGUCUUCCCCUCUCGCGGCUGCACGCUCUCUUCAUUCCUCACGCUUGCGGCUCAUAGAUCCGCAUGCGAUCUUUCGGCCAAUUCACAUGCUCUACUGACUCGCACGUGGUUGAGUUCACAUACUCUCGUUCAACAGGCUCAAAUCGAGACAUAUUUUCAACAUAUUGAACUAAUAAAAGAGCUUGGAUCUAGGGGGACUGAGACUUCAACAGCUCCUUCCAGCAUCUUAGUGAUUUUAUUCAUGGUUGGCCUCAAAGCCAAGUCUUCCUGGAUGCACCACAGUGCCGUCAUCACAAAUCUUCUCACCAUCUUUAUGUCGCUUGACGCCUCCUUGUCACUCUCCACUAGCACAAGUAGUCUCCUGUCAUGGUGGCAAUCGUGACUAAUACACUUUGAGCUUCAAUUUUGGCUUCCAGCUUAUGGUUCUUUCUGCAAGAGAUGAGCUGAAGCAACAAAAUGCCAAAGCUGUAAACGUCUACUUUGGCAGAAAUAGGCAUAUUCCUAAACCAUUCUGGCGCUGAAUAACCACCAGUUUCUCUGACGCCAGUGGUGGUCCAUGUUUGGUUUGCCAUCAAGAACUUAGCUAAUCUGAAGUCUGAUAUUUUUGCAGUGAGAGAGCCAUCAAUAAGAAUAUUUUGCGACUUGAUGUUGCCGUGGAUUACAUGCUUGGUGCAAUCCUCAUGCAAGCAAGAGAGGCCCCUUGCAACACCACAGGCAAUUUCGAUUCUUUUGCACCAGCUAGGCCUUGAAGAGCUGAAAAGAAAAUCUUCCAUACUACCGUUGCUCAUGAAUUCAUACACUAGUAAUCGGUGUUGACCCUCAUUGCAGAAUCCAAGUAAAUGCACUAAGUUCUCGUGGUUAGUUUGACCAAUUGCACUCACUUCUCUUUCAAACUCCUUUUCGCUUUCUCCAGACUUGUCGCCAACAAUUUUACUGCCACAAAGUUUGUAUCCUCGGAUCCGAGAACACCUUUGUGCAUUGUUCCAAAAGCACCCCUACCCAGUUCUUUGAAUCCAAUUGUUGCUUCUUGAAGCUCAUGAGAGGUGAAAGUUGGCAUGCUUGUGGCUUGGUUGAUCUAUACUGGUCGUGAAAAUUUAGAAUCUCUAGAUCGGAAGCUUUUAUAAGUUAAAUAGCUAAUGAGGAGUAAAAGCAAGUUCAAAAACAAAGAAUUACCCAACAGCACUGGUCCGAUGAUCACCAGAGUUGAGUUCUUGUUCUUCUUCUGGCCGUUUCCUGGAGAUGUCAAAGUUGAAUUACCUAUCCUGACCUUGAUCAGAGCUUUUCCACCCGCACUUGGAUCCAACCUACCACUGAAAAGAGGGAUCUUCUUUUUCCAGCAAUUUCCAUCUUGAAAAACAGUGACUGCACAAAAACAAUCAGCCAAGCAAGCCUCUCAGCACCGGUCCUCAGUUUGUGAUGCGCUAAGUUCGUAAUCAGACUGUGGCCAGUCUGUAUUGAGCAUGUCAUGCAAAGCAAACUGGUCCUUUUCAGGCCUACUUCCAUCACAACUCUGUGAUAUGAAGUCCUGCCUGCAUCUGUUCAUCUCGUUCAUCGAAUCUAAUGUAGUAUAUCUAGGUGCACAGUGGCAUCGGGGCCUCUAAAUACGAUUGGCUCCAAGAGUACAGUAGUGUUGAAGCCACAAGCUAGAGGACCGGUAUCUCAUGUGAUUCUCAUGCAUAUAUCUGAAGGGAGAGGGGGAGAGACCGUCGGCCAGCCCAUUGCCCAGCCGGAACUCGAAUUUGCUGUCUUGGGGUGGACAUACUGCCUGAAGACCCCGCCAUAUUCAAGGAUUGCUCUUUGCUAAAGUCCACCAUGGGAGGGUGUCUGAGUUGACGAUAUUGUGUACCGUUCCAUUCCUAGCCGUGAUGACGUAGACCUGACCACUUUGAUUGAAUAUCAAACUGGUAGCCGGUACCCACGGCGUUGCUAAUCCAGUAAGCAUCUGAGAUGACCGCCUCGGUUGGAGUAUGAAUUGAAAUCUCCCAGUGGAGUAAUUCAUUUCAGAGUAGUGAGCUUUAACUUUAGUCCCGAGAUCUAACUGUUGCGUAGGCAGUAUCGUAUCGGUCAGUUGGCUGAACGUCCCCCACCAGUCGACGUUAUUCUGGCUCAUUAGGACGAAGUCCCCCGUGCCGAGCAUGGCUGCAUAUGCUCCGCCAACGACCGCCGUGGACAACACCUCACUCCCUUCUGGGUCCACAACCACCAGUUGGCCGUCGGCUGUCAACUGGACUUUCGAACCUUCGGGUGCUAGAUUAUCCCCGUUAGCCGACCAGACUACGGUUUUGUCCGCUGUCUUCUCAAACCAUAUUGGCCCCACGUGAGCUCCUCUUCCCAUUUCCCGGUACCCGAAGGCGAAUUCGCCCGACGGGGACAGCCAGGAAGAGGUCCUGUCAUUCGCUAUUAACGAGGAGCCCAAGGUUACGUUGCCGGGGGUCUGAGCUUUCACGGAAAGCGGAAGCGGAACAAGUAGUAGGAGGAUUCCGACUACUACUGAAGCCAUGUCAGCGGAAGUUUGUGAGCUCCUUCGGUGGAGCUACUUCUAAGUCCCGUCGUUGAAGACAGGUGACUACUCGUUCUCUGCUUAAACCAAAUCUAUCGCACUCGGGAUGUCCAAGUCGACAGUAUCGACACAUAUCUAAAAUAAUGAUUUUUACCAAGUGCUCUAAUGUUUUACAAGUGAUCCAUCUGGUGACAUUAAUAAUUUACUAUUUCAAUCGAAGUUGAUUAAUUACAUAUCAUGUAAGUAACUCCAGUAACCCUCCGAGGUUCUUAUGAAAUAUUUUGUGUUCAGAAACUGUUAUGAUUGAUUCGGAGUUCAUUCACAAAUGAAUGAGAGGCUUUAUUUUUGACCAAAAGUAAAAAAAGCAGGGCACUAAUUUCGCAGAUAAUUUGUUAAUUUCACCAGUAAAAUUUUGUUUUCAGUGGCAACUUCCUAAAUAGGUUGACACAUGCUUAGAAUUGAAGUACUCCACUUGAUUUCAUACUUACUAUCAUGAAAGCAAGCAUCAAUUAGUAAGUUACCAAUUUUACUUGUGUAUAAUACCUUCAUUGGUGGAGCUUUACAACAAGUCUAUUCAAUAUAGAGAAAAUGCCUCAAUAACAGAAUAUGUAAAAAAAAAAAAUGCUUAUUAAGUAUAUUUGAAGGGUUAAUUAAUGAAUAUAUUUAUGAAAUUUAAAAAGGAAAGGGUUCAUCGAAUCUACAAUAAAUUUUUUAAAUAUAAUUGAUUGAUCAAUCAAAUUUUUUUUUUUGUGUUAAUAAACCAUUAAAAAAACACAUGAUGAGUAGUCAGCUUCGUAAUUUUGACCUUCUUGUUAUUGAGACUUUUUCCUUUUUGCUAAUUUGUGUUUUUUUCCCCUUAGAAUAUCUUAUUAGUUUUAUUAAUAUAUUUAUCAAAUUUUAAAUUUUUUUUCUGAUAUAAUUUCUUCAUUUUCUUUAUUUAUCCAUUGUGGUGAAAAAAAAAAUAUGAAGAGGAAUGGUUACUUUAAGAACGAAUCAACAUAAUUAUAAUUUUUUUUAAAAUGGAGCAAUUAAGUCUCUCCUUCCAAUAUGGCUAACGGAAAAAACUAAUAUGGUUUUUUUUUUUUCAAAGAGAGGGGUUGAUGUGGUUGGCACAACAUCCAUUUUAGAAAAAAAAAUAAUAAUAUUAAGAGAUAUUAAAAGCCAACUGUUCUAUGUUGCAAUUAAUUAAUAAAUAACUGUUUCCAAAAUUUAAGAGAGAUAAAAAUCUGAAAGAAGAAGAAGAAGAAACACCGAAAAAAGAGAGAGAAGAUUUUCGAGAAGCGAAUUUGCCUCCAUCAAUUUUUGCAUUUGGCCACUUCAUUUUUGCGGCCAUAACUAAUGGUGGUUCUCAAGCUCCCAUGGCAACCAGAUCUCUAUUCCUCACCCAAAUCCGCUAGUCAUCAGAGGUCCCCUGCCUUGCGGUCGAGCACCACUACCUUCUUCGAUCUCCUUCGAUGUCUCGGGCUGUGACCAUCACCUCAUCUCUAGGUGAGAGUUGCCCUUUGGUUGUAGAUCUGAGUAAGGGUCGUGGCCAUCAUUGUCGGACGAGCGAGGGUAGCUAGUGGCAAGGUGCUUAUCGACAAGUGCCGAGGGCUGCCACCGUGUCUAUCCUCACGCGUUCUUACUUUAUUUUUUUCUUCAGUAUGUAAAGGUGGUAGCGAGGGCCACGCUUCACCAAAGUCUAGCGGGGGUCGCCGGCCCCUCGCCAAUGUGUGGUGCCUGCCAAGCUGCCUCCGCCUAAAUUGGAACUACCACCGUCCUUCUCAGCUUCUCUUAUUUUUUAUUCUUCCUCUUUUCAUCCCGUUUUUUCAUAUUUUAAUUUUUUUUAAAUCUUAAAAUCAAAUCUUCCAUUAAUUUUGUUUUUCUAAAAUGGUCAACGUGGCACCCUCAUCAGCACCUCUUCCGUCGAAAAAUGAGGCAAAUUGAACAGAACUGAUAGAGCAACUUAAUUGAAAUAAUUUGACAAAUAUUAAGACUUGAUCGCACUUUUCGAAUGUUCCAAGCUCAAUCAUGUUUCCAAUAACUUCUAGGACUUUUGGUGCACUUAUCUUAUAAAAUAUAAAGCAUUUAGAGAUUAUAGAUGAAGGGCAACAACUUCAAAAAAAAUCUUACGGAUGUGCAUUGAAGCGAGGCAAGGCAACAUACUCGACUUUAAACUUUGAUUCAGUGCUCUGCAUGUGAUAAACAGACCACAACCGAAUGUCUUUUAGGACAUCAAGGUGAUGAAGAUAAGAGAUGGAUGGAUUUCAAUGGAGCUUGAUUUACUAACACUAGAUAGACAUGGUUUUUGCUUAGGGACCAGCUAUUGACGUCUAAAAUUAGGGAUUUAAUUUGUUGAUCCCUAGCAAUUUAAUUUGUUGAUCCCUAGCAAUUUAUAUAUAUAUAUAUAUAUAUAUAUAGUGAUUUUUGCUACAUCAUGAGAGAUUCAACUUGCCAAGAACAUUGAAGCCUUUGACAUUGAUGUAGAAGCAUUUGUUUUUGUCAAUCGAUUCAAGAUGAAGAUGUCAUUUAUGCAAGAGAGUUGUCGAUUAGGUGCACAAGUUGUUGAUUUCAUGGUUGCCAAUUGGCUACCGAACAUUGAUACUCAAAUUUUUUGUCAAUCCGAGACUACUAAAAGACUAUCUAAAAAUUGAAGGUUGUUCUAGACAAUUUCCUCUGUUGUUUGGUGAUCUAUGAAGAAGACUAUUGGGCUACCCAAGGAGAUGAAUGAAUUUAGAAUCUAUUUGAAUUACUUUGCGUCUAGCCAAGUGUCAUUAGUAAGUCUUAAGCAUGUUGUAGGUUGCAAAGAGUCAAAGUUCAUGUCUCUAGAUGUUUUAAUGCAUUUUCUAGUCUCUAGGUCUUUAUUAUGUUUUCUAGUUUCCAUGACAUUAAUGUUAGGAAGUUUCUGUGUCUUCAAUGUUUAGUCUAUUUCCUAGGUAAUAAUCCCUUUAUAUAAUGAGGCGAAUUCUAAAAUAUAAGAAGAUGAAUUUUGAGUAAAUGAAUACUUGACAUUUUCCUCUAGGAGAAUAUCUUUUGAGAGUAAAUUAUUCUUGGUUUUUAUAUCCUUGGAAGGUGGAUUUUUCCUAGGUGGUGAGCCAAAAAAAGCACUGUAUUCUUGGCUGGUGGUUUUCCUAUAGGCCUUGGUGGUCAACUUCUUCAAUCCCAAAGUCUUGUAUCAUUGGCUAGUGAUUUCUGUAGGCAUUGGCCGUGAGCUUUGUUUAUCUCCAUCUUGAUCCUCAGUUGGCAGCACGUCUUGUACACCUUGGUUCCGAUAGUCUUCUAUCAUUCAUUUUGCAAUUACCCAUCAACAUUCAUCCCCCAUGUACUCACCCAUCUUCAAUAAUCACUCAAAACAACACUCGUCCAUCCCGCAACCACAUCAAGUUGGUAUCAAAGCUGACGAUUGAACUCAUUUUGAGUGAUUUCUUCCAUUACCUAUCUUGCAUCUUUUCUCAUAUUUACAUACAAAAAAAUAUAAUAGAAAGAAAGAAAUGUCUGGCCAUCAUCAACGUAGACCAAACAUUGAAUCACCUAUAGCAUGAGAAAGAAGCCUACAAGAUGUAGAAGUAAGAGAUUUAAGGAGGCAAGCGCAAUAACCACAAGAGUGUUUACUAUGCUUCAAACUUCAACAAAUGGAAAGAGACAUCAACCUCAUAGAGAAAUGACUAAAGGGUGGCAAGAGAUUUUUGGCUAAGUCUUCAACUAAAGGUAUGUAUUUCUUCAAAUGUAUUUCUUUGAACCAAGUCAAGAAUUUUUCAAAACAAGAGAAAGAAAUCGAAAAGCCCUUGGAGAUUGUUAAAGAGCUCCCAAAAGAAAUGGAUGGUGAAGAAGAUAGCAAGUUCUUCAAGUGUUACGAAUAUGGGCAUCUACAAGUGGAUUGUCCUAAACGGAAGGUUAUCACCAUUGAGGAAAUUGAGAAGAUUGACUUGGAACUUCAAGAGACUCAACAAGAUUCAUACCAUGAGAGUCCGGAUCGAAUGAGUAAGACCAGAUCAUAGAACAAAGUAAAGGAGGAGAGAUAUUGGUCAUCUACAUUUUAUAUGCCUCAAAGCAUUCUCUCUCAAAGUGCUAAUCAAUUGUCAAAAUAUAUUUGACAUAUUUUCAACUUUUCAGCAUGGUUUGAAUAAAUUUGUUUGUAUGAAGCUAAUGUAUUAUCUAGUUCAUUGGAGAGGCCGUCCUAGAAAUGAAGCAAUGACAAAAUUGAGGACAAAUCUUCAAUAACCUAGGGAGAUUGAUGUGGGAAAAUUGAGCUUCAUCGAUUGAUUCAAGUAGAAGAUGUAUGAUUAUGCAGAAAAGUUGUUGCUUCAAUGGACAAGUUGCCUAUUUCAUAGUUGUUGAUCGGGUAUCAAGACAUCGAUAUGCAAGUUUAUUGUCAAUCCAAAACUACUCAUAGACUAUCUAACAAUUGAACGCUGUUAUGGACAAUUUCCUUUGUUGUUUGGUGAUCUUCAAAGAUGUCCAUUAGAUUGCCUAAGGAGACGAACGAAUUUAGAGUCUAUUUUAAUUACUUUACAUCUAAUCAAGUGUCAUUAGGGAGUCUUAAGUGUGUUGUAAUUUUCAAAGAGUCAAAGUUCAAGUUUCUAGAUGUUUUAAUGCAUUGUCUAGUUCCUAGGUCAUUAUUGUGCUUUUCUAAUUCCUAUAUCUUUAAUUAAUUAGAUAGUUUCUUGUGUUUAAUGGUUAGUCUAUUUCCUAUGUAAUUAUCCCUCUAUAUAAUAAGACGAAUUCUUUAAUGUAAGACAGUGAAUUUGGACUAUAUGAAUUAUUGAGAUUUUCCUUUUUAUGAGCAAAUGUCUUUAGAGAGUGAAUUUGUCACGCCUCGAUCCCCCGAGUGCAUGUCCAUCCCGGCUUGGUCGAUUAAAUAGUGAUGUCCCAGGACGCAUCGCUGACCCAUUCAUUUUAAUGCACAUGUAAAAAUAGAUAAAUAAUCCCCAGACAAUAAUUCAAUGAGAUAGAAAAGUAUGACCAUAUUUUGAAAACCAACACUACAACACACUUAUAUAUAUAACAAACCGAGUCAUAUAUACAAUACAAACCACUCUAAUCACAAGUUUACAAAACAUGGGGCUUUUAACAACUACGGAUCCUCAUCCUCCUCGUCAUCUCCCUUCACACUCCAAUUGGAGCCUUCAGCAGAAAAGGGAUUGCGCUACAGAGGAAAGCAACUUCAUGGAGAAGGGGGCGGAUCUCCCAUGGAGGCUCUUACCGGCCGUUGAGGGCUUCAACCAAAAUUGAGCAGUCUGAAUCAAUCUCUAGAGGGGUAGUCAACGAAGGGAGCUGAAGCACGUACCGGAGAGCACAAAUAAGUGCUUGGGUUUCCGUCUGCUAAGCCGAAGCAACCUGCACAUAUUUGGUAAAUCCAUCCUUCAAAUGCCCAGUAUGGUCUCGACAGAUUACAGCAAUUGGUCCAGUGAUAUCACCGGAGAUGAAAGCCCCAUUUAUGUUGAUUUGAAAGGACUUCGGAGGAGGAGAUCUCCAAAAGCAAUCCAAAGUGUCGCGUUGAUGCCUCUAUCGCAACAGAGACAGAUGGGAGAGCUGAGCAGAUCGAACUUGGGCAGUGGCCGCAAGAACAACAAAAGAUGGAUCUAGGUGGCGGUAUUCCUAGCUUUCCAGAGCUACCAAAAGACUGCUAUAAUAAGCUCCAGGGCAGGUACGAGCUGAUUAUCAAAAAUUUGACUAGCGAGCCAUUCGUUUAUGCGGCGGAUAUUUGUGUCGGAGAAGGAAAUACCUAUUGACGGGUAUAACCAAAUUGCAGAUGUCCAGGGGCAGAACAAGAAGAGGUGCUCAAUCGCCUCCGGCUAUUAGGUGUGACAAAGAGGGCAGAAGGGAUUGAGGCUGAUACGAUAUCGAUAUAGGUUAUCCUUUGUGGGCAAGGCGUUAUGGCAGACAUUCCAGGAGAAAACCCUGAGCUUUGGUGGGAGAUGAAGCUUCCAGAUGCGCUUCCAAAGUUGAGGGGGCGAUUGAUAUGACGAUGAGGCAUGUAAGGUUAGAGACCCUUUUUCUGCUCCUCUGAUAGAAUGAUAGCCACUGUGAAUUGUAUACUGGCCAUUAGUUGCAGCUGUCAAGAUUAGUUUAUCAAUAGUAAGGUUUCGUCGCACUGGAAUGCUGAGUAUGUCAUGUACUGUUUGUACAUCAAAAUAGGUGUUGAGAGUCGUGAUAUCCCAAUUAUUUGAAUUUUGAACUAGUAGAUCAGCCACCAUUCUCGGUUCAUCACGCUAUAUAGGUCCACCAAGAAUGCCCCUAGGAAGCCACCGAUCUUGCCUGAUGUUGAUAUUUGUGCCGUUGCCAACCGACCACUGUAGAUUAGGAAAUAUAACCUCCCUUCCUAACAGUAAGCUUUGCCAGCCCCAAGAAGGGCGAACUCCUUUCCGGGCAUAGCGAAAGUCUUGUGUAGGAAAAUAGAGUGCCUUAAAUAGUUUGCUCCACAGUGAAGACGGCUGUUGGAUGAGACGCCAUGCUUGUUUACCUAACAUGGCUUUGUUGAAAGCCGCCAAAUCUAGAAAGCCUAGUCCUUCCUUCGCCUUAGUUUCUUUCAACACAGCCCAUUGUUUCCAAUGUAUCCCCGUUUUCCGACAAUCAUUCUGCCACCAGAAUCUAGCGAUCUGUUUUUCAAUAGAUUUACAGAUGGAUAUUGGGAUUUUAAAAACAGACAUACUGGGGAAUGGCAUGCACAACAGUUUUAAUAAGAACCUCCUUGCCACCCUUUGAGAUUAGAUUCUCCUUCCAACCCUCCAUUUUCGAGUUCACCCUACCCAAGAUCCAAGAAAAGAGCUCUAUUUUUUAUCUGCCCCAAUCAAAUGGGAUGCCUAAGUAUCUACCCAUUCAUUCCAGCAUAGGUAUUCUGAGUUCAUUAGCCAGGUUAGCUUUAAGAGAGCUCGGGCAGUCCUUACUUAGGAAGAUACUGGACUUGUUUCAGUUGAUGGACAGACCCAAAGUGAAGCAAUAUUGAGACAGAAUGCUUGCUAGGUUAUGGCAGUCAGCAGUGGUGCCAUUUACAAAGAAUAUGGCAUCGUCAGCAAAGAACAAAUGAGAGAGAGUAGGACUAAACCUAUUAAGUUUAACACCUUUGAGCUGUCCCAUGUCGAUGGCUCUAUGAAUGAGAGUGGAUAAGAGAUUCGUCAAGAGGAUGAAGAGGUAAGGGGAUAAAGGAUCCCCUUGACAUAUACCGCGAGUAGGGCGAAAAUAAUCCAUCUGUUGGCCAUUAAACUUGAUACUGAUAGAUACGGUUGAGAUGGAUUGGAAAAUCCAUUGAGCCCAUUGGGGAUGGAAGCCAAUCUUGUGUAGGUAGGCUAUCAAGAAGUCCCAUUACAUCCUAUUGAAAGCUUUCUGCAUAUCCAUACGAAUGAUUGCCAAGAAGUUACGCCGGCGCUUUCUGACUUUGAUCUGAUGGAUAAUCUCCUGAACCACCAAGAUAUUGUCUUGUAUUUGAUGCCCACUAACAAAUGUUGAUUGUUCAGGUGAAAUCAGUUGUGGCAAUAUAGGUUUCAGCCGAUUAGCUAGGACCCUGGAGAUGAUCUUAUAGGCAAAAUUGCAUAGACUAAUAGGACGGUAGUGAUCGAGACUCUGUGGUAGGGGGAUCUUUGGUACUAAAGUAACAGUAGUCUGGUUGAGAGCCAAGGGCAUUUUAUCGAAAAGGAAAAACUGAUGGACUAAAUGGAACACUACAUCUGUGAGAGUAUCCCAGUUGGAUUGAUAAAACAGUCCAUUCAGGCCAUCCGGGCUCGGGGCCUUGUUUUCGCCUAGCUAAAAAGUUGCUGCACGGACUUCAGCCUUAGUUACUGAGGCGGUGAGAGCCAUAUUCAUUGCAGGGGUGACUAAGCAGGAGCACUGGUCGAGGAUUGGACCAUAAUCACGAAACCCAACUGAUUGAUAUAGGUUUGAGAAAUAAAGUUGAGUCUUGUCCUUUAAUAUAGUUUCAUCUCUAACCCAGCCGUGAGCCUCAUCGAGUAACAUUGUAAUAUGAUUACGCUGCCUUCUUUGGAUGGUUGUGGCGUGGAAGAACUUAGUAUUUUUAUCGCCCCAUUUCAACCAUUUGAUUCGCUAACAUAUAGCCUAGAAUUGCUCUUCUUGUUGCCAAAGCUACUGAAUUUCUGAUUUAAUUAUUGUUGCUUCAUGUCUGUCAUAGGGAAUAUCCAGCCGAUUUGUGAUCUGUUGAAGUUUAUAUUGCAGUUCGCAGAUUCUCUUGUUAGCAUUUGAGAAGGUCCAGUGGCUCCACGAGGAAAGUGCGAGACUGACUUUUUUAAAGAGGUAUGGUAGAUCAUGAUGUGCAUUGAUUGGUUGCUGCAAAACAGUGGAAAUAACCUUGCUACAGUUCGGGUGUUGUAGCCAAAAGGCUUCAAAAAUGAAGGGGCAGGCUUGCCUGGUUUUGGAAGCUGCAGUAUUCAGUAGGAUCGGGCUGUGAUUAGAACCCACCGCCGGAAGAGCACUGACAACAGCAUCCGGGAAGGCUAUUCGCCAUUCAAAGUUGCAUAGAGAUCUAUCCAAGCGCUCCUUAAUACUGUCUUCGCCUUGACGGUUAUUCAUCCAGGUAAAUGCACAUCCUUUGCUCUCCAUAUCAAUCAAGGAGCAAUCGUGUAAUACCUCGCGAAAAGAGGACAUACAAUGAAAAUUAGCUAACUUUUUCCCUACUUUCUCCCAGUGGUAAGUGACUUCAUUGAAAUCCCUUACACAGAGCCACGGUAAAGAGUUGGUUAAUGCAAUCCGUCGAAGAACCUCCUAGAACUGCUGCCGAAGUCGAAACACUGCCGACGCAUGGAUAUAGGUUAUACAUCUUUUAGGUUUAGAGGAGGAGAUUUUGGGAGUGGAAAAUGUUUUUUUUUUUUACCAAAAUACAAAGGAUUCGAUUCCUGUGGAAAUCGAAGCGAUCACAGGUCAGUUCGUGGAAAUUGAACGUUUCAAUGCGCGUACGUACCUGGAAAUUUUGCUGUCGUGUCCUGCAUCAAGCGGAUCUGAUUGUAAACCGUCUAAUUUUGACUUUAAUCAGAUCGCUAAUGGACUUCACAAGAAAAAAACAACACUCCUAAUCAAUCCCCCCGCGACCCGUGAAACGUACACAGCACGCCUACCACCACCCCGGCAACUGACACGUCAGCACACGCUCACCGCACUCUCCGGUGUUCUCUCUCCAUUGUCGUCUUCCGCAGGGAAAUAUUGAAAUGCAGGAGAUGGCUACGUCUAUCCACGAGAAAUCUGCUGCUUUGUUUCGUGCGAUGGAGGUUCUCCCCGUGCAAACAAUUACCUCUUCUUCUCCUUCUUCUUCCUUGUGCUCUGAAGCACGCCGCGAGGAAUGUUCUUGACGUGAGCGGCGUACUCCACACGAUUGUGAACCGUAUCAUUGGGGUGAUCUAGUGCUUUCUGCUUAGACUGCAAUUAAGUCUUGUGCAGCUUGGAGAGGAAUGAUAUGGAUGUCACGCCAGCCAAUAUAGAAGAAAAUUAUUAAAAUAUAUUUAAAGCUAUAUGUUGGAUGUUGCAAUUAAACUCUAAUAAGUUGUUUUAGAAACUUUACAAAAAUAAAAUUAGGGAAAAAGAAUAAGAAAACUUAAAGAGAAAAUCAUGCUCCAGAAUCGACUCCAUCAAUUUUUGCAUUCAGCUACUUCAUUUCACAGCCAUAGCUGGUGCUGGUUCUUAAGCUUCCAUGGCGACGAGAUCUCUAUUCUUGCUCAAAUCCGCCAUUCACUAGAGGUUCACCACCUCGUGGCCAAAGGCCAAAUACCGCUUCCUCCUUCGAUCUUCUUUGACGAUGUGGGCUAUAAUCAUUGUCUCAGAUCUGUGCCAGGGUCAUCAUUUGUCGAGAUCUGAGCAAGGGUUGCAGCCGUAAUUGUCGGAGGAGCGAGAGUGGCUAGUGGGAAGGUCCCUGUUGAUGAGUGACGUGGGUGGCUCACUUGUCUCCCACACGCUUACUUUAUUUUUAUUUUCAAAAUGCGAAGGUGCUAGCCUACGUAACACCAACAUGCGACACAUGACACGUCACGACACGAUACGUGAUACGUCAUUUCUCAAAAAGUAGAGAAUUCCGACACAGUUGAAUACGUUAAAUAUUAAAUAAAUAUUUUUAUAUGUACAUGAUUAAUUAUUAUAUUUAAAUUAAUUUAUUGAAAUUCAUAAAUAAAUAAACAAUAAAAAAGAGCCUAUAAUAAAUCUAUACUAAUAACAUUAAUAAAUUUAUUCAUAAAAAAUUGGAAAGACAUUUUUUUUACUUUAACAAAAGUUAUCGAUGAAAUAAAUAACUAAUGAAAUAUUAGAGUCAAAAUAAAUUUACAUUUUUCUACGAUGAUCCAAAUUUAUCAUUUUUUAAUAUCUAGUGCUUUUAUUUUUUGAAGUAACUUUUUAACCUGUCUAUUUAUUUAUUUUUUAGCCUUAUCAUGUAUUAAUAAAGUUAUUUAAUUUUUAAUAUUUCUUUUUAGGGUUAAAUGGGUCUCACCCAUUUAUUUCAGCACGUGUUUUCUUCCCCCACCCCCACCCACCCCUGUGCCUGUCACUUCCCCUGCACGGGGCUUUCUUUCCCUAGAAGCCUCGUCUCUCUCCUUUCUCUUCUUCCUAAAAACAGCCCAAAUGACAAAAACCCUAGCAAUCACCUUCUUUCUCCUCUCCCUUUGCUCGGUCUCCACCUCACUUUGUUGCUGCCUUGCAUCCGUUCUCUCCUUUGCCAUCGUAGCCUCGCAUCUAGCCCUCCAUCGCGAUGUUGCGGUUUUCCAUCUCGGCGUUGCAGACGGCGGUCGUAGCCGACCAAGAUGAUCGAGAAGGCUUCUUGGCGUAGUCGGCAGUCGCACCCUUCUCCACGUUGUAGUCGGCGUUGCAGUCAGCGGUCGCAGCCCUCCCUCACCAUCGCUUGCAGCAUCACCUCGGCUCCCUCACCCUUGCCUCCACCCUCCAUCACCUUCUUCCCUUCGCACCUGCAGAUCCGCCCACAAACCUCUGGACACGCUCUGACACGCGUGUAGAAAAGAGUUGACCACGUGUCGAAAACUUCGACACGUGUUGACCAUGUGUCCGAGCGUGUCUGAGCGUGUCCGAGCGUGUCAGACAUGUGUCGGGGUGUCCAACACGACACGGAGGCUCUUUGAACGUGUCCGUGUUUCCUUGGUGGUAGCAAGGGCCACAAUAGCUUACCUAAGUCUGGUGUGGGACGUCGGCCCCUCGCUGAUGCAUGGGUGGUCGUUAAGUCGCCACCACCUUUACUGCAUCUAUGCCAUCCUUCUCAGCUUCUCCCGUGUUUGAUUCUCCUUUUUUUUUUCAAUUUUUUAAUUCAAUUUUUUUUUAUUUUUCUAAAAUCUCGAAAUCAAUUAUUUUCCUUUUUUAUUUCGUUUAUUUUUUUUAAUAUCUAACGCGGCAACUUCAUCAACACAUCUUUCUUAAAAAAAAUGGUAAAAAAAAGUCGCAUCAACUUCUUCUGAUAACUAAAUGGGAUGGAGUUAAUAUAGAAACUUGAGUGAACUGAUUUGAAAUCUUUUAAGACUUUAUUGUACUUUUUUUUAAUCAAGUUUAAGGAUUUGAUUAUACUUUCAUAAUAAGUUUUAGGACGUGUAAUACGCUAAUACCAUAAAAAUAUAGAGCAUUUAGAGCUUAUAAAGGAUCAAUGGAGCAUCACGUCAAUAAUUUAAUAAAAAUCCUGUGGACACCCGUUGGAGCAUGGAAACCUAACAUACUCAACUUUGAACUUUGAUUCUAUGCUCGGUAAACAGACCAAGACCGGAUACCUCUUGGGAUGUCAAGGUGAUGAAGAUUAGAGAUGGAUGAACUUGAAUGGAGCUUGGUUUACUCACAAAUUGGGCUGCAUAGACACGCUCUUGCUUGGGUCAUCACUGUUGAUACCUAAAUUUUUGCCUAUUAUACUUUUCAAAACAUUUUCAUAAAAUUAGGGAUUUAAUUUAUUAACCUUUAGCAACUAACAGUUAUGCUUCUCCCUACAGUUCAAAGCAAUUAAGGGGAUCGGGAUUUUUGCUACAUCGUGGGAGUUCAAAUUGGCGAGAACAUUGAAGCCUUCAACAUCAUUUUCUUCACCUCGUUUUUUCAUCUUGGGGAUUAAUUUUAUUGACGAGAGACACCUCGUAUUUUUACAAUGUUUACGUGCAAUAAAUUUCUACUUCGCCGCUAGUAAGAUUUGAACUCUUUCGGCAGCAUGCUGGGGUUAAAAUCCCUCUACUGACAGUUCCCUUUGCUGGGCGAUAUGUAAUUCCAUUAUAAAACUUUCUAAACCCGUGUUAUGCCCUAACCAUAACAUGGAGUAAUUACCCUUCCUCUUAAACUUUUUAUCAUAUCUGAAUAAAAUAAAAUAAAAUAAAAAAUUUGCCUCGCCAGGUGCAUUAAGAGCAUUUAUCUACUUCCAUAAAAUUAGUGCGAGUAGACUAUUCCAAAGCGAAACAAACAAAAGACGAAGACCUUGACCCAAACAUCAUCCGUCCUAUCUAAUACAAAUGACAUGAGAAUGAUAACGAACGACCAUAGCUGACAAAAACAACUAACCCUUUAAGCUUCUGAUGCAAAUCGAUGUUAGGUUUGGAUCUUUAGGGUCUUUCCAAUGAUUUUAUCCUCAAUUUUCUCGAACCAUAUAGCCAACAAAAGAGCUCCUCUUCCCAUUUCCCGGAACCCGAAGGCGAACUUGCCUAACGGAGAAAGCCAGGAAGAGUUCCUGUCAUUCGCUGUUAAGGAGGAGCCAGCUUUGGCAGAAAGUGGAAGUGGAACGAGUAUUGGAAGGAUUUCUAACACUGAAGCUGAUGGAAGUAAUUUGAAGGUGAAACACUCACAACUCAUGUAAGGAAGAGAAGAAAAUAUAUAGGCAUGUAGAUUUAUUUCGCCUUAACAAAAAACAAUUAUAAGACUCCCUUAUUUAUAGACUUGUUACAUAACCUUUACUCUUCUUAAUAGAAGAAGCUAGUGUUCUAUAUAAGAUCUAGAAACUAAUAAAACAAUCACCAUAUCUCACCUUAUCUCUAAAAACAAUUACUAUUUCUAAAAACAAUCACCACACCUAGAAAUAAGAUUAGACUAAUUAAAGAUAACGCUGCGAUUAUGACUCUUUUUCAAUGCGGGUACCAAACAAUUAUCUGUACCAAUGAAUUUGGUUUAAUUUCUACUCCCCCUUAAACCAAAUUCUCUUCCAUCGAUCAUUCCAAGAAGGCUCUUGAACUUUUGCAAAAGUAUCAAUCUAGAGAGAUUUGGUAAAAAUGUCUGCUGCUUGAUCUCCCAUCUUCACAUGCAACCCUUCAACCUCAUUCUCUUUAACAUGUUCUCAAAUGAAUUGAUAUCGAGCAUCAAUAUGUUUAUUUUGUUCAUGAAAAAUUGGAUUUUUCGCUAAUGCAAUAACAGAAACGUUAUCAACAAAAAUCCCAAUUGCUUUCUUCUGCUAAAUAAGAAUAUCUUUGAGUAGUCUUCUCAAUCAAAUUGCAUGACAAACACAUAAGGAUACAGCUAUAUAUUUAGCUUCGCAUGUUGGUAGGGUGACACUAGGUUGCUUCUUUGAUGACCACGUGAAUGCAAUGUCACAUAAGAAACAUACAAAGCUUGUAGUGCUCUUUUGAUCGUCGAUAUCUCCACCAUAAUCACUAUCUAAUUAAGCUCUAAGUUGAAAGGAUUCAAAGCAAAAGUAGUGUAGGCCAUGAGAAGUAGUACCUUUGAUGUACCAAAGUAUCCUCUUUACAACUUUAAGAUGAGAUGACUUUGGCUUCUCCAUAUAUCAACUCACAAUUCUAACCCUAUACAUAAUAUUAGGUCUUGUGCAUGUCAAGUAUUUCAAACUCCCAAUCAAGCUUCUAUAAUAUGUCGAAUCAACAUCGACACCGUCAUCAAACUUUGAAAGCUUGGCUCCACACUCCAUUGGUGUAUUGACCGGAGUACAAUUCUUCAUGUUGAAUUUUUCAAGGAUAUAUUCUACAUAUCCUUUUUGGGCAAUAAAAAUCCCCUGGGCACUUGCUUCACUUCGAUCCAAGGAAAUAAUUCAUGAGACCAUUAUCGGUCAUCUCAAAUUCUUUCACCAUCGAUGCCUUAAAAGCAUCAAUCAUUUUUGGAUUAUUUCCUAUAAAAACAAUGUCAUCAACAUAUAAACAGGCGAGAAGAACAUCGCAUUUUUCUUUCUUCAAACAAAGUGCAUGUUCAUAUGGACAUUAAGAACAUCGAUUCACCGUGAAAUAUGCAUUGAUUAUGGAUUCCAUGCUCCCGGUGCUUGUUUAAGUCCAUAUAGAGCUUUCUUCAACUUUAAAACUUUGUUUUCAUGACCUUUGACAACAAACCCCUCAAGUUGUUCAACAUAAAUCUCUUCUUCAAGGAUGUCAUUCAAAAAUGCCGAUUUGACAUCCAUUUGAUAAAUUUGCCAAUCAUUUUGAGUAGCGAUAAAAAUAAUCAAUCUAAUUGCUUCCAUGCGGAUGACAGAGGCAAAAACUUCAUCAUACUCGAUUCAAGCUUUUUGCUUCUACCCCUUCACGACUAAUCUAGCCUUGUAUCUUGUCACUUCUCCUUUCUCGUCCUCCUUAGCCUUGUAUACCCAUUUGACUCCAAUCGAUUUCUUGUCCUUUGGUAGAUCAACAAGCUCCCAUGUUUGAUUCUUCUCAAUGGCUUCAAUUUCUCCAUUCAUGGCUUUUCUCCAUUUUUCUUCUUUGGCCACAUCAUCAUAGACAGCCACAUCAUCAUAGACAAGUGGUUCACAAUCUGCAAGAAGAUAUACAAGGUGAACCUCGUCAGUAGCUUCAUAAAUAUCAGACAAUCUCCUUGAUCUUGGCACUAGAGGUUCAUCAACAUCAUUUGAAGAGGUAGGUGAUGAUGAACUUGGAGAAGAUACUGGAGAAGAAGGUGUAGAAUGAUAUUUCAACUCCGUUUGAUCGAUAUCACCACGAGCAUUCACUUCUUCUUUUUGAUUGUCUUCCCAUGAGCCAUCUUCAUCGAACUUGACAUCUCUGCUUAUAUACACUUUCAAAGUGUUAGGAUCAAAUAAAAGGUAGGCUUUGGAUGAGGAGUCAUACCCAAUAAAGAUGAGCUAUUUGCUCUUGUCUUCCAGCUUUGAUCUUUUCUGGUCUAAGACACGAGCAUAGGCAAUGCUCCCGAAAAUUCUUAAGUGUGAAACACUUACUGUUCUCCUGGUCCAUGCUUCUUGUGGAGUUACGCCUUCAAUUCCAUAUGUGGAUAUCUAUUUUGAAGAUAGACAAUACAUGAAACAGCUUCAGCCUAAAGCCCCUUGGGCAAAUUUUUGCUCUUCAACAUGCUUCGAACCGUGCUAAGAAUGAUUAUAUUUUUUCAUUUAGCUAUACCAUUUUGUUGAGGAGAAUAUGGAGCCAUCAAGAAACACCGAAUACCAUGAUCCUCAUAGAAUUUGUUGAAUAUAGCUGAGGUGAAUUCUCUGCCACGAUCAUUUCUUAAAGCUUUGAUAAAACAAUCACUCUCCUUCUCAGUCAGGUUUUUGAAUUGUUUGAAAGUAUCAAACACUUAUGUUUUUUCUUUCAAAAAAUACAUCCAAGUUUUCCGAGUAAAAUCAUCAAUAAAAGUAACAAAAUAUCGAUGAUUACCAUAUGAGUGAGGAGUGAUUGGGCCACACACAUCAGAAUGAAUCAACUCAAGCGGUUUCUUCGCUCGAUAAGUCACUUCCUUCAGAAAGCUAGUUUUAGAAGAUUUACUGAUAACAUACCCUUCACAUAAUUGAUCGGGAUCAUCAAUAUGUGGUAAGCCAUAAACUAUCUUCUUGCGAGAAAGCAAAUUGAGUCCGCCAAAAUUGAAAUGGCCGAACCUUAAAUGCCACAACCAUGAAGGAUUAUCUAUGCAUGCCUUCAGACAUCAAUACGUAUCAUUAUUUAUAUUGAGAGUAAACAUCUUGUUCUUCGACAUCUUCACAUUCACAAUCAAUUCAUUAUUCCUGUCUCUUAGCAUAAGACUAAGAUCUUUCAUAUGAACAAUAUAGCCUUUCUCCAAAAGCUAUUCCAAACUCAAAAUAUUGCUUGACAUUUUCGGGACAUAAUAAACAUUAGUAAUAAACUGACGUGCACCAUUUUUCAAGUGAAUCAGAAUUGUACCUUUUCAUUUGACAAGAAUUUUGGAGUUGUCACCAAAAGAGACUUUACCUUUAAUUGUCUCAUCUAAUUUGUUAAACAUCUCUUUUCUCCCAAACAUGUGAUUGCUUGCGCCGGUAUCCAAAUACCAUGUAUCAGUUUGGCCUCCUUCAUUUCCGCUACUUUCCUUGUUCCAACUGUUAGAAGCAUAAUGGCCAAGUUUAUCACAAUGAUAACAUCAAAUUUUAGAUUUAUCAUGCCAUUGGCCUAUCGAGUUCUUUCCUUUUCCAUGAACACGUCUUUGAUAUUGGUAGCUACCAUCACUUGGAGCAACAUCUCCUCUACUUCGUCCACGACCUCUUCCUUGAAAGCAACCUCAGCCUCAACCACGAUCACAAUCUUGGUUUGUCCUACGAAUUUGUGUGAGUUCUCUAAUUUGUUCCUUCUCAUCUCGGAUGGUCAACCACGUUUGGAGAACUUCCUCCACUAGUUCAAUCUUUUUUUUCUGAACCUUUCUUCAUGAGCUUGUCAUGAACCCAUAAGCUUAUCGAUCAUAAUGGCAAUCCAAAUCUCUAGAUUCUUCAAUUGCAACAGCAAUGUGGUCGUACUUCUUGUCUAAGGACUGAAAUAUUUUCUUGGCAACACGAACUAUUGAAAUGUCUUCUCCGUUUCUUUUCUUCUAGUUGAUAAUCCCAAAACUAUUGUGAAAUAAUCAGAAAUCAAUUCAGAUUCUUUCUUAUGAAUUACCUCAAAUUCGCCUCUCAAGGUUUGAAGGUGAAUCUUCUGAACUUUUUGUACUCCUUGAUGUGUAUUGUGAAGAAUCUCCCAUGCCUCCAUAGCAAUGGUGGCAUUCGACACAUUUUCAAACAUAGAAUCAUCUAAAGCUUGAUACAUAUUUGACAGGGCAUAUUGAUCUUUUGAACAAACCUUCUCCAAGGCAUUCAUCUGGUUCUGGUUUAAGGUAGCUUCAUCCUCUAGCUCAUCAUAACCAGUGUUGACAAGUUCUCACAUGCCGUAAGGGCUGAGUAGAGCUUUCAUUCUAACAGCCCAGUUAUCAUAGUUGUCUUGGUAAGAUGAGGGUAUUGAAGAGGAAGCUGAUUGUUUGUUGAUGCCAUGAUCACAAACCGUAGGCUCUGAUACCAAUUUGCUUGAAGUAAUUUGAAUGUGAAAUGCUCACAACUCAAACAAGGAAGAGAAGAAAAUAUAUAGGCAUGUAGAUUUAUUUCGCCUUAACAAAACACAAUUACAAGACUCCCAUAUUUAUAAACUUGUUACAUGACCUUUACUCUUCCUAGUAGAAAAAGCUAGUGUCCCAUAUAAGAUCUAGAAACUAAUAAAAUGAUCACCAUAUCUCACAUUAUCUCUAAAAACAAUCACUACACCUAAAAAUAGAAUUAGACUCAUUAUAGAUAAUGAUGAACAGAUUCAUUAAAGAUAACAUUGCAAUUAUGACUCUUUUUCAAUGUGGGUACAGGACAAUUGUUUGUACCAAUGAAUUUGGUUUAAUUUCUAACAAAAACCACGUUAGAUGAAACUUGUGUUCUCCUUGAGUUGAGCUACUUCAGCCUUAUGAACGAAAUCAGCAUUCUUUAUAGAUUUCCACUUUGUAUCCUACUUUUGUCUCUCCCACAGCUAGUUUGAACCAAAUUUGUGGACAGACUUUGCUCAUCUCAACACGUAUAUCUAGAAUUAUCUUAUGAUAGUAUUCCUUGUUUUUGUUUCUUUUUUGUUGAAGCAUAUUAUUGGUUCUAUUAACAUAUUCAGUAAAGUUUACGAAAAAUUAUCUUAUAAUAGUAUCACUGAUGUUAAAAUUUUCUGAUAAUAACAUAUUUGUAAAUUUAUUUUUCCUCAUUUUUUUUCAUUUUUCCCUUUCUUAUUGAAAUCAAUGGUGAAAGAAAAUUUUCAAAAAUUAAAAUACAGCGAGUCUGCACCACUUGCCGGGUUCCCGAUAUUUUCCAAAGAAAAGCAUGAAUUUGGAAGACUUUGACCAAACGUGGUACAUGUUAAGUUGGAGAUUUUAUGAGUUAUGGAGAACAAGUCAGGGCUCGCAGUUGAUUCAGUCCCUACUAAUUCAAACCGAUUACUGAGUUACUUUGUCGAAAUUGUGUUUCAAUCAUAAUCAUAGAUAUGCUCCCACGUACUUGGAAAUUUGCUUUGUCGUCCUGCAUCUGGCAUGCACUCAAUGAUUGCGGACUGUGGUCCAUGGCAUUAUGGUGAUUUAAUGCUUAGACUGGGAUGGGUCUUUGUGCAACUUGAAAAGGAAUGGUUACAGCAACGAUUAAUGAACAUAAUUCUACAAAAAUUCUACUAAAGUUUGCAUAUAGUAUUUCUGGGUUUAGAAACUCCUAUAUGUUUGAUUAAAUGGAUGUCGUGGUGACAUGACAAUAUCUUGUUCUCAUGGACUUAACGACAUUAUGCAAAAUUACCACAUCUAAAAGCUAUUUGGUUUACAUCAUGACCCAAUUGCACUUUUGUAAUAUGUUUAGAACUUUCGGUAUAUUUAUCCUCUAAAAAUAUAGAGCAUUUAGAGCUUAUAGAUGAUCAAUGAGCUGUCAACAACUUUAAAAAGAUCUUACGGAUGCCCAUUGGAGAGAGGUAAGGUAAAUACUCAACCUUAAAUUUCGAUUAGUGCUCUGUAUCUAAUAAACGAACCACAAACAAAUACCUUCUAGGACAUCAAGAUGAUGAAGAUUUGAGAUGGAUGGAUUUGAACAGAGCUUGGUUUACUCACACUGGCUUGACAUGAUUUUUGCUUGGGGACUCAUUGUUGACACCUAAAAUUAGGGAUUUGAUCUAUUGAUCCUUAGCCAAAAAGCUUUGCACUAUAUUUCAUAGCAAAUUAAGGGGACUGUUAUUUUUGCUACAUCAUGGGAGACUCGACUUGAUGAGAACAUUGAAGCGUUUGAUAUCAUUUUCUCUCACAUCAUAAACACAGUGGUUUACAAAUAUUUGCCUUGGGGAUUAUUUUUAGUUCUAAUUUGCAUCAUCAAAAAUCCAAAUAAUUUAACGUGAACCAACCACAUGAAGAUGGAAUUGGGCCACAUGCUCUUAAAUUGAGCGUGCAUUGUUCGGAGAUCUUAAUAUUGGAGGAACAAGGAGGAAGUAUAUGCAUUGGAUGGAAUGGCUUUAUGCAUGCAUGCAAAGGGAACGAGCUCCUAAUUGUCUAAUAAAUGAGGGUUUUAAUGUGAGCUUAUGCUGAAAUGUGCUAAUGGUGUUGAAGAUCGUGUUUCAGCGUGUAGUAUUCAUUGAAUAGUCGGAUAAUGAAAAUAUAUCUACUGCCGCGGCGCUGUAGAUGAAAUCAUACUGUACUUUUGUUAAUAUGGCAAAGAAAAGAAUACCUUUCACUCGGGAAAAAUCAUCACUCGCAUGAUUUUAAACAUGACAAUGCUCGGCCAAAGUGAUAAUAAUUAUUAUCAUCAACACAAACUAAAAAUUAAUAAAAUCAAAUUGUAAAAGGAUCAGUGUGACAAAAUUUUAUUGACUAUUUCAAAACAAAAUCGAGAAAAUGGUGCGCGUUGCAAAGUGCGAGUUUCUCGCCAGUGUAACAAAUGGACAAGUAACCUAAACUUGGAUAUUUGAUCGUUUGAUAUUUCGUUCAAUUCAAUCCUCUCCCUUCAAAUAAACUUUAGGACGUUAUAUAUUGGGUUUCUGGGGUUAACUUUUAACAUUUAUGUUAAUGAGCUCAAAUCCGCGCACCUAUAUUGCAUAAUAUGUGAUAUGAAUUCGAACCCAUUAAGCUUCUGGUGCAUAUUCAUUGUUCGAUUUUUGAUCUUCGGGAUCCGUCCCUUUGUCUUGUCUUGGUAUAUUUUCAGUUUCGUCCUGUUUGAACCCGUUAUCGAACGGCAUCGAUUGUAGCUCAUCGAGUUAUUUAUACAAGAUCUCCGUUGACCAUUUUGGAAGAGAAUAACUAUGCUUAACAAAUUUUCUGCAUGGCGUCGCAUCUCGCAAUUUCUCAACGGAUGAGUCAAGAAGAAAGUUCGUUUGAUUAUGCUUCCAACUGCGUGACUUAUAGACUGUGAUUUCUUUGAUCUAUAAGAAGUAGGUUGCCAAAAGGAAGUGAGAGUCCCUUCUGUAUGAUAAAAUUAGCAGCUGAACUGUUGAAAUUGGGAUUUCCAGGCACCUAUCCACGCCUUGAGGAUCAGCAAGUUUCAUGCGGUUCUCAUCAUCUAAUUUAGCAGACAAGAUCUGUUUUGCUUGGAUCAAGUGAAAACACUGUUCUAGUGCGUCGAAUGCAACUUUGAUGAAGCAAUAUUGUCGAUGAAAAUGCUUUAAUGCAGCCACGUUAGUUUUUCCAUGACACACAGGAAUAUGAUCCACGGAGAAUUCCUAAGAGAGUCAACACAGUAAUGCCCAUGACUUCAAAUUUUUUAGUGAUGAUUUUGCAUCAUUUGAUAUAGUUAUUUGACCAGUCAACAAUCUAAAUCUCUCUUCAAAAUGGCAUGUGGUCUCGCUUGCAAUCCCUUUUGCUAACAAUCGUCAACCCGUUCUCUCUUGGAUACAUGCGAGGGAAUGUUAAGCUUGAGUAAGAUUUAGCUUAUUUAAGCGGGAUCCAUGUGAACUCAUUAUGAAAAAUUUUAUUCUGGCGUAAUAGCAAUUACAAACGAUACAAAUACUUUUCACGAUUACAAAGACACCAGUUGUCUUAAUAAGAAAAAUCAAAUUCAACUGAUAAAAGAGCUUGGAUCUGGAGGGACUGAGACUUCAACAGCUCCUUCCAACAACUGAGUGAUUUUCUUCAUGUUUGGCCUCAAUGCUGGGUCUUCCUGGAUGCACCACAAUCCUGCCAUCACAAAUCUUCUCACCCUCCUUAUGUCGCUUUAUGCCUACUUGUCACUCUCCACUAGCUGAAGCAUGCUCUCGUUGUGGUAGCAGUCAUACACCCAGUCCACCAGCACAAUUCGAAUUAUCUAUCCUUACCUUGAUCAGAGCUUUUCCACCGACAUUAGUAUCCAUCAUACCAUUUAAAAGAGGGAUCUUCUUUUUCCAGCAUUUUCCGUUUUUGAAAACAGCGACCGUGCAAAAACAAUCAACCGAGCAAGCCUCUCGGCACCAGUCCUCAGUUUGUGACGCACUAAUCUCAUAAUCUGACUCUGGCCAGUCUGUAUUGAGCAUGUCACGCAAAGCAAACUGGUCUUUUUCAGGCCUACUUCCAUCACAGCUCUGUGAUACGAAGUCCUAUAUUAAUCCAUUCAUCUCGAUUGUAAAAUCUAACAAAGCAUAUCCAGGUGGGCAGUGGCACUGGGGCCUCUGAAUUUGAUCGUCUCCACGAGUACAGUAGCUGUUGAAGCCACAAGUUCCAAUACCAGUACCUCAGUUCAUCCGCGCGCAUAUAUUUGAAAGGACCAAGGAAGAUUAUGAUGCUAGUAAGAACACCUUGAGAGGAUGAAUAGGUGUUUGAAAGGAAUCUUGACAAAUAAUUGCGGAAUAAAUAAGUCACCAGCAAAGUAUGGAUGAAGAACAUAACCACGAUGCAUUUUUUGAGAUGAUCACGAUUCUCUCCCUUUCUUUUGGAUUCACUUUCUCCCCCUAUCACCAUGACAAUAUUUGUGAAUAGCACUUAUUGUGGCUUGUGCAUGUUGAAUAGAAUAUUUUUCCAUUGCUUUGCUCUUAGCAACAACAUCUGCAGCGAUUGUUUGCUUUUUGAAAUUCAUGGUAGAGAUUUGUCUUCUUCAAUCAAGCUUGUCUCAAAUUUAAUUUGCAUAAACCCAACAAACUUUUUGCACAAAUACGCUGUUAUAAUAUCCACAUAAUAUAUAAUGUCAUGUCUUCAAAUAAAUAAAUUGAAUAGCAUAUAUAAGAUUAUCAAAUAUUUAAAUUCAAAGCUACUCAACAUUUUGUACGACGCAUUAGGGACCUACUCAAUAAUUUAUGAGAAAUUUGCACAAGGAGAACUUUCAAGCCUCCAAAAAAUAGUAUAGAAUCUCCACAAUUUUUUAAUUAAGCUUUCCAAACUUAUUCUUCUACCACAUGCAAAUUAUUGCAUAAUGGAUAACAAUCUUUGUAAAAAUAUCAUGUAAUACCUUCGUUCAAUUUGUGGAUCAAACUUGCUAAAUAUAAGAUAUCUUUUAAGAAUGCAGUAAGAGUAUCCAUGAAUAUGCAAUAAUAUCUUUCAUGAUUAAAGGGAUUUCCUUAAGCAUAAAUCUCAAAAUCAUAUUAUUGAUGCAUUUCGCAAAAGGAAAACAAAUAUUUCUAUCAUGUGCCAAAUCAAGCAAUAAAAAUAAAUAAAAAAAUGCAAUGCGUUCUGUUUAUGACAAGAGAUAUUUGCAAUGUAAAUCAUAUAUAAUUCAUAGAAAUCAUCUAAAAUCUUCAUAAAUUCGAAUAGAAAUUUGAAAGGCAAGAUGAUAGAUGCGAAAUUUUAUAUUCUAUUACCCAAGGUAUACGUUUGAGAUAUACCAUUGAUUUAAAAAUGAUCAUUGCCAAUUUUCAAAUGAAAUACUUUUUUGAUUGCACCAUGAUUUGCAUAGAAUUCCAAUCAUUCUUCCUUCAUGGAGUUUCCUGCAAUAAACUUAUUUCCUUUCCGGUAUCCAUGUAUUUGGAUCAUUCCUUAAGGUUAGAGAAAAAUAUGCAAUCUUCAUAAAUAACCAAAUAUUCUUUCUAAACUCAUCAUGAUAGAGUAUUUAAGAAAGAAUAUAUUGCAUGAUGAAUUAAUAUCUCGUAAAACAGAUUUUCACUUAGCAAAAUAUGACAAAAUCUGAAAGCAUAAAAUCAAACCAAAUAAACUCAAUUGUCCCUAAGCAAGAUAUCAAAAAUAAUCACAUGUAUUCAAUCAAAUCCCAUCUUACAAAUCACCAAAAAAAUCACAUGAUUUUUCCUUCAACCAAUCAUAGAAUAUAGUCAUAAUAAAGUAUGAACCAACCAAGGCACAAAGAGGAUAUAACGAAUAUCAAAUAUAAAGAGAAUUUAUAAAAAAUUAAAUUAUGUACCCAAACCAAAUUGAGAAUUAAAAGAAAAAAUACCUUUCUUGCCAAAUUAUCUUUCUUCUUUUCCUUUAUUCCCUACAAAAACAACUCAUCCUUUUUUUGGUACCCAAAUUUGCUUGGGUCCAUGAGAGUUAGUAGAAUAUGCUAUUUUUAUCCAGUCUCUCUUAAUUGGUCUCCAAACUUUAAGACAUUUAUUCUCAAAGUGUUUUGGAUCUCCAUAUUUGGAGCACUUGAGGGCACUUCGGCCAGUAGGUUUUACAAAUAUUUUUUGAAAAUGUUUAUAAACGAGUUUAGGAGGUCUUUGUCUGAGUCUCUCUUUGACUUUAGAAAAGUCUAUUAGAGAAUAAUUUUCCUUAUUGAAACCAAUUCCCGACUUAUUAUAGUAAGGUACUUGUAUGGAAAUGAUAUGUUUUAAUGUUUUUGAACCCUUUGAAAAUUUUGUUGAACUAUUUGAAAAUUCUUUUUUUAAAGAAUCAUUUUCUUUGACAAAUAAAUCUCAACUUUCUUUUGUUUUUAGAAAAUCUUUUUGCGAAAUUUCAAACUUUUCUUUUCGAGAAAGAUCUUGUUACCUGAGCCAUGAAUUCUUUUUUUUUUUUUUUUAGUUCAGAGAUCUUUUUAAGAGCAAACUUAAGAUUCAAGCACAACUCAUCAAUAUAAUUAGAUGUCUUAUAAGGGAUUUCAGGGUAAUUUACCUCAAAAUUUGUGUCUAUAUAUGAUUUUGAAUUUGAGUCUGAGUCUAAAUGUGCCGUCAAGCAUAUUUUUCUUUGCUCAUCAUCUUCUUCUAUUGUUCUUUUAUGCCCAUUUUGCUUGUAUUGUUUCUUAUAAUUGAAACUUCUUCCCUUUUUAUUCAGCUUUCUAAAUUUCUUUAUCAGGUGUGCCAACUCUUCAUCAUCCAUGUCAUCUUUUGAAUCUUUAUCAUCAAAUUCAGCAUUCAAUUUUAAAGCGAUGGACUUCUUACCUUCAAGAUCUUCAUCGUCGAUUUGUUCCACUUCAUACGAUUGAAGAGUGCCAAUAAGUUCGUCAAUAGAUAAUCUCAUAACUCUCUAUGUCUCUCGGAUUGAUGUAUUGACAUGAUUCCAAUCCUUUGAGAGUCCUCGUAGAAGUUUGUUGACCUUCAUAGGAGUAGAAAUUGGUUUUCCUUGAUAUGCUAAAUCAUUUACAAUUUUUUGUAAAACGGCCAAACAUGUCUUCGAUGGAUUCUCGAGGUCAUCUUGAAAGACUCAUAUUGGCCAAACAGAAUGUUCACCUUCAUCUCUUUUAUAGGAUCUGUACCUUUAUAAGUAACAUGAAAUCUAUCAGAAAUUUCUUUAGCUAUUUCACAUGAAGAGAUUCUAUUAUACUUAGUUGGAGACAAGGCACAUUAAAGAGAGUAGAUAGCUUUUGCAUCCAGUGUUUCUCUUUUGGACAUCUCUGUCCAAGACAUAGAAGCAGGGCAUUCGAUUGCUUUGUCUUUGCCAUCCUUGUUUGAUGUAGACACAGUAGUGGGAUUGAUUUCCUUUUCUAUAAUAUCCCAUUCCAAGGGAUCUCUAGAUCUUAGGAAUGCAUUCAUUCUAUUCUUCCAAACAUUGUACUCUUUUCCAUCAAAAUAAUGUGGUCUGGCAUUGCUUUGACCCUAAAAAAGUCCAGGUGUCAAGAGACUAGUCAUGGAAGAUCUUUAUCUUAGAAGUAAAAACACUUCAACAAAAUGAGUACUUGGCUCUAAUACCGAUUGAUGAUGCUAGAAAGAACAUCUAAAGGGUGUGAAUAGGUGUUUGAAAGGAAUUUGGUCAAAUAGUUGCGGAAUAAAUAAGUUGCAAGCGAAGUCUGGAUGAAGAACAAAAUUAGUUUUGCGAAACACUAGACUUUUGGUAGAUAUUUAGAAUAUAUUAUGUAAUAGAACAAACUUCUGAGAUAACCUACAAUAGCACAACAUAAUUAACUAAAGAGAUAAGAGAUAAGAGAACUGCACAUAGAUUUUAUAGUAGUUCGGCUUAGAUCAAACCUAUGCCCACUCUCCCACGCUGACAAUCUACUGGCUGGAUUCCACUAUAUGAUUAACAAAAAAUUACAACUUUGAGUACAAACACUUUGUGGUAGAUCACACUAUCUCACUAAGUUACUAUUUUGUUAUUUCUCUCAUGAUGACAAAUGUUUAAGCUUAUGAAAAACAAAUGUAUAAUCGAAAGUUCCCUUAGACUUUGAGAUUUUAGAUUUUAUGCUUCAUCUCUUACUUGCUCCUUAGUUCUUGAUCUUCUCAAAUACUCCUCCAAUUCCAAACUAACUGUUGGACAUUAUCCAGAUGACCAUCUUCCAAUCUACCCAUUGGAUAGAUCUAUAUCAAGAAGAUUUGAUAGACGUUGAGUGACAAAGGCAAAAUUCUCAAUUGAUUAUGAUCGUCCAUACAAAUAGAAUCUUGGUUUCUAUAUGUAGAGCUUCUCUGUUUAGAAAGUUCUUGUCUUCAGUAUCUAAUUGUCAAUCAAUUAGAUUGAGUCAAUCAAAUCUUUCUUAAUGUAGAAUCCAAACCAGAUCACUAGCCGUUAUACGUUUUAGGCUUGUGUCUCAUUCAAUCAAGUUGUCUCUCUCUGAACUUGUUUCGUUUUGAACUUUGUCAUGUUUUGGACUUGUGUCUCGUUUUGUAUGUAAAGUCUUAGUGUCUUCCAUCUGUACGUAAAGUCUUGAGUAUCUUCCAUCUAAAGUAGACUUUAUAAUCUAGACAUGAGUCUGAACAUAUUCAUCCUUAGAAUAUGUUUUUGAACAUAUUUAGCCUUAAGAUCUAGACAUAGAUGAAUAAGUUCAACUUCAGUAUAGAGUCUAUCUUUUGGUUCUUCCAAGUCUAAUCUUUGAUAAUAUCCUCUACACGCUCUAUCAUUUGCAUAGUUUGUUACUCAAUCAUUAAACAUGUUAGUAGCCUUUGAUAUGUUUUGUCAUCUUCAAAAAAACACAUGGGAUUUUCCUAACGAAAGAGACCAUCGACCAGCCCGUUGCCAAGCCAUAACUCAAAUUUGCCAUCUUAGGCUGGACAUAUUGCCCGAAGACCCCACCGUCUUCAAGGAUUGCUCUUUGGUAAAAUCCACUGGUUCAAACUGUGUCUGAGGUGACGAUAUUGAGUACAGUUCCAUUCCUAGACAUGAGGUAGACCUGACCACUUUGAUUUUAUAUCAACCGCAAGCCAAUACCUACGAUGAUGGUAGCCCAAUAUGCGUCCGAGACAACUAGCGGGUGAGGAGUGGCAUAUAACACGAGAUUUCCGUCGAUUUGCAGUAUGAGAAUGAAUCUCUCAGCGGAGUAAUUCAUUUCGGAGUAGUGAGCGUUUAAGUUUAUUCUCUUGAUCUGACCAUUGUGUCCGCCGUAUCGUAUUAGUUGGUUGGCUGAAUGUAUCCCACAAUUUGACGUGGUUCCUGCUCGCUAGGAUGAAGUUCCCCAUGUAGUGCAUGGCUGCAUACGCUACGCCAUUGCCAGUCAGGCUAGAAGACCACGGCUCUCUUCCUUUUGGGUCGGCAAGCAGUAGUCCACCGUCGGUGGUCACCUGGAUUUUCUAACCUCCGGAUGCUAGAUCAUCGCCAUUAGCCGACCAUACUAUGGUUUUGUCCUCUAUUUUGUGGAACCACAUAGCCAGGAAGAGUUCCUGUCAUCCGCUGUUAAGGAGGAGCCCAAGGUUAAGUUGCCGCUGGUCUGAGCUUCGGUCGAAAGCGGAGGUGGAAUGAGCACUAAAAGGAUUCCUAAUAUCGCUGAAGUCAUGUUUGAUAAAAGUUGUGUGCUCUCUAAGUUGAGCUACUUCAGCCUUAUGAAUGAAACCAGCAUUCCUUACAGAUUUUCCACUUUGUAUGCCCUCGGAGUCUCUCCCACGAUUAUCAUUGAUACUAAAUUUUUCUGAAAGAUAUAUCUUUAUAAAUUUAAUUCUCUUUUUUUUCCUUUUUUUUUUUAUAGAAAUCAAUGGUGAAAGAAAAAUUUCGAAUUUAGAAUACAGCGAGUCAGCACCAUGAGCUUGCCGGGACCCUGAUAUUUUCCAAGGAAUAGCAUGAAUUUGGAAGACUUUGACCAAACGUCAUAAAUGUUAAGUUGGAGACUUUAUGAGUUAUGGAGAAGAAGGCAGGCCCUUAGUUGAUUCAAUCCCUAAAUUCGAGCCGAUUACUAAUUUACUUCGUGGAAAUUUUGAAUGUUUCAAUCUAACUGUAUAUAUGCUCGGACAUAAUAGGAAAUUUGCUUUGUCGUCCUGCAUUAGGCAUGCGCUCAAUGGGUGCGAACUGUGGUCUGAGGCAUUAUGGUGAUUUGAUGCUUAGAAUGGGACGGGUCUUUGUGCAACUUGGAGAGGAAUGGUUACAACAAUGAUGAAUGAACUUAAUUCCGUAUAUAUUCUACUAAAGUUUGCAUACAGUAGGUCCGGGUUUCGAAACUCCUGUAUGUUUGUUUAAAUGGAUGUUGUAGUGAUGUAAUGAUAUUGUAUUCUCAUCGACUUGACAAUAUCAGGCAAACUUACCGCAUCUAAAAGCAAUUUGAUUUACAUUAUGACUUGACUGCACUUUUGCAAUAAGGUUAAGACUUUUAGUAUACUUUAUCCUCUAAAAAUAUAGAGCAUUUGGAGCUUAUGGAUGAUCAAUGAAUUAUCAAAUAAGCAACUUAAAAAAAUCUUAUGGACACCCAUUGGAGCACGGCAAGAUAACAUACUCGACUUUAAACUUCGAUUUAGUGCUCUAUAUGUGAUAAACAGACCACAACCGAAUACCAUUUAGGACAUCAAGGCGAUAGAGAUUAGAGAUGGACGGAGUUGAACGGAGCUUAGUUUACUCACGCUAGCUAGACAUGGCUUUUGCUUGGGGACUUGCCAUUGAUGUCUGAAAUUGGGGAUUCAAUCUGUCGAUUCUUAAUAAAAAAAAAAAAAGCUUCACACAAAAUUUCAUCGCAAUUAAGGGAAUAGUUAUUUUUGCUACAUCAUGGGAGAUUCGACUCGACAAGAACAUUGAAGCCUUUGAUAUCAUUUUCACUCAUACAUCAUUAACAUAGCGGUUUACAAAUAUUCACCUUGGAGAUUGCUUUUAGUUCUAAUAUGCAUCAUCAAAAAUCCGAAGGAGAAUGAACCGAGUCGUGGCCCAACAAAGCAGCAUGGUCAAACGCUAACUCCAAAUUAACUUAACGUGGGCCCGCCACAUGAAGAUGACAUUGGGCCACAUGCUCUUAAAUUGAGCAUGCAUUGGACAAGGACGAAGUACAUGCAUUGAAUGGAAUGGCCUCAUGCAUUCAUGCGAAGGGAACAAGCUCGUGAUCGUCUAAUGACUUUCUGCUUCGCCAGCUGCAUGAAUGGGGGCAUUCAUCUCCUUCUAUGAAAUUGGAGCAAGCAGACUUUUCCGCAGUGAACCAAACGAAAGACGGAGGCCCUUGACCAAAACAUGUCUGUUCCAUCGAAUUGAGAAUAAGACAUGAAAAAGAUGGUGAACGUGCUAGCAGGCGCCAUAGCCAACUGAGACAAACAUGAAAUCGAACCCAUUAAACUUCUAGUGCAAAUCGAUCUAUCGAUUUUAAUCUACGGGAUCUUUCCAUUGUCUUGUCUCGGUAUAUUUUCCAGUCCCGUCUUGUUUGGACCCGUUAUGGAAUGGCUUUGACCAUUGCUCACUAAGUUGUCUAUACAAGAUCUCCAAUGAUCAUUUGGAAAGGAAUAUGUAUUGCUUAGAAAAUUGUCUGCCUUGUGUUCCUUCUCGCAAUUUCUCAACAAAUGCAUCAAGAAGAGAGAUUGUCUGAUUAUGUUAGGGAAAUCCCCUACAUGGCUUGAGUGAACUUCAACCACAUACUAGAGCCAAGGAGCCUGUAAGAGACAAAGCGUAGAGCCUAUAAUUCCAAAAUCUAAGUGAACUUUGACCACAUACUACGAAUUUAAAUUUGUAAUCAUUUGAGAAGUAAUGAUAGUGUUAUAAGUGUGUGUUUUGGUGUAAGAUAGUGAGUCCUCUCAGCUUGGGUAUAAGCAGCACCAGCUUUGGGUAGAAACACUUGGGUAUAAGCAACACAACUUGAUUGUAAUCAGUCGUUAGUUAUCUAGUGAAAUCCAACCAAUAGGUUAUUAGCGUGAAAGAGUGGACAUAGGCUUAAUCUUAACCGAUUCACUAUAAAUUUCGUGUGCAACUUUCUUUUUUCUAAACUCUGAUUGUUUUUUGCUUUUGUUUAUUGCACACUCGUUAGGUGCUUCAAAGUCUGUGCUAUUGCAUUUUAAAAUCCAACCCUUAUUCAGAAUUUAAUCUCGACUCAUUCUUUUCCGUUUUAAUUUGUCAAGAUUUUUUAAUAUCAUCUAUUCAGCCCCUCAAGGUGGUACCUGCUAGCCGCCCUCAGAUUAUACUUCCAACUAUGAGAUUUGCGGACUGGGAUUUCUUUGGUCCAAAAGAAGUUGGUUGCCGAAAGGAUGUGAGUGUCCCUCCUGUAUGAAUAAAAAAGUAGCAGAACUAUUGAAAUUGGGAUUCCAGGUCAACGAUCCGCAACCUGAGGAUCGGCAAGUUUCAUAUGCUUCUCAUCAUCUAAUUUAGCAGAUAAGGUCCAUUUUGCUUGGAUCAAGUUAAAAUACUCUUCCACCAUGUCAAAUGCAAUUUUCAUGAAGCAAAAUGUCGAUGAAAAUGCUUUGAUAGUUGCAUUUGGCCUUGCAUGCAAUUCCUUUUGCAACGAUCAUCAACCUGUUCUCUCUUGGAUCAUGCAAGGAAAUGUUAAACUUGACUGAUGAUAUAGCUUAUUUAAUCGGGAUCCAUGUGAAGACAUUAUGCGUAAUAGCACUUACAAACAAUACGAGUACUUUUCAUGAUUACAGACAACAGUGGUCUUAAAUAAGCAAAAUCAUAUUGAACUCAUAAAAGAGCUCAAAACUGGAGGUACUGGGACUUCAACAGCUCCUUCCAACAUCUGAGUAAUUUUCUUCAUGGUUGGCCUCAAAGCCGGGUCUUCCUGGAUGCACCACAAUGCUGUCAUCACAAAUCUUUUCACCCUCUUUAUGUCACUUGAUGCCUCCUCAUCGCUCUCCACUAGUUGAAGCACGCUCCCGUCGUGGUAGCAGUCAUAUGCCCAGUCAACUAGCACAAUUUGAGCUUCAAUUUCCGCUUUCGGCUCAUAGUUCUUUCUGCAGCAGAUGAGCUCAACCAACAAAAUGCCAAAGCUGUAAACAUCUACUUUGCUAGAAAUAGGCAUAUUCCUGAACCAUUCUGGUGCUAGAUAACCUCUAGUUCCUCUGACUCCAAUGGUGGUUCGUGUUUGGUUCGCCAUCAAGAGCUUAGCUAAUCCCAAGUUUGAGAUUUUUGCAGUGAGAGAGCCAUCAAGAAGAAUAUUUUGUGGCUUGAUGUCGCAGUGAAUUAUAUGCCUGGUGCAAUCCUCGUGCAAGUAAGAGAGCCCCUGUGCAACAUUGCAGACAAUUUCUAUUCUUCUGUACCAGCUGGGCCUUGAAGCGCCAAAUAGGAAAUCCGCCAAAGUGCCAUUGCUCAUGAAUUCAUACAUCUGUAGUCGGUGUUGACCUUCAUUGCAGUAUCCAAGAAACUGCACUAAGUUCUUGUGGUCAGUUCGGCCAAUUGCACUCACUUCUCUUUCAAACUCCUUCUUGCUUUCUCCAGUCCUUGUCGCCAACACUUUUACUGCAACGAAGUUCGUAUCCUCGGAUCCCAAAACACCUUUGUACACUGUUCCAAAAGCACCCCUACCCAAUUCUUCUUUGAAUCCAUAUGUUGCUUCGUGAAGCUCCUGAUAAGUGAAAGUCCGCAUGCCUGUAACUUGAUUGAUUUGGACUGGUCGUGACAACUUAGAAUCCCUAGAUCGGUGAUAUAGCUAGUACAAGUACCUAGAGGGGGGUGAAUAGGUGUAUAAAAGUUUUUUCUUGAUAAUUUCUUGAUGAUUGCGCAAUACUUAGACAGUUGAUGAAUUUGCGAUAAGUAAUAAUCAACGUAAGACUAAGUAAAGGAAAGAGAGAAUUGAACACGCGGUUUAUAGUGGUUCGGCUUGAUUCAAGCCUACGUCCACUCUUCUGCACUGAUAGCCAAUUGGCUGGAUUCCACUAUGAACAAAGAGAUGUUACAGUGCUGAUCUUCCUUGAUUUCUAAGUGUAGAUGAUCUACCACACUCACUCAAGGUAUCACCAAGUAUGAACACUCUCUGUGUAUACAAUUUCACUCAGAAUGAAUCGAUUAAUAAUCAAGGUGCUUCAGACUCUGGAAUUUCUCUAUCGAUCACGCACUUUCACAACUAUAACGUCUUCCUUUUUAUACUCCUUUAUGCCAUCAUACCGUUGGCACUUACCAAAGGAAUUCCUCCAAUCUACCCGUUGGACGGAAUCAAUUAAGGAGAUCAUUCGAGCUAUAAAAGGAACCUGACGAUAGCCCAUCAAUCAUGUUCGCCCAUACAAUCAGGAUCUUGGUUUCCAAGAAUAGAACAUUCCAAGAAUACUUCGUCGACCAUCGGAUCUUCAAUUGAUCUUGAUAAGAACAAAAGAAUCCGUUAUAUUUAUCCAGCCAAAAAGAUCUUCUCCAGAGAAUAGGAUUAAAUCCUCAACCAUAUACUUCGGCUCUGGAUUUCCUUCGUCACUGGAUCAGAAAGACUGUCAAUGAGAAUAGUCUUGAGUCUUGAAACUUGAGUCUGGUGAUCAGAAAGUCUUCAGACUUUAAACUAGACGAUCUGCAGAUAUCCAGACUAGAUUGAUAGAAACGUUUUGUCAGCUUCAAAAUAUUCUGGAAAGAUUUUUCCAAUAAUCUCCCCCUUUUUGAUGGUGACAAAACUUUCCUGUAGAUUUGAACCACUUUGACCUGCAAAAACAUUUCUCAAGCAAUAUGGCUAUCUCAUAAAGAUUUAACAAAACAACCAGACUCUGCAUCCACAGAAAAUUGGUUAGACUUUCAUGAGUAAUACCAUAUAACAACACUUGAUAUAAAUGCAAACAGUCAAGCAUUGAAAUCCAUAGCCAAUUCAGUCAAAUUCAAGUUCACACCCAAGUUCACUCAAGUCAUACUCAAAAACAAACAUAUUCAACCACAAAAAUAAAUUUAAAGUCAAAGAAAAGUUGGUUGGUUAAAAUUGCUUCUCCCCCUUUUUGUCAUCAUUAAAAAGGUGAGAAAGGAGUCAAGUCUGCUUGGGAAUGCGCACGAUCUGGAAAUCUCCCAUGGACUGGACUACGCCUUCUAGCCUCUUCAAGUCUUCCCUUAGUUGAGCUACCUCCUCUCCUUUGGCAUUGGCUUGAAGUUGUAGAGCGAGGUCUUUCAUUUUGUCCUCCAGGGUAACCGAAGAUGCUUGUCCAGCAUUCUUUAUGGCUUGAAUCUCACAGUCCAGAGCAUAGAUUUGGCCACGCAUUUCCAGAAGAACAUCCAUAAUAUGACGAAAAUCUGCAGAAUUGUCCGUCUGUGUACUUGCAUUUGCUUUCUCAGAUUGAGUGAAUGCAGACGAUGGCGCUUCUGUAUAGUCUUGCAGAUUUGAUGUUGACAUAUCGUGUCCUUCUUCAGGCAAUUGAGAAGCCUGAAACUCUUCUGGGUCUGCUGGAGAUUGUCUUAGACCUUCACUAUCGGUAGCAUGAGGUGUGGACCUUUGCUCGCCAACUCCCCCUGUCUCUAGGACAUCAAAAGGGGAAGAGUGAUGAUCAUGCUCUUCUGUAUCUUGAUUCCCCUUCUCUCCAGAUUCAGCUACAGACUUUUCUUGCUCUUCUUCUCCUUCUUCUUCAACUUCUUUCUCCCUCUCUCGUUGCUCUUCUUCUUCUCUGUUCUUGGCUUGCUCCUCUUCUUCUCUCUGUUUCUUCUGAUGUUCUGUCGAUUGGAGAACAUAACGUCUGGUCCUUAUCAAGGCAGUGAUUGUAGGAUCUUCCUCCUCAUCUUCAUCCUCCAAGAUGAGAGUUCUCUUCUUUUUGGAUGGGGCACCAAUGGCCUCCUUCCCUUUUCUCUUUGAAGCGGAUGGAACUGGAGUCUUCACUCUGAAUUUCUCCAUUGCCUUGGAAAGUUCUUGCAGACGCAUCUUCGUUAACAUCUUCAAACCUACCACCAUCUUAUCGCACGGUCGAACACAAAGUGUAUGUGGCGGUUCAAUAUUCAUGUGUCUGAAGAUCUUGGUCACCAGACCUGGGUAAGGCAAUUGUCCCUUAUCCUUCGAUAUUGCUCUGUACAUGUGAAAGAGAAUAGUGUGAGGAAGAGAGAACUUCAUCCCUGAGUUGAUUGCGUACAUCAAUUUUGCCUCUGAAUUAGACACAUCAGUCUUUGAUGUAGACUUGGGCCUGAUGCAAUUGAUCACAAUUUUAUGCAGCACAAUAUUGAUGGCACGCAUCCUUGAAUAGAUGAUUUUUCCUUCUACAUUUCUAUCCUUGACAAGUUCCAAUGAGGCACGAGCAACUGAGACUUUGAUUGGUUGAUAAUGUCCUCGUUCAACUCCAAUGAUGUCCGCCAACAUGUCCACGUCUACCACAUAAUCCUGAUCUCGAACACUGAAUGAUAUUCUAUUCGCAUCUAUAAAGCUGAGAUUCGAAUAGAAGUACGCAGUCAGUUGUGCAUAACCGUCUGUGGUAUCAAUGCAGAAUUGCUCAAGUUGAAGCAAUUUGAAUUUCUCCCGUAAGUUCACAUUAACGACAUCCAAGAAAUUGAAAUCGACACUCUUAGGGUUUAUCACCCCUUGUUUCAACAGUCUGAAAAACAAAUUCUCCUGUUCCUUUGAUUUGAAUAACUCCAUCCUCUUUCCCUUCACCUUUGCAGCAAUACCCAUUCUAUGUUGAAAAUCACUAAACAUUUUAUCAUCGCCGUUCCCAUCAAUCAGAUUCGGUCCCGACAUACGAGGGUCACUGGGAAUAUUCGCAAGCGCUUCCUAUGCUUUACCUUUGGGAGCAAUUCCCAAAUCCUCCAUUUUCUUCAGAAAGAUAUACUCAUUCCCAUAAUUCUUAUCUUUGAGAAAAUCAUCCACGUAUUUCAAUGGAGUCCCAGUACUUUUCAAUGCACAGUAAAGUUUGUAAAUAAACGAGGGUCUUUGGACUCUUACUGGGUCUGCGUCCUCGAUUAUCUCUUCCUCCUGUUGUUGACCCGCAUCAUGUGGGGUAGAUGGCGUUGAGUGACGUGGUGGAGAGUGAGUUGGGCUCUGUUGCUGACUCGAUAAUUCUUCCUCUUCAGUGAGAUCGAAGUGGGUAGGUCCCUCCUUCAUCCUCUGUGGUCCCUUGUUCGUGAUUCUUGAAGACUUCCUCGAAGACGACAUCCUUCCUAGUCGCUGAAAGAUUCCUUUACUUGCUUUCCCAAGAAGAGAUGACAACUUUCUCGAGGAUGAACACGAAGUACAAACCGGAUUGGGAGGAGAAUGCUUUUAGGGUUUUGAAGAUUGAAAAUGAAAACCGUAUAUAUAUAAAUCAGAUUUGAAAAGGGAAGUUUAAUCGGCACAAGGAAAGUGUACGAAUACCUCUUUUCGAAAUCAAUAACUGCGAAAAUUAAUCCUUUUGAAAAGACAAGUUUUCGAAGACUACAAAAUAACUGAACGAAAGAUCAUACCUUUUCGAGUUUAGAUAAAAUAACAACUUAUAGUCUAUAAUCAUCAAAGUCUGAGUCUGAGAGAUUUAGAGUCUGACGAUCAUCAACUUUCUGAGUUUGAAGGUUGGAGAGUCUCUAGACUUUAACUUCUUCGAGCUUCAAAAUGUUGAGUCUGGAGCGAAUAAAAUCAAAUUGAUUUUUCUCCAAAGGCUUUGUGAAUAUAUCUGCUAGUUGACUUUUUGAAUCAACAAAUUGAAUCGAGAUUUCUCCGUUUUGAAUAUGAUCUCUAAUGAAAUGAUGUCAAAUCUCUAUAUGCUUUGCUCUUGAAUGAAGAAUUGGAUUUUUUUGUGAGAUUGAUUGCGCUGGUGUUGUCACAUUUGAUUUCUGUGCAUGAGUCUUCAAUCCCAAAGUCUUGUAGCUAUUGUUUUAUCCAUAGAAUUUGUGAACAGCAGCUUCCAAGAGCUACAUACUAUGCUUCUAUUGUUGAGAGAGCUACAGUACUUUGUUUCCUUGAAAACCAAGACACUGUCCUGCUUCCAAGCAACUGGCAAGUUCCUGAAGUACUCUUCCUAUCGACUCUACAGCCGACCAGAUCUGCGUCUGAGUAUCCCAGAAGAUUAAAGUCUCCCUUCUUAAGAUACCAAAGACCGAUGCUUGAAGAUGAAGCAACGUAUUUAAUAAUACGUUUUGCAGCACUGAGAUGGGAUUCUCUAGGAUCUGAUUGAAACCUAGCACAGAUGCAAACACUCAACAAAAUGGCAGGUCUAGAGGCAGUAAGAUAAAGAAGUGAACCGAUGAUGCUCCUGUACAGCUUUUGAUCAACUUUCUUCCCUUCUUCAUCUUUGUCUAUCUUCAAGGAGCUUGACAUUGGUAUGUCAGUCUUCUUACAAUUUUCCAAUCCAAACCUUUUGACAAGAUCAUUAGCAUAUUUUUCUUGGUAAAUGAAAGUUCCUUCAUUCAAUUGCUUUAUUUGAAGAACAAGAAAGAAUGUUAAUUCUCCCAUCAUACUCAUUUCAAAUUCAUCCUACAUAGACUUAGAAAAUUUCUUGCAUAGACUUUCAUUAGAGGAUCCAAAAAUAAUAUCAUCCACAUAUAUUUGAACAAGUAAAAAGCUUUUGUUUUCCUUUUUGAUAAAUAAAGUAGUAUCUACUUUACAUUUGACAAAACCAUUCUGUAGUAAGAACUUACUCAGUCUGUCGUACCAAGCUCGAGGUGCUUGCUUUAAACCAUACAAGGCCUUUUUCAAUCUGAAGACUGAGUUUGGUUUCUUUGGGUCUUCAAACCCAGGCGGUUGUUCCACAUAAACUUCCUCUUGGAUAAAUCCAUUUAGGAAAGCACUUUUGACGUCCAUUUGGAAUAACCUGAAAUUUUUGUAACAAGCAAACGCAAGUAAUAGACGAAUAGCUUCUAACCUUGCUACAGGAGCAUAAGUCUCAUCAUAGUCUAUUCCUUCUUCUUGCGUGUAUCCUUUGGCCAUGAGUCUUGCUUUAUUUCGUACGACUUUUCCUUUUUCAUUCAUCUUGUUUCUGAACACCCAUUUGGCUCCAAUAACAGUUUUACCUUUUGGUUUAGAUGUCAAUUCCCAGACAUCAUUAAUGUUGAACUGUCUAAGCUCCUCUUGCAUAGCUUCGAUCCAGCUUUCAUCAGAUAAAGCUUCUUCUAUGCUUUUUGGUUCAAUUUCAGAGAUGAGAGCCACAGCACUAGACUCUUCACGACUUUUGGAUCUGGUUCAAAUUCCUUCAUUAAUUUCGCCGAUAAUGAGAUCUUUGGGAUGAUUGGACUUAUGCUUCUAGUUACUGGUUGAUUUGUCUGGAUGAUGAUCUCUUUCUUUAUUUGAAUCUUUAUGAACUUCUUGAUGCUGGUCUUCCAGAGUCUGAGACAUUUCUUGAGUUGUCAGCUUUGGAAAGUUUGGAGCAGAUUCAGACUCUUCAUACUGAGUCUGACUGGAUUCAUCUUGUGUAGAGUCUUGAAAUUUGACAUUCAUUGACUCCUCCACCGACUGGCUCUUCUUGUUGUAGACUCUGCAGGCUUUGCUUGAUGUAGAAUAUCCAAGGAAGAUGCCUUCAUCUGAUCUUUCUUCAAACUUACCAACUCGAUCUUUUGCAUUUUUCAAUAUAAAGCAUUUGCAACCGAACACAUGAAAGUAUGAAACAAUAGGCUUCUUACCUUUGAAUAAUUCAUAAGGGGUUUUCUCCAGAAUAGGUCUUAGGAAGACUCUAUUGAUGAUAUAGCACGCUGUUGAAACAGCUUCAGCCCAAAAUCGUGAAGAAAUUUUACUUUCAAUUAAAAGAGUUCUAGCCAUUUCUUGAAGAGAUCUAUUCUUUCUUUCCACAACUCCAUUUUGCUGAGGAGUGUAUGGAGAGGAAAACACAUGCUUAAAUCCAGAUUCAUCACACAAUUUUGUGAAAUCUUGAUUUUCAAAUUCACCUCCAUGAUCUGUUUUUAUACUUGAGAUAACACAUCCUUUUUCAUUUUGAAUCUUUUUAGAAAAUUUUUCAAAAUACGGAAAGGUUUCUGACUUACUUGCAAGGAAAUAUACCCAAGUAAAGCGGGAGUAAUCAUCCACAAUUACUAGACAAUAUUUCUUACCUCCAAUACUCUGGGUUCUGGUUGGUCCGAAGAGAUCCAUAUGCAGCAACUGUAGUACAUGAUUAGUAGAGACAUGAUUUAUUGGCUUAAAAGAAUUUCUUACCUGCUUUCCCAGAAUACAUGGUGUGCAUGGAUCGGUCUUUUGAAAUGGUAAUUUGGGUAGACCUCGAACAAGCUGCUUUGAUGAGAUUUUGGCUAAUUGCUUCAUAUUGACAUGACCAAGCUUUCUGUGCCAUAAGCUUGCUUCAUCUUGAAUUGAUAUUAGGCAUUGUGAUUCAUUUGGUUUCACGUCUAAAAGGUAUAUAUUUCCAUGUCUUCGAUCCAUGAAAGACUGAGUAAAGUCUUUACUGAUUUCAGAACAUAUUCCUUCUUGAAAGGAGAUCUUGAAACCAGUAUCACACAAUUGACUAAUGCUGAGAAGGUUAUAGUUGAGUCCUUCCACUAGAGAAACAUUGCUUAUUGUGAGAUUUCCAAUUUUCACAGUUCCAAAUCCCACAAUGCUUCCUUUGCCGUUUCCUUCAAAUGAAACAUUUCCACCGUUUACUUGAACAAGCUUUAUGAAGCACUUUGAGUCUCCUGUCAUGUGUCUUGAACAUCCCGCUGUCAAGAUACCACUUUACCCUUUUCUUGACGGAGACCUGCAUUUAAAAUAGAGUCUCAAGCUUUCUUUGGUACCCAAAUUUUCUUGGGUCCUUUGGUGUUAGUAGGAUAAACAUUAUUAGGCCAUAUUUUCUUAACAGGCUUCCAAACCAUAGGACACUCUUUUUCAAAGUGAUCCUUACUGUUACAUUUUGAACACCUUAGAGCAUUUCGUCCUACAGACUUUACAAAAACUUUCUUGAAAUGAUUUUUGUGAGCCUCUCUCGACGGUCUUUUCUUAAUUCUUUCUUUUACUUUAGGAAAAUUAAUCAAGGGAAUUGUUUCUGCUGUCAUGCCUAGACCAGACUUAUUGAAGUAAGGUCUUUGAACUGAAAGAACUUUUUCAAGCUUUUCGGAUCCUAUCGAAAAUUUCUUUGAAAUAUUUGAUAAGUCUGUUUUUAAGAAAACAUUUUCUUUCAAAAGAUUAUCUUCUUUUUCUUUAAGAGUAGAAACAUUCAAGUCUAAACUUUUAACUCUUUCUUCUAAAAUGGUUUCCUUUUGUUUUAGGGCUGAGUUUUCCUUUUUAAGUUCGGAAAUCCUUUUGAGAGAAGUCUUAAGACUAAAACAUAGUUCAUCAAUGUAUUUAGAAACUUUGACAGGAAUUUUAAAAUCACUUACCUCAAAUUCACUGUCUGAGUCUAAUCCAGAAUCUGAGUCUGAGUCUGAAUGUGCCAUCAGACAUAUGUUGGCAUAUUCAUUAUCACUUUCUUCACAUUCUGUAUCACUCCAGGUUUCGGCUUUGAGAGCUUUUCGAAACUUCUCAGCUUUUCCUCUUUUCUUCUUCAGAAGAGGAUAGUUGGGUCUAAUGUGUCCCUUUUUCUUACACUCGAAGCAGACUACAUCUUUGUUUGGUUCCUCAUCAUCAACAGACUUGGUCUGCUGUCUCUGGAAACUUUGUUUCUUUGAGUUGAACCUUCUUCCUUUUCUAUUCAGUUUUCUAAAUCUUCUUAUCAUGAGAGCAAGCUCCUCGUCGUCCAUAUCAUCUCCUGAAUCUGUAUCAUCAGAAUCAUCAUUUGAUUUUAAUGCAAUGGAUUUCUUACCUCUUGGAUCUUCGUCCUCAUUAAUUCGUUCCACUUCAUAAGACUGAAGAGUUCCAAUCAGCUCGUCGACAGAUAGAGGCAUAAUUCUUUGCGUCUCUCUUAUUGAAGUCUUUAUAUGAUUCCAAUCCUUGGAGAGUCCAUGCAGUAGCUUGUUUACCUUCAUGGGAUCAGAAAUUUUUUGUCCUUGGUUCUCAAGACCAUUGACAAUAUCUGUAAAACGACUAAACAUGUCAAUUAUAAAUUCUCCUGGUUUCAUUUUGAAGGCUUCAUAUUGACCGAGAAGAAUGUUGAUUCUGGUCUCCUUCACUCGAUCUGUUCCUUCAUAGGUGAUAUGUAAUCUGUCCCAUACUUCAUUUGCUGUAAUAUAAGAAGAUAUUCUGUUAUAUUCAGUUGGAGACAAGGCACAAUAUAAAGAGUAAAUUGCUUUUGCAUCGAGUGCUUGUCUCUUGUUUAUCUCUUCCUGAGUCAUUCCGCUGGUAUCAAUAGUUUCUUUCCCUCUUUCAAAAAUUGAUGCAGCAGCAGGAGUGAUUCCUCUUUCCACAACGUCCCAUUCCAGAGGAUCCUUUGAUCGUAGGAAAGCUUUCAUCUUGUUCUUCCAGAUGUUGUAAUCAUUUCCAUCAAAGUAGGGUGGUCUGGUAUUGCUUUGCUCUUCCACCAGCCCUGGUACUAGCAUACUAGCCAUGGAUCUUUUACUCUGAAGUAAAACAUUUCAAAUAAAGUAAGAACACGAGCUCUGAUACCAAUUGAUAUAGCUAGUACAAGUACCUAGAGGGAGGUGAAUAGGUGUAUAAAAGUUUUUUCUUGAUAAUUUCUUGAUGAUUGCGCAAUACUUAGACAGUUGAUGAAUUUGCGAUAAGUAAUAAUCAACGUAAGACUAAGUAAAGGAAAGAGAGAAUUGAACACGCGGUUUAUAGUGGUUCGGCUUGAUUCAAGCCUACGUCCACUCUUCUGCACUGAUAGCCAAUUGGCUGGAUUCCACUAUGAACAAAGAGAUGUUACAGUGCUGAUCUUCCUUGAUUUCUAAGUGUAGAUGAUCUACCACACUCACUCAAGGUAUCACCAAGUAUGAACACUCUCUGUGUAUACAAUUUCACUCAGAAUGAAUCGAUUAAUAAUCAAGGUGCUUCAGACUCUGGAAUUUCUCUAUCGAUCACGCACUUUCACAACUAUAACGUCUUCCUUUUUAUACUCCUUUAUGCCAUCAUACCGUUGGCACUUACCAAAGGAAUUCCUCCAAUCUACCCGUUGGACGGAAUCAAUUAAGGAGAUCAUUCGAGCUAUAAAAGGAACCUGACGAUAGCCCAUCAAUCCUGUUCGCCCAUACAAUCAGGAUCUUGGUUUCCAAGAAUAGAACAUUCCAAGAAUACUUCGUCAACCAUCGGAUCUUCAAUUGAUCUUGAUAAGAACAAAAGAAUCCGUUACAUUUAUCCAUCCAAAAAGAUCUUCUCCAAAGAAUAGGAUUAAAUCCUCAACCAUAUACUUCGGCUCUGGAUUUCCUUCGUCACUGGAUCAGAAAGACUGUCAAUGAGAAUAGUCUUGAGUCUUGAGUCUUGAGUCUUGAAACUUGAGUCUGGUGAUCAGAAAGUCUUCAGACUUUAAACUAGACGAUCUGCAGAUAUCCAGACUAGAUUGAUAGAAACGUUUUGUCAGCUUCAAAAUAUUCUGGAAAGAUUUCUCCAACAAUCGGAAGCUUCUAUACAUUAAAUAGGUAAUAAGGAGUAAAAGCAAGUUCACAAAGACAGAGCUACUCAACAGCAUUGAUCCGACAAUCAUCAGAGUCGUAUUCUUUUUUUUCUUCUAGUCGUUUUUUGUGCAUUUUGAAGUCGUGUCAUGUAUCCUAACCUUGAUCAGAGCUUUUUGUUUCUCCCAUGGACCCAUCCUUCCAUUGGAAAGAGGGUUCUUCUUUUUCCAACAAAUUCCAUUGCCGAAAAUGGCAGCUGCGCAAAAACAAUCAGCCAAGCAAGCCUCUCUGCACCAGUCCUCGGUUCGUGCCGUGCUAUGCUCGUAAUCGGACAUUAGCCAGUCUGUUUUGAGCAUUUCACGCAUAACAAACUGGUCUGUUUCGGGCCUACUUCGGUUACAACUCUGUGGAACGAAGUCCUGUAUGCAUCCGUUCAUCUCAUUCAUUGAAUCUAACGGAGUAUAUCCAGGUGGGCAUUGGCAUCGGGACCUCAAAUCAUCUCCAAGAGUACAGUAGCUGUUGAAGCCACAAGCUCCACUGCCAAUCUCUUGGAUGAUGCUCGUGCAUAUAUUUGGCGGGACUGGGGUAGAGACCGUCGACCAGCCCAUUGGCCAGCCAGAACUUGAAUUCGCCGUCUUAGGGUGGAUAUAUUGCAUGAAUACCCCGUCGUAUUCAAGGAUCGCUCUUUGGUAAAAGCCGUUGGUCGGGACUAUGCCUGAGGUGAGCAGUUUGAGCACUGUUCCAUUCCUAGCCGUGAGGUAGACCUGACCACUUUGACUGAAUAUCAACUGGAAGCCGCUACCUACGGCGUUGCUGCUCCAGUAGGUAUCUGAGGCAUCCGACGGGUCAGGAGUGGCAUAGAAUGCGAGAUUUCCAUUGUCUCCUAGCAUGAAGUGGAAUCUCCCGGCGGAGUAAUUCAUUUCGGAAUAGCGAGCGUUGAGUUUAGCCCCAAGAUCUAACUGUUGCGUUGGCAGUAUCAUAUCUGUCGGUCGGCUGAACGAAUCCCACAACUUGACGUGGCUCUCGCUCGGUAGGAUGAAGUUCCCCGUGUCGAGCAUGGCCGCAUACGCUAAGCCAGUGCUGUUCAGGCCAGAAGACCACAGCCCUCUCUCUCUCGGGUCGGUAAGCACCAGCCCGCCGUUGGCGAUCAACUGGACUUUCGAUCCUUCGGGCGCUAGAUUAUCGCCAUUCGCCGACCAGACGAUGGUCUUGUCCUCUAUCUUCUCGAACCAUAUAGCCAACAAAUGAGCUCCUGUUCCCAUUCUUCGGAACCUGAAGGCAAACUCGCCCGACGGCGACAGCCAGGAAGAGUUCUGGUCGUUUGCCGUCAACGAGGAGCCCAAGGUCAAGUUGCUGUGGGUCUGAGCUUCGGUGGAAAGGGGAAGUGGAGCGAGUACUAGCAGGAUUCCUAGUAUAACUGAAGCCAUGUUUGAUGAAACAGGCGUGCUCGUUGAGUUGAGCUACUUCGGCCUUAAGGAUGAAACCAGGGUUCUUAUAGAGAUUCCCUACAAGCUACCAGAGUCUCCCUCCUUUUCCUUCACGGCAAGUUUGAACCAAAGUUGUGGACAGCCUUUAGACCAUUUAGAAGUGUAUGAUGAGCAUCCAAUUUUCGCAAUGUGAUCUUUCUUUUGUUUUUCGUUAUUGAGGCCCUUUUUUCCUUUUUACUUUAUCUUGUUUCUUUUUUCUUGAAGUAUCUUAUUAGUUCAUUAAUAUUUUCAUCAACAUUUAAAUAAAACUAAUUUAUGAUAGUAUCAUUGAUGUUGUUGUUUUUUUCGGAUUAUAUUGUUUUAACAAAUUUAUAUUUUCUCUAUUUUCUUUGUUUUUCACUUUUUUAUUUAUUUAUAGAAAUUAAUACUGAAAGAACUUGUCAAAUUUAGAAUAAGGCGACUCUGCUCCAUAAGCUUGCCAGGGACCCGGACACUUUUGGAGGAAGGCACAAAUUUGGAAGACUUUGACCAAAGGUCGUCGUACAGGAGACUUUAAGAGAUGAAAGGGAUGGAAGAAGAUGGCCCUUAUAUCACGUUGGUAAACUCCACUAAGCUAAAAGCAGGCCACUAAUUUCGCAAGUAAUUUUUUAAUUUCAACAGUAAAAUUUUGUUUCAUCAAUACAUUAUUAAGUUAUCAGUUUCAAUCGUGGAGCUUUUUUCUAAAUAUUGAUUAAUUAAUAAAAAUACUUAUAAAUUUUAAAAAGGAAAUGAUGCCCUCGACUCAUAAAAGAAAAUGAUAUAUCGAAUAUGUAGUCAUUUUUUUUUUAAUUAUGAUUGAUUCAUCUAUCGUUUUAUUUUGUAGAUAUAUUUUUCUCCAUUUUCUUUAUAUUUCCACAUAAAACAAUGGUGAAAAAGCUAUUGCCAUAAACAAGAUGACAAUAAACUUUUACCCCUUAAAAGGCAUGAGCCUUGCACGCGCUAACAGAAUGGAGUAACAAUUUUAAAGUUCAAGGGCAAAUAUAUACUAUUGCAAAGUUCGAGAGAGAUUUGAGUAAUUUCUUCAUGAUUAUCUUUCCAAUAGAAAAUUUGCCACUUUAUUAGAAAUUUACUAACUUGUAACUUGUAAGGACUUAUGCGAUAACUUACUAAUUUCACUGCUACGAUUUAGUUUUAAAUGGUCAAUUUCUAAAUAAUUGGACAACUUGCAUUCCACUUGAAAUUGGUAUUACUACCUUAUAAGCGGACCUAUAUGGUAAGUUAUCUGAAAGUUAUAAAUUUCACCACUAAAUUUUGGUUUUGAGUAAUAAAUUUCUAAAAAAAGUUAAUGACUUGUCAUUGCAUUUAUUGAUGGUAAAUUGCUACCAUUGUAAGUGCAUUACCAUAUCAGUUGACUAAGAAGUCCCCAGUUACGCGAAAAUUUAGAUAAAGGCAGGUCUGCUUGGGGGGAUCCAUUAAUCUUCGGUCGUGACCCUGAAAUUUCCCAAGGAGAAACAGACAAAUUUAGAAGACUUUGACCGAAACAUCUUUUAGGUUUAGAGGAGGAGAUUUUGGGAGUGGAAAAUGUUCGUUUUUUUUUUUACCAAAAUAAAAAGGAUUCGAUUCCUGUGGAAAUCGAAGCGAUCACAGAUCCCUUCGUGGAAAUUGAACGUUUGAAUGCGUAUCAGGCACGCAUGCAGUCAGUGGAUAUGAUUGUGAACCUUCUAAUUUGACUUUGAUCAGAUCGCUAAUGGAUUUCAGAAGAAAAAUUCAAAAUAGUGAAGCGGGACCCAGUAGAUCAUCAUGCAAAAUGCUAAAAAAAAAUCAAAAUAGUAAAUAAAGAAGCAAAAGAAAAAGCAAAAGAAAAGCGUCUGAAAUACUUUUCCCCCACCGACCAAAAAAAGAAAAAAAAUACUUUUCCCCCCGCCACCCCACUACCUAAUCACCGCUAAUUUUGACUUUAAUCAGAUCGCUAAUGGACUUCACAAGAAAAAAACAACACUCCUAAUCAAUCCCCCCCGCGACCCGCGUAACGUACACAGCACACCUAACACGACCCCGACAACUGACACGUCAGCACACGCUCGCCACACUGUCCGGUGCUCUCCCUCCAUUGUCGUCUUCCGCUGGGAAAUAUUGAAAUCCAGGAGAUGGCUACGUCUAUCCACGAGAAAUCUGCUGCUUUGUUUCGUGCGAUGGAGGUUCUCCCCGUGCAGACAAUUACCUCCUCCUUCUCCUCCUUCUUCCUCGUGCUCUGAAGCACGCCGCUGGAUUGUGCUUUGCCCGAGGAGGUAAGCGAGGCGAGGAAUGUUCUCGACGUGAGCGGCGUACUCCACGCGAUUGUGAACCGUGUCGUUGGGGUGAUCUAAUGCUUGCUACUUAGACUGCAAUUGAGUCUUGUGCAGCUUGGAGAGGAAUGACUACAUUAAUGAUUGAUGGACCUAAUUCUGUAUAUACUCUGCAGAAAUUUGCAUACAUUAAAUCGCUCUGUUAACACUAUUAAAUUUGGCUAUCGAAGAAAGUUGAUAUAAUUUUUUCGUUAUGUUCAAAAGGAAAUGCGUUAAUAUAGAUGUUACAUCAGCCAAUUUAGAAGAAAAAUAUUAAAAGAUAUUUAAAGCUAAAUGUUGGAUGUUGCAAUUAAACUAUAAUCAGUUGUUCUCGAAACUUUUGAAAAAUAAAAUUCGGGAAAAAGAAGAAGAAAACUUAAAGAGAAAAUCAUGCUCCAGAAUCGACUCUAUCAAUUUUUGCAUUCAGCUACUUCGUUUCACAGCCAUAGCUAGUGCUGGUUCUUAAGCUUCCGUGGCAACGAGAUCUCUAUUCUCGCUCAAAUCCGCCAUUCACUAGAGGUUCACCACCUCGCGGCCAAACACGGCUUCCUCCUUCGAUCUUCUUUGACGAUGUGGGCCGUGAUCAUCGUCUCAGAUCUGUGCUAGGGUCAUCAUUUGUCGUAGAUCUGAGCAAGGGUCGCGGCCAUAAUUGUCGGAGGAGCGAGAGUGGCUAGUGGGAAGGUCCCUGUUGACGAGUGACGAGGGUGGCUCACUUGUCUCCCACACGCUUACUUUAUUUUUAUUUUUAUUUUCAAAAUGCGAAGGUGGCAGCAAGGGUUGCACUAGCUUACGUAAGUCUGGUGUGGGACAUUGGCCCCUCGCUGAUGCAUGGGUGGCCCUUGAACCUAGGGGUGAGCAUGGUUCCCGGGUAGAACCGGGAACCGGAGAUUCCCGGUUCUAAGAGGACCGGUUCCGGUUCCCGGUUCCCCUUUUCUGGGAACCGGAACCGGAACCGGCACUGGGAAACGGAACCGGAACCGGAACCGGCAUUGGGAACCAGAACCGGUUCAAUUAGGGCACAAAAAAACCCCAAAUCAAAAGUUCUCUCGCUUCUUGCACAGUACAGAAUCCACACACGACACUUUUAGUUUUCACAGAGUUCUCUCUUCGCCCGUCCAUUCUCCAUCUCCGCUCGACGCCACUGCCUGUCCGCCGAUCGCCCUCGAGUCUCGAUGCCACCGCUUGUCCGCCGGUCGCCCUCGAGUCUCGACGCCACCGCCGGUCUCCCUCGAGUCCUCGACGCCACUGCCGCUGAUCUCUGCUCGAGGGUCGAAGCCACCUUCGCUCGCCCUCGACGGCACCGCGGCUGACCUCUUCGCCCAUCCGUUCUCCAUCUCUGCUCGACGCCACCGCCGGUCGCCCUCGAGUCUCGACGCCACCGCCGAUCGCCCUCGAGUCUCGACGCCACCGCCGAUCGCCCUCGAGUCUCGACGCCACCGCCGGUCGCCCUCGAGUCUCGACGCCACCGCCGGUCGCCCUCGAGUCUCGACUCCACCGCUGGUCUCCCUCAACACCACUACCGCUAAUCUCUGCUCGAGGGUCGAGGCCACCUUCGCUCCCCCUCGACAACACCGCGGCUGACCUCUUUGCCCGUCCAUUCUCUAUCUCUUCUCGACGCCACCGCCGGUCGCCCUCGAGUCUCGACGCCACCGCCGGUCUCCCUCGACGCCACCGCCGGUUGCCCUCUAGACUCUUGCUGAAUGUGUGUGGACAAUUUGCUUGUGGCCGAGUCAUGUGAGAUUUUCUCUUUGGGCCUGCAAUGUGCUGUUGUUGCGCGAUUGCUAUCUCUAGCUCGGCUGCUCGUUGAAUAUGUGGUUUUUGAUUUGGUUGAUGGCUCGAAGUUUUGAUUUUUGUCGUGACUGCAGUUUUCGUGAAUGGAUUUGGUGUUUCCCUUGGAUUUAUUUGAAUGCUUUGAUUCGUACUUUGGUGGAGUUCUGUUCAUUCGGUCUAUUGCUCCUUGCCGCUUUUCAAUUGGGAUUCGGCUGAUAUUCUGGUUUCAUUCGUGGCUUGUAUCUGCUAACUCUUUACAGUUUUGGUGUGGUUGAUCUUUUGGUUUCCUUUCUGGCAUGCAAUAUGUUUCUCUGGCAUUUGGAAGAUUGGUUUUCAUUCUACAUUUAUUGUGGUUCCGGGCUAAAUGUACUAUUUUUAGUUAAUCUAAUUCAUCAACACGGAAUGAGAUACCUACAGUCUAGAAUUGGAGAAGGAUUUUGCAGUGCAUGAACUGUGUAUUCUGUGAAGACAGAAGAAAACCGAGGAGAUAAUUGUGGUUCAUUUUUAUGAGUGUUUUGGGGUGUUCUUGUCUUUCUGUUCAACCAUUAUAUGUUCAUGAUCAUGAGUGUAUGAACGAGCCUUCAAUUUCUCUUUUGAAUUCUCUGUUGCUAUGUCAAAAAAGAAAAGAACAGGAGAAAAGUGAAGAGUAGAGAGAAGAGAGAGUGAAAAAUCUUUCAUCCAUUGUGGCAUCCUACUCUUUAUAGAACAUAUAAUGGUAGUUCACGUGUGCUUUAUCAUACCUUUUGUCUUGUAGGUGUCACAUAUGCUUAUGGAGCUGCUGUUUAAUAUGUUCUAACCAACCAAAUGUAGCUAAUUUAAUUUUAAAAUCAAAUGUUUACAUAAUUUGGCUAGAUGAAUGUCUUUGAUCUUUCCAUUGUUCUCUCAGCUCCUCCUUUUAAAUCAUGACCAUUUUCUUUCUAUUAGUCUCUUAGUUGGCAUUUGAUUGAUAUCUGACAUUCUUUUUGCAGCAAGUCGAAGGAUUAAAUUUCUUCCGCUCAAGGCUAGCUUUUGGGAAACGAUAAGAUCAGGGUAAAUGACAAAUCAUUAAUGCCUUGAUUAUGCUGUCAAGCAUAUGCUGCACAUGCACCCGAAUUGCAAAUAUCAAAUUCUUUUCGUUUUCUGGUCAUUCAUCUUUAUUUGAAGAGUUAAAUACUAUCCUUACUUGUGAUAGUUACACCAGCAUGGACCGUGUGACUUCUCCUCAAAACCACGGGCAGUUCUUUUUGUCAGCUCCCAUAAGAAAACAUCCCUUCUCAAAACCAGUUGCCAUGGAAAAAAAAAAAACCAGUUGCCAUGCUCGCUAUAUAUCCUGAACUGAGUUUUUUUUUUUUUUUUUUAAAAAAAAAGAGGAAUCUUGCACUGCAUGAAUGAGGCUUUUUGGGAACUUGGUGUUGCAUUUUCGGGAUUUCUUGAGAUUUGACUGACUUAAGACUUAGGUAUGUCCUUUUUAUGUGUAGGGCUGCGUGGGCUGCAUGGUUGCUUCACUGGAAGAAACUUUUUAUUUGAGUUACUUUGUUUUCUCAAAGCUUUUAGUAGCACAAAACAUUUCAAACAAAAGCUCUUUUUUAAUUAUAUUUUAUAAAUCUAUUUUCUUUACUGAAUUGCUUGUCAGCCUUUUCAGCCAUUUCUUAUUCUGCAUUCUAAGCUUUGUGUGACAAUAUUCUGCAUUUAGUUAAUACCAAUAUUCUCUUUUGGCAGUUUUUUAAAGGACAGCGCGACACAAAUCGUUGAUCCACCAACCAGUCUUGAAGAGGAGGAAGAGAUCUUACCUCUUUAAGAAGCCUGAGUUCUCUCUUGAUCCUUCUUUUCUACGGUUUCACCUUGCUGGUUAAGGUAGGCGAUGAAAUGAACAGACUGAAACUGGUCUACUUUCCCAUGGUUUGUGCUGUAUUAUGUUUCUAUACAGCAUUGGUAUGCUGUAUUUCAACAUAAUAGACUUAGCUUAUGUAUAAAAGUGUUGUAUUAUGUUUCUAUACAGCAUUGGUAUGCUGUAUUAUACUGUAUUAACGUUGUUAUCAACUAAAUUAAUUAUAUUCUGUAAUUGUUGUGUAGUGCAAAGAUAAUCUAUCAAGAUAACACAUCAAUGGAGGUGGAGGGACAUGAGGAUAUGACUCCGGAAUUGGAAUUUUCUGGCCAUGAAAAUGAAGAAGAGGCACCUCCUACUACAAGUGCCACGAGUAAGGUACCUGGUUCUCAUCUUCCUCAGGAUAAGAAAUAUACAUCAGAAUGUUGGAAUAAUUAUACAAGAAUUAAUGAUAAGGAUGGAAAACCAAAUCAAGUGAAGUGCAUACAUUGUGGGACAACGCUUAAGUAUCGUGUUGCUAACGGUACUUCUGCGAUGAGGAAGCACUUGACCACAUGCAGGAGGUUUCCCCAUCAUGUAGAUAAGAGACAGAAGUUCUUUGUACCCUGUAAUGUAGACAUAGCUGGCAAGUCAGGAGGUGAUUCUAAUGCUGGUAGUAUCUUAUCAACAUGGUCGUUUAAUCAAGAACAUUGUAGGCGAAUGCUUGCUCGGUUCAUCAUCAGUGAUGAGCAACCUUUUUCCUUGGUUGAGCGUGUUGGAUUUCGUGAGUUUGUUAGUGAGUUACAGCCUCUUUUCAAACAUAUAUCACGUUUCACGGUGGCAAAAGAUUGCAUGAAGUUGUAUAUUGAUGAAAAAACUUCUUUGAAGAAUUAUUUUCGACAGAUUAAUUCUAGGAUCGCACUCACGACCGAUACAUGGAGCUCCAUUCAAAAUCUGAAUUAUUUGUCUCACUGCACAUUUUAUUGAUGAAAAUUGGAAGUUGCAUAAAAGAAUCAUCAAUUUUGUGGUGAUGCAUAGUCACAGGGGUAGAGAAAUUGAGAAAAUGGUAGAGAAAUGCAUUCAAGAGUGGGAAAUUGAAAAAAAGGUGUGCACAAUCACUAUGGAUAAUGCUAGCUCGAAUGAUGUUGCAAUUAACUAUCUGAGGGAUAAAUUUUCCAAAGAAAAGUCGUUGAUAUUGGAUGAUAGUGUUUUGCACAUGAGGUGCACAGCUCAUAUAUUGAAUUUGAUUGUGAGAGAUGUCUUGACUAGAGUACGUGACUCCAUUACAUGUGUCCGGAAUGUGGUUAGGUAUGUAAAGAGUUCUCCCGCAAGAGCCAAUGCAUUUAAGUCUUGCAUUAAGAGUGAAAAUAUCUCUUAUAAAGGUUCGGUAGUUCUUGACGUUGCUACUAGAUGAAAUUCAACUUAUCUCAUGUUAGACACCGCCAUCAAGUUCAAAAAAGCUUUCCAAAGAAUGGAAGAUGACAAUUUAUCAUUUGCAAGUGAGCUAAAUCAUGAAAAUCCUAGUGAUGAUGAUUGGAAAAAUGCUAUUAUUAUUUCAGAUUUUCUAAAAGUAUUCUAUGAUGCCACCAAUCGGAUGUCGGGGAGUUCAUAUGUUACUUCAAAUGAUUAUUUUGAAUGAAUAGCUCUUUUGUAUAGAUAUUUGAAAGAUGCGGUCAAUGCUUCGAAUCUUAGGCUUCAUGAUAUGGGUGUGAAAAUGAAAGAAAAAUUUGAAAAAUAUUAUGGAAGCUUGGAUAAAGUGAAUAUGAUGGUUUUGAUUGUGGUUGUGUUAGAUCCUAGAGCUAAGUUGAAUUAUGUGACUUUCUUGUAUGGACAAAUUUAUGAUGAUUAAUUGAAAGUUAAAGAGAUGCAUUACAAGGUGAAGGAUGCAUUGGAGCGUUUGUAUGAAUUUUAUGAGCAAUCUUCUCUUAUUUCAAGUGAUCAAAAUUUUGGUGGCCAUAGUUCGGGUGCAAGUAGUAGUGCUUCUAAUGUCAAUUCGGGUGGUAGUGAAGGAAUAAAGAAGUAUGAUGGACAAGCUUGGAAGAAAAUAUUUUUAUACUCGAAUGAACAAGGGUGUGAUGACAACAAGUCCGAGCUUGAUCAAUAUCUUCAAGAGAAAAAUGAAAAGAAUCUUGAUAUUGACCUUUUGAUAUGGUGGAAGACUAAUGGCUCAAAAUAUAAGAUUCUUUCUUUGAUGGCUCGAGAUAUUUUGUCCAUUCCCGUAACUACCGUUGCUUCCGAGUCAACUUUUAGUGCAUCGGGUCGUGUUCUUAAUGGUUUUCGAAGUUCUUUAACUCCCAAAGUAGUGGAAGCUUUGAUUUGCACUCAAGAUUGGUUGAGAGCCGUUCGUGUACCGAUUGAUGUUGAGGAGUGCAUCGAGAAUGCAGAAAAUUUUGAGUUGGGUAAGUGACGUUAUUUAUAUCUUUAUAUAUUGUAAUUCUUUUUGUAUAUUUAUAAGUGAAUAUUUUAUUUAAUCUCUUUUUCUUCUUCUUUUUAUAGAUAUGGAUGGUCUUAAUGGGGAAACUAUCGCCGGUAAAUAGAGUUUAAUAAAGAAAGUGAAGGUGCUGAUGGAAAAGUUAGAAAUCAUGAUAAAGCUUAGUGAGUUCCUGAAAUAUUGACCACGCAUGAAAACUGAACAGCAUUUAACCUGUUGAAUUUGCUUGUUUACUCAAAAUGGUUAAUUUUAUGUUGUCUUAUUAACUAAAUGCUGCAAGUUCUGCUGGAAUUCAAGGAGUAUGCUAUAUAAGUAGAUGUCGAUUUUGUUAGAAAGGCAGUCCGUGCUAUUGGUCGCUGUGCAAUCAAGUUGGAGAGAGCAGCAAAGCGAUGCAUCAGUGUUUUGCUGGAGCUGAUUAAGAUUAAAGUCAAUUUUGUGGUUCAAGAAGCCAUUAUACUUAUUAAAGACAUUCGGAAGAUAUCCUAACAUGUUAGUCUCGAUAUCUGUAAUUUUUGGAGUACGUGAACUGAAAAGCAGUUCCAUUCAUCUCUUAAUUUAGUGGUGCUCUCAUCAUGCAGGCUGAGAAGAUCAACAUGGAAGAGAAGAUUGAAGAGAAGAGGAAGCUUGAAGAGGAAGACUUAGCUAGAUUGACUAAAGAGAAGGAAAGCCAUGACUUAGAAUUUUUCUGUCCAUCAAUUUAAAUCUUUUAAUUUAUGGAACGAUUUAAAAAAUCCACUCAAAUCUUUUUCUGCAGGAUUACAGGUUGAAGCAUUAGCUGACACAGCAGAGAACUAUCACCAAGUUCUUGCAGAAAAUAGGAGGCUAUUUAAUGAGGUUCAAGUUCUUGGUGCUGUAAAUGCCCUCAACAGUCCAAGUUGGCUGCUACCAUGGCAUCUUUCAUAAUACACAAGCAGCGGGAAAGAUCAGCUUUCACCAAGGCAGCACUAAAAACGGUACUCUCUUCAUUGAAAUAAAUAUGAUCGCUAUUGCUAAUUCAUUCUACAUAAUGUAGCUCUGAGGCAAUUUGGUUUAGUAAUUGACUGUUUUGUUUUACUCUGAGAGGAGGCGAGAACAAAUUGUACGUCUUGCUAAGUAUAUUUGUGUCCCAACUUAUUCUCUAUGCAGCUUGAAAGCAUCCAAAAUUUGGAAUAAUUUAUGAGGAAGCAUCGGAAGGACUAUGUGGACCCACUCCGCAGUCCGCACCAUAGAACGGGAGAGAGAUAGCAUUGAACAUGAAGUAAGUCAUUGAAAUGCUUCAAGAUUUUCUUAAUAAAACCACCUGGAAUUUCUGUAUGUAUUGUCAAGACUUAGAUACAUGAGAAAUCUUGUGAAGGUCUAUAGGGUCUGAUUAUUUUGGUUCUGCUUAAAGGCAUGCAUUUCAGAUUUUAAUUGUCUAUGUAUUUUCUUUCUGACUAAGUCUGGAAAGCUAGCCGUCUCAUGACUCUGAUGAUCUUUGUGCCAUGUGUGUGAUUGAAAACUCUGAUAAAUCCACCAUCUCCCUUACUGACUUCUUAUGGGUUUAUAAAUAAAGUUUCUAAUUUGAAUGUACGCAGUAUAUCCUUGAUGAGGUCGAUUGUACUUUUGUUCCCAUGAAUGGUGCUUUGAUUGCCUAUUCCUUCAUUUUCACAUGCAAUGUAUCCUCAGAGUUCACCUUACAGCAAGUUAGUUAUUUUACGUUUUGCUAAAAAGGAAAAAAAACUGGGUGAUGUUUUGCAGGUUACUACUUUCAUCAAAACUUGCAAAGAACAUAUUGAUAUCCUGCAAGUUAGCAUAACUGAGGAGGAAAGAAAGUUGAAGGGAUGGCUUCGCCUUAGUGCUGAUGGUUCUAAAUUCUAAUGCUGAUACCAUAGCACACAAACAGGGAGUGGUGAGGCGAUUCUGUAUUUCAUGCAUCUUUUGGCAGUGUAAACUAUGUAAUCUUAUGACUGUGCAUGAUUUUUAAGGAAACUAAUUGUUCAGUUGCUCUUUAUUUAGAUUGAAACAUAUAACAUUAAUUUGGUGAGGCUGGAGAUGCUUUAGGAAUUUUUUUUUUUGGGUAGAAAAACAGAAGUAAUGCUUUAGGACUUUAGAUUCCAUAGAAAGGACGUAAGUUUGUUGUAAUGCUUUAUGAGUUAUUUGAGAUGUUUCAUGAUUAAGCCUCUGUAUGGGCCUUGGAGACUGCUGUUUAAAUAAGAUAUUGCAGUUAAGAAGAAUUUUCUCCUAGCACAGAUAUUUUUCGCCAUUUUUAUUUUCUUGUUUUAAAGAAGCAAUUGGAGGGACUUUUGCAUUGCACUAGAACAAAAUUGAGAUCCGCAUGUAUGGUGCUGAUUUUGAUGAAUCAUUCUGCGCAUAAAGGAGUUCUGUUCUUUCAUGUUGUAACAUGUCUAAUGCUGUAAGGUUGCUGGAGAUUUACUUUUCUCUGUUUUGGUAUGAAUUUCCUGUGCCUGGUGAGAGGGAUUUGCUUUUUCAGGUUUUUUCUGGGCACGCGUGCACACGUGAGAGAGAGAGAGAGAGAGAGAGAGAGAGAGAGAGAGAGGACUUCUGGCUUCCGGUUAUCUUGUCAGAUUUGAUUAGGAUACUCAGGUUUACACUGUGGUUUCUGUGGCAUGGGACAUGCAUUUUCUGGUGGAUUAAUUUGCUGUUAAUUACUCUCUUGUACUACUGUAGGUAUUGAUCUUAAGUGAGAAGCUUCAUUCUGUCAAUGCACAGUUUGAUCAGCUAAGAGCCAUACCUUCCAGGAUGCCAUCAAUAGGGUGACACCUAGAAGAAAACCAAAUAAUCUGCCAGUUCAAUUCCUGUAGAUAACUCAAACGGUAAUUUGGAAUUCAAAGAGUCUUAACAAAGUUCCAAGUGAGCUUCUGAGAGUCCAGCAACAACACUUGGAUGAUGAGACCCGUGCCCUUCAGAUAAUCACUCAGACUUCUGUUCAAAGAGUCUAACAAAGACGCUGAUUAGUUAAUUUAUUCUAGCGUUCAUGUCACUCAGACUUCUGUUCCGGUGUAUGUAUUGUUCAGGUAGAGUUGACGAGCCUUCUAGAUUCAGUCCAUCAAACGGAAACGAAGAUGGUGGAAAUGUCUGCAUUGAAUCACCUCAUUUCCACACAUUUGUCUUUGCGUGGUUUAUAUACCCUAGUGUCUACUGUAUGUUGUGCCGCACAUAUAUUUUGCCCUUUGAUUUGGGUUUUUCAGCUUAACCUGGACAGCUACUAGGUAAUGUUAUAAUAAUAUCUUUACUGAUGGCGUAUGCUAUCCUUUAGAUUUAUUGCAAUUAUAUCACUAUUAAUCAUAAAUUUUGAGUAGGUGAAUGUCAAAAGUGGUAAAACUCAUGUUCAAAUUGGACUGUUGGGUGCAUUAUGAAUUUAUGAGUAAGAAAGGCAUGCUUAUUGAUCCUCUUGUCAUUGCCAGGUGUUUUUCUGCAAGUACAAUGACCCAAUUUAUGUGAAGAUGGAGAAGUUAGAAAUCAUGAUAAAGCUUGCUUUGGACAGAAAUAUUAUGUCUGUGGGACAUCCUCUUUCUAUUCCUACUCACAAAUAGCAUGUGCUUAUCAGGACUUGUGGUAUGUACUACUAACAAUAAUAUCUCACAUGAUGUUGACAACUCCAGGGACAUCUCAUAAAAAAUCCAAGUACACAGAGAGCAAAAAGUUUACUUGAGAUACCAGCUGCUCAUCGCAUUUUCAUUAGUGGCACUCCAAUUCAGAACAAUCUAAGGGUAAUCCUUAGGGCUGCUAUUUUAUGCAGUGCUUUCAUAUCUGUUAUGUCUUAACAAAUUAAUAAUACAGUAUACUUUUCUAAUAUUGUGUGCCAUUUUUUUUAUGCUUAAAUAGGAACUAUGGGCGCUAUUUAACUUCUGCUGUCCUGAACUACUGGGUGUCUGACAAAGAGGAUCAACGUAUCAUAAGGUGAGCUUGUGUUGUCUACUAUAUUUAUAUGGGAGAGUGCUUCUACUUAAUUCUGAAUCAUGUGCAAGAUCGCAUCUUAUGACCACAUGUGCAUCUCCCAAUAAUUUGUUGCUUUAUCCCAUAUGUCAAGCCUUCUUUUGGUUUCUGAUUUCAGAGAGCUUCUCUUGGACUUUUAUGUGAGUUUCGGCAAAAGGAAACCUGACCGGAUUAUCAUAUUCAGGUCUGUAUCUUUAAUGAUGUGAUGUCUUAAGUGUGCCUGAUUUAAUGCAUUAUCUAUAUUACCAAUCCUCUUUUAAGAGGACUAGGAGCAAUUGAAUGCACUCUCCAGAGGGACGAGUGGUGGUGUCUUAGCCUCUUAGGCCUAUGUAAAAGGCACAUAAGGAUAUGCAUGAGUGUCGCGACCAAUUUUUCGGGUGUAGACCACCUAGAGUUUGGCUAAUGGAUUGUUAAGCCUAGACUUAACUCGAGCUCUCCCAAGCCCAUACCAAUUUGCGACUUAGGUUUGAAUUGUUAACAUGCAAAUUUUUUAAUUAGGAGUCGCCACUAAUCUAUUUUUUGUGGGUCGAUUAGAAACCCAAAUAAAAUAAUGGGAGAUUCACUUUACUCCUACGAACCAGAGAUUAGGGGUACGGGGGCUUGGUUACGUUAGAUUUCUCUAACGCCCUUUCAGUACCUUUCUUUUUAUUUUGAAAAAUGUUUGGCAAGCAAUUUGGAUUGAUUUUAAAUCUAUUUCUCUAACAUGUGAGGUGUUCAUGCAGGUGCGCAAACCACCAAUUUAACACCCAAGAAAGCAAUUAAAUGAUGCAGAACUUACCUCAAAGCAACGAAAGCAUCUGUAGUGUUAAAUUAAAAUCCACAUCAACAAUCCUAGAUAUGGUUCCUAAUUAACACGCAAUUUCUUUUCUUUUUGUUUUCACUUAUUAAACGAGGCUAUAAUCCAUAUGCAAUGCAAUGCUUUUAAUCUAAUAUGAAAUGAUAUGGCAUGGCAACAUGUCCUAAACAUAUGAAUAAAAUUUUUAUGAUCUCUUAAUGAACAUGCAAUGGUUAAAUAUGCAACCUAAAUUAACUAAAAUGACUUAAUUCUAAUGACGUGCAAUGCAAUGCAAUGACGUACAAAAUUAUUUUAACUAAAAUGACAUGCAACAUUGCAAUUUAAUAUGCGAGCUAUAUGUCAUGCGACAUUUAUUAAAUGACCUAAUCUAAUGAUGGACAAUUUCUAAUUAGAAAUGAACCUAACAAUAAUCACUAAAUGACGUGCAUUUCAUGAACCUAAAUCUAUAUGACAUGCAAAUGACAUUUUUUAUUUUAAAAAUGCAAUCUAUCCUAAAAAUUGCAACUAAUUUAUCCUAAGACAAAUUUUAUGAAAUUUGAAAUGAUCUAGCUAGAUUAAGAUUCUAUCUAAUUUAAACUAGGGAUUAAGUCAUAUUAAAUCCUAAUUUAAACUAAGACAUUAUCUAAAUCAAAAAUGCAAUUUAUCUGAAAAAGAUGAUCUAAAUUUAAAAUGAAACAUGCAAUUCUAAUCUAAUAUGCACAAUGAUUUUUUUGUGUUUUUCUUUAAUCUCGAAAUUAAAACUAAAACAUAAUUAACAUGCAAUUCAAAUAAAAAAAACUAACAACCUAAAUGAAUGCACUUUCCUUUUUUGGAUAUUUUUUAUUUAAAAAUUCAUAAUAAGAUUGCAAUCCUAAAUAUGCAAACCUAAUCCUAAUUAAGAUUUUUUUGAUAUUUUAUUUUACGAAGAUAAGAUUUGACUCAACCAACUUGACGAUAGCAAAUCAAACAAAAGAUAAGAUUGAUUUUCAAAAAUUGACGAACCAUAUCUCGCGCAUGAGAUCGGGUUAGCCAAUUUUAAAUUAAAUCGAGAAUCGAAUCUCGGGCUUGAGAUUGGAUUGUCGAUUUUGUAAAGGAUUGCGAGUCGGAUUUCGGGCGCGAAAGUCGGACUAUCAAUCCCUAAUUUGAGAGCUCCUCGAGUUGCGAAUAUCACGCUAGGGAUUUCAAUCAUAUGCAUCAACGAAUAUAUUAAAUAAGGAAACGGAAUUUUUGGAAAUCAAAAUAGACAAAUUUUUUACCUAUUCCGAAUAUUGGCUCCCAAAUUCCAAUCCUCAAACGGCUACGGCUACUCGUGACAUGAUAUGGUAAUGCUCCGCGAGGCUCACAGCUCGGACUCGGAUGUAUGGAUUGCCGGGGCGAUGACUGGAUUCGGUUAAGGAAGACCUGCAUUAAUAAAAAUUCGAACAAAAACAAGAUAACUGGAUCAGUGGAGGUCUCGGGCACGUCAAGGACGCAUUGGAAAAUCGGCCUGGAAUUGCUGGAUGAAACACCAUAAAGUUGCAGAGUGGGCGAGGACUGGCUUCGUUGAUGUUGGUCUCAGAAAAGCGGCAUCCGAGAAGUGAGAAUUGCGUGAAUUAAUCUUCACAAAUCACCACUCACAACUCAUCUUUAAUUCCUUAUUUUUUAUUCCUCCACUCACUAAUGGCGUCUCAAUGCUUCACGCCCCUCCUGCUCUCUCUGGAUUGUCUCUUGCAAAGAGAAGGCGCGCCAAUCAAGAGUGUUCUGAUGAAGGUGCCCAGGCCAGCAACGUGAGAUGCAACCCAAUACACGGUCGUGUAUCUCCACCAUCUGGUCUCCCUCUUACGAAGUGAUAAAAAUGAAGUUCCCCCUUUGUGCGGCCGUAUAUUCAACGUGUGGCCUCCUCCAAAACCCUACGUGUUUUACCUUUUUAUAGGCCACCGAUUAGGGUUUUUAAUUUUUCCAAAUCGAUAUCCAUGAAGAUCCUUUUUUCAAAUGCAAUAUUCACUUUUCCGGACGCCAUAUUCGUUUACACUUGCCCUAUCCGAAAAAAUUCAUAUCCCGAAAAAUUUUCAAAAUAUUAUAUUCCCACAAGAUAAUUUCUAAUUAUUAAACAAACACGGGCUUGGGCCAGCCUGCUCACUUCGUGGGCCUGAUCCAUCUAAUUCGAACUCAUCCACCACCAGUCCAAUAAAAUGCAAAAAAUGCAAAAAACAAAAUAAAUGCAAUCUAAAUCUAUAUGUUAUGCAAUUAAUAAAAUUAACCCCUAAUUUCCUAUGCAAUAAAUAAAUAAAUAAAAUUGUCAAAAUUUAAGUGUCAACAAUGAGUGAUUGUACUUUUGCUUUCACUUACUCAAGUUUGCUCACCCGAACAUAAAAGGGACAUAAUGAGUGUGCUCUAGUAUAUAUUGGAAACUCUUCCUUCCCCAUUUCUCAUGAGAAAUUUUCGAUUUUAUUCUCAUCGAUUGAUGGGUAAUAUUUUGGAUUAAAAGUUUUGAGUUGUUCAUGAGUGUUUGCAGCAGGAUGGCAGGAGUUAAGCUAUUCUUCUUUUACUACUCGAUUUUCUGCACUUGCCUAUAUUGCAUAAUGAAAUAUGACUUUCCACUGGAUAUGGUGAGUAAAGCCAAAAAAAUGCCUUCUGUUACCAAAUUGAUACUGUCAAGUGGCUUCUUUUGGUUGUACUAAAAUUGCACUAAGAAAAGAAGGCCUUGGAGCUAAGGAUCAAUUCUUGGAUAACCGUUCUGCAAAGGUUGGGGACUUGAAUGCAGAACUACAGUUGGAGGAUGGAGUCCAGCAACCAUUCAAUAAUCUCGCAAACUACGUCAAUUCAGAACAUUUUCCAUCUUCUGAAGGUUGUUCUUUAUAGGAUACUCUAUGUUUCUAAAGUUAGUUUUCUAUUUUUCCCCCUUAUAUAUUUUUUUUUAUAGUUGUUUAAUUUCUCUUCUGAAGGUUCAGCAGAGGAUCUCAUCAAGCAAGAUCUUCGAAAUGUUGCUAAGGGUGUAGCUGCUUCUGUUCUUCAGCCGGCUCUUCCUUCUAAUCCUGAUUUAACAGAAGGAAAUGAGUCCACUCAUGAAGCAUACCAGGAUAAAAAUGUGCAGCAAGAAGCUGACACUGAGGUGAUUGAGCUCUUUUGUGUUCAUAAAGUGUUUGUAUACAUGAGGUUGCUUUGUCCUUCAAGUGCAUUCAUUUUGAUGAUCAUGUACAUCUGACAUUUUCAUGUAGGAUGCUAAUUCUAUAGUGGCAGAGAGGAUGAAUUUCGGGUUUCCAAUAUUAGAUGGCAUUGGUCGCUUGCAAGUGAGAGAUUUGCUUCACUAUGAUACAUGUUUGGUUUUCCUAGGACUCAGCUCUUAAUUUGCUUGGAUUUCCGUUCUGUAGAUAAUUAAGAACGGUGAUCUUGAAGAGUUGCGAGAAUUAGGUUCUGGCACUUAUGGGACUGUUUAUCAAGGAAAAUGGAGGGGUACUGAUGUAGCCAUCAAAAGAAUCAAUGAUAUUGAUAAGUGCUUUUCUAGGAAGCCCUCAGAGCAAGAGCAAAUGGUAUGGAUCUUCUUGCUUUUUGUUGUUUUUGAUAUUUAAUAGUAUUCUUUCUGAAUCCUUGGCACUGUUGCUAUGCUGAGACAGAGAUAUGAUUUCUGGAAUGAGGCAAUCAACCUUGCUGACUUGCAUCAUCCAAAUGUGGUGGCCUUUUACGGUGCUGUGCUUGAUGGUCCUGGAGUUUUUGUGGCAACAGUAACAGAGUACAUGGUUAAUGGUUCUUUGCGAAACGCUUUGCAGAAAAGCGAAAGGUACGACUCUUCUCCAAGUAGAUGCUAAUUUGUCAUAUGCCGAUUUCGAUCGUGCAAUCACGAAUGCUAUAGAAGAUGAACCAACUUAUCCAUUGGACGAUAAACAGAAUGCCAGAACCAGAAGAAAUACAACUAAGGAUGAUGAACUAGUUAAGUAUAUGUCGAAGUUGCCAGCUAUUCUUGAGAGGGGGAAAAACGUUCCGGAGAAAGCUUUUAGUGUUGGAGUUCUUGACUAGCGAUGUCUUGAAAAAUGGAAGCAUAGCCACAAGUAGACUACGCCCAGAAAUGGCAGGUAUUCCACCUCUAGUAGCAGCACCUCCUCUUCGUUCUUAGUGGAGGGAUUAUCCAACCAUUCCAAUUUCCAGUAGAGGAGUGCUGACUUUGGCGAAAAUCUUUGGGAACUUGAAGACACUUUAUCAGAAGCUGCAUCAAAGCAUGAGCUAUGAGUCUUUUGCUGAUUUAAACAAGUUUUUCCAGGUAUGCCACCUGCAUAAAGUUAGUAGGAUAGCAGGGAAUGCACAAUUUUUCCUAAGACAUCAUUUGAUAGAAACGUGCGGGUGAACUUACCUUUAUGAUUUUAUGAAUUCUGUGUUCAUUAUAAGUAGAUGAAGCUAAGUCUGGCUCUUAUGCCUACAGUGCAAUUAUGGUCAUUGUCACAGCACAUUUCAUCCAUCAUGUGCUCGAACUAUUGGAAUGUUCAUGAGUGUAAAAACAGUUUGUUUAUUACUUCUAAAAUGUUGUUUGCUGUUUGUGUUAUAUUAUCUUCGAUGAAUGACAAGUUUGUUUAUCAUUGCUACAUUCAUUUUCAUUUUUUUAACUAAAAAUUAAAAAAAAAAAAAAAAGAACUCGUUGGAACCUGGAACCGACCCCGGAACCUGUGAUAGGGUAGGUUCCAGGUUCUCGGUUCUGACGAGUAGGUUCCAGGUUCCAAAAAAUGAGGAACCUGUACCCGAGGGUAGGUUCCAGGUUCCAAGCGGAACUUGUAAAGAACCGGGAACCGCUCACCCCUACUUGAACCGCCAGCAGCUUCUCCUAUGUUUGAUUCUUCUUUUUUUCCAAAUUUUUAUUUCAAAUUUUUAUUUUUUUAAAAUCUUGAAAUCAAUUCUUUUUCUUUUUUAUAUUGUUUAUUUUUGUAAUAUCUAACGUGGCAACCUCAUCAACACAUUUCUUUUAAAAAGAUGGUAAAAAAAAAAGUCGCAUCAGUUUUUUCUGAUAGCCAAAUGGGACGGAGUUAAUGUAAAAACCUGAGUGAACCGAUUUGAAAAGUUUAAGUGUCCGUUCGUUUCGCGGAAAAUAUCAUGUUUCCAGAAAACAUUUUCCUAGAAGCCAUUUUUCAAGAAAAUGACUCUAUUUUCUGGUAUUUGGUCAAAACCUAAAAUUUGAGUGGAAAAUAUUUUCCACUGUUCCUUAGCUCAUUUAAUUGUUUGGGAAAAAUUAUCAAAAAUCGAAUUUUAAUAUUUUUAAUUGACCAAAAAAUUAAUUUUAUUUUUUAUAUUUAAAAAAAUGAGUUUUUAAUUAUUUAUAUUUUAAAAAAAUCGAAAUUUUAUUAUUUAUUAUUUUUUCUUUCUUUUUCUUUUUCUUUUUCUUUUUCUUUUUCUUUUUUUCUUUUUCUUUUCCUUCCCCCUUCCUCCUUCCGCCUCCUUCUUGCUUAACGAUGGCCGGCUGCCUGGCGGCCGACCAAGACUCGGUGGCCAGAUCCGGCGAGCUCGAGGCUUGGCCUAUCUCACCCGAGCUCACCGUGAGCUUCGCCGGGCUCUAGCGAGCCGUGAGCUCGCCAGAUCUGGCAGCGGAGCUCGAGCUUGCCUAGAUCGGGAGCCCGAGCUCCGCCACCAGAUCCGGUGAGCUCUCGGCUCGCCAGAGCCUGGCGAAGCUCGCAGCGUGCUUGGGUGAGGCCCAAGCCCGCCCGAUCUCGGCUUAGCCAAAUCAAGCUAGGUGGAGCCUCGCCGGCCUGGGGUGAGGCCGACGAUGUCACACCCCAAACCCCGAGCAUGUACCCAUCCCUCUCUAGUUGAUAAAAUUUUGUGACUUCCCAUGACUAGUCGCCGACCCUUUUAUUUUAUUGCACAUGCGGAAGCGAAAAAGAAUCCCUUAACAGCAACCAUCUCGGGAUAGAAAAGUAUAACAAUAAUUUCACAAACAAACAUGCCUUUAUAAACAUAUGCUAAGUNNNNNNNNNNNNNNNNNNNNNNNNNNNNNNNNNNNNNNNNNNNNNNNNNNNNNNNNNNNNNNNNNNNNNNNNNNNNNNNNNNNNNNNNNNNNNNNNNNNNAAGAGUUUAUGGUCAAAGACUACAAAAGACUGUUCUCCACAAGAAGCAGUCCUAUCCGACCUAUGCUUCAGAUCACCUCCUUUCUGCUCCAGGUCCUCCACUCGAUGACCCUGAAAUGGUUAUUCAAUAACCAAUGAGACAAUGUCUCAGCAAGUCUAAGCUCUAAACUUCUGCUAGGAGGGAAAGACACUAAGAAGCGUCUUAAGCACGCAAUCACACAAUCAAGGAGACUUACCUCGUCUCAGUUCCACUCUGCAGGUCAGCACAGUUUAUAUCACAAAUUAGAGCAUCACUCAAGCUCAAUUAAUUGGAACACAAUACUCAAUUCAUCAAGCGUUCCUAGUUUUGAUUUCGGCAUAUAGCACAGCAUACUCUCAGUUUAGUGGUCUUCUGGCAUUGCCAGGCUUCGUCUCACCCACGUCACUUUGUCAACGACUUUCCCGAAGGAGCAUAGGGUCCAGAAUCUAUUACGACCGGCUUCCCUUUGUCAAGGGGUAUCCCAAAUAGGGAUAACGUCUAGCUCAACAGUCCGGGACGAUUUCUCAUCAUCAUCACACGAUCACUCAAAUAUGGCUCAAGGCACCGUGCAUUGCACUCAAAUACUUCAAUUAAAAUGGUGAACCUAGCAUUUUUUUCUUCGUAUUAGAAAUACGCAUGAAAAUAGUCGUGUAUAGGUACAAAAUCAACUUGACCCAAAAAAAUUGACAUUUUUCCUUUUUUAAAAUUCCACUAUUUUAUAUAGUAUAUAAAACCAUUUUCAGUGUUAAAAUUCGACACUCGGGAUUUUCUGAGUAAAUAUUGUUUGGAAUUAAAUACCAAAAAUCCAAUCACUACUCAAUUUGCAUAAUUUAACACUCAAUUGCAAAAAUUAACCACACCAUUGCAAUCAGCACGAAAUUCUGGUCAUCAACUAUCCUGGCCUAAUUUCCGGAAAAAUAAUUAAUAAUUAAUCAAUUUCGAAAAUUAAAUAAUUAAUUCAAUUUAAUUUCUAAAAAUACUAACCUAGGACAAAAUUAUUAAAUUAAAUACCAAUACGGACCCGGAAAAUUCCCGAACCCUUCUAGAUAAAUAAUACAAUUUAAUUAGGCCUUAGCUAAACCAUGCUAACCUCUUAACAUGCUCAAUUAAAUAAUUAAAUCAUUAAUUUAAUCUAACCAACCACCUAAUUCCUAAUUAAAUAAAUCUAAACACCACUUAGCAUCAAAGCCUACUAAGAAGAGUUUAGAGAAUAAACUCACCGGCGUAUCGCGAAAACCGGUUCACCGCAACGACAACGCGACGGUGGCCGAAAUCUUAAUUUCCGGCGAUGUCAACGAACUCUCAGACCGGCUUAAAACGGGCCCAACAAAUCUCAGUCCAAAUCUGAGAUAUGCUAUUGAAUUGGGCCGGGCCCGAAACUGGGCUGGACUUGAUUCUUGGGCUGACUUGAGGGUGUUACUGGACUGAACGGGCUUGCUGCUAUUGGGCUUCAAGUCUGGCUGAACUGGACCGCUGAUGGGCUGAACAAGAAAAGAACUGCUAGGCCUGAAUUGCUGUUGAAGAUUGGGCCGAACGCUGGGCUGCUUUGGCGGAUGAAGUGGCAGCGUGAGAUGGCGCUAAUUCGAUGGGGCUUCGAGCAAGAAGUCUUCGUUUGGGGAAAAAUUGACCGAGCGAAACCUACCACGUGCAACUGGACUUCGGUCGACUGACGAUGGAGGUGUUGCGCGGAUGAAAAGCUGGCAGCAAACGUUGGCAAACCGAAGCAAAGAUGGAGAGGAUUCGGAGCUGCUGGAGACGUGCGGGCUGUUGAUCGUGGGCUGAGGACACGCGACUGGGCCGAAGAUUGCUACUUCGGUGGAUUGUUGCUUGCGCGGCUGAAUGGACGAAGGAAGACGCGUGGAUGGUAGAGGCGUGGAGGCUUCGGUCAACAAAAGGGGAGGGGAUGGUUUGAUUGUUGACCAAGGGUGUUGGCUUGUAGACGUGUGGCAAGGGGGCAACAGCAGCUGGUGAAGACCAUCGUUGACAGAGGCGUGGGCAGAAGCUAAUUCGGUGGCCGCUCGAAGAGGAAAUGAGCAGAAGGGAAGGAGAGAAAAAUCAAAUGAAGAAGGGCUUCAGCUUCCGUUGAUGAAGGCGUCCAACGAGAGAGAGGGAAAGAGGAUAGAUAAGAGAGAGAGAAGAAGUAGCGUGUGCAAGAAGAGAGGCCAAAGUCAAGGAGACUAAUCCAUCUAAUUAAAAGCUUGCCCCCUUUAAGUCUACAAAAAUAUCCUAAUAUCUCCCAAUUCUUUCUUGCUCUUAUUCCCACAAAAAUAUCCAAUUUGAAUGUCCAAAAUGCAGCCCUCAAACCUUGAUCCGAAUUUCACUCUAUUUAGACUUCAAUUUCUUCAUGAAAUUUCCCAAAUUGACGUCCAAUUUCGUUGAAGAAAAAUCCCAUAUAAUUUUCUAUAAGUCCCUAACACUCGAAGUUUCGGCUUGAAGUUCCAAUUUCCAUUGAUUUAGCCCAUUUGAAUUUCCGUUAAUUUUCUGCGGCGUCAGAAACGGUUUUCCAUAAAAAUCUCGGAAUCUCUCAAAAUUUCUCGGAGGAUGAGUCGACGUCCCUAAUAUUGCUCAUGACACCACAGAACUUUCAAUUUCUGAAAUCGGGUUCAAAUAGGCAAUUAAUUUCAAUUCAGCGGGCUUUUAGCAUGACCUAGUCUACCGGGUAGUUUUUAGGAAUUUUUGGUGCAAUUGACCCGUGAUCGAUUUAUCUCGAGUUACAUAUUGCAUCUUCAACACAUUGGCGACUUUCGGUUGUUGUGAAAAUCUCAAAGUUUCAAAUAGGGACACAGGGUACCCAAAACAUCAAAAAAUCAAUUUAGUACCGAUCGGUGAAAAUUUUGAGAUCAAGUGGAAUCACCCACAUUCUGAUCACAUAUCUCAGCCAAAUCGACAUAUCUCUGAUCUUUGAUUGAUUCUGACAGUGCUGCAAUGACCCUUGUAGACCGAUACGGUCGAGUAGUCGAUUCCUGUUCAAAUUCUCAAAUCCAUUACAUUUAGAUUCCUUAAUUGUUUCCCCAGAUAGACUAGUUAUCUCGUGAGUAGCCAACUCAAAGAAUAGCAUUGUAGACGUGUCGAUGAAAAGCUCGAUUUAUUUAAUCGAAAACAAUUCAGAAAAUUCAGGCUGUCAUAGGCGAGGUCGUCGACUGCGGCCGGUCGUGAGAUGCCGCCGUGGCCAGUCGCCAGCCACCACCAAAGAAGUAGAUGAAAAGGAAAGAGAAAAGAAAAAAAAAUAAAUUAAAAACUCGAUUUAAGAAAAAAAACAUAAAAAUAAAACGAAAAUGUAUUGAUAAAAAAAAAAAGUAGGAGGGAAGAAGUCAUGGAAAACGUUUUCCACUUUUCAGAAAUGGAAAACGUUUUCCUUACUUUAAAUGUUGUUUUUUUCUAACGAUGGAAAACAUUUUCUUUGACUAGUUCAUUUUCCGUGAAACGAACACCGGAAAAUCCAAAAAACAUUUUCUCGAAAGUUAUUUUCCGCGAAACGAACGGACCCUAAGAUUUUAUUGUACUUUUUUUUUAAGUUUAAGGAUUUGAUUAUACUUUUAUAAUAAGUUUUAGGAUAUGUAAUACACUAAUACCAUAAAAAUAUAGAGCAUUUAGAGCUUAUAGAGGAUCAAUAGAGUAUCAAGUCAAUAACUUAAUAAAAAUCUUGUGGGCACCCGUCGGAGUGUGGAAAGCUAACAUACUCAACUUUAAACUUUGAUUCUAUUCUCAGUAAAUAGACCAAGACCAGAUACCUCUUAGGACGUCAAGGUGAUGAAGAUUAGAGAUGGAUGAACUUGAAUGGAGCUUGGUUUACUCACGAAUUACGCUGAAUAGACAUGGCACUUGCUUGGACCCUCACUGUUGACACUUAAAUUUGCCUAUUAUAUAUUUCAAAACAUUUUCAUACAAUUAGGGAUUUAAUUUGUUAACCCUUAGCAACUAACCGUCAUGCUUCUCCCUACAUUUCAUCGCAAUUAAGGGGAUUGUGGUAUUUGCUACAUCAUGGGAGUUCAAAUUGGCAAGAAAAUUGAAGCCUUCAACAUCAUUUUCCUCACCUCGUUUUUCCACCUUGGGGAUUUUUUUAAGUAACAAGAGACACCUCGUAUUUUUACAGUGUUUAUGUGCAAUAAAUUUCUACUUCGCCGCUAGUAAGAUUUGAACUCUUUGGGCAGCAUGCUGGGGUUAAAAUCCCUCCACUGACAGUUCCCUUUGCUGGGCGAUAUGUAAUUCCAUUAUAAAACUUUCUAAACCCGUGUUAUGCCUAACCUUAACAUGGAGUAAUCUCCCUUUCUCUUAAACUUUUUAUCAUAUCCGAAUAUUUUUUUUUUUUUUUGCUUCACCUGGUGCAUUAAGGGCAUUCAUCUACUUUCAUAAAAUUGGCGCAAGCAGACCAUUCCAAGCGUAACAAACAAAAGACGAAGACCUUGACCCAAAUAUCGUACGUUUUGUUGAAUAAAAAUGACAUUACAACGAUAGCAAACGAGCCGGCAGACCCCAUGGCUGACAAAAACAACUAUGAAAUCGAACCUUUCAAUUUUCUGAUGCAAAUCGAUGCUAGAUUUGGAUCUUCUGGGUCUUUCCAUUGUCUUGCUAUAUUUUUCGGUUUCCUCUAGUUUGGACCCAUUGUCCAAUGGCAUUAACAGUAGCUUGCUGAGUGGCUUAUACAAGAUCUCCAAUGAUCAUUUGGAUAGGUAUAUGUAUGCCUAGAGUAUUGUCUUUCUUUUGUCACUUCGCGCAAUUUCUCAACAGAUCAAUCGAGAAGAAAGUUCGUUUGAUUAUGCUUCCAACCACGUGAUUUGCGGACUCUGAUUUCUUUGGUCUAUAUGAAGUUGAUUGAAAAAAGGAAGUGAAAGUCCCAUCUGAGUGAAUAGAAAAGCAGCAGACCUUUUGAAAUUAGGAGUUCAGGGUACUGAUCCUCGACUUGAGGAUCAGCAAGUUUCAUAUGGUUUCUCACCAUUCAAAUUUGAGGUUAAGAUACUCUUUUACUACAUCCAAUCCAAUUUUGAUGAAGCAAAACGGUUGAUGGAAAUGCAUUGAUGGGGUCACAUUAGUUUUACCUGCAACAUAAUGGAAUAUGAUUCACGAAGAAUUCCUAAGAGAUUCAAAACAAUUUUGCCAACAAUUGCCAACAUGCGAAUGAAUUUCAAACUUUGGGAAGAUUUAGCUUAUUUAAGUUGGAUUUAUGUGAACGUAUUAUGACAAUGUCUAUUCUGGCGUAGGAGCACUAACAGACUAUACAGAUAAUUUUCAUUAUUACAGACACCAGUUGUCUAAAUAAUCAAAAUCAUGUGGAACUAAUAAAAGAGCUUGGAUCUGGAGGGAUUGAGACUUCAACAGCUCCUUCCAGCAUUUGAGUGAUUUUCUUCAUGGUUGGCCUCAAAGCCGGUUCUUCAUGGAUGCAUCACAGUGCCGUCAUCACAAAUCUUCUCACCAUCUUUAUGUCGCUUGACGCCUCCUCGUCACUUUCCACUAGCACAAGUAGAUUCCUGUCAUGGUAGCAGUCAUACACCUAGUCGAUCAAUACACUUUGAGCUUCACUUUUGGCUUCCGGCUUAUAGUUCUUUCAGCAGCAGAUGAGCUCAAGCAAAAAAUGCCGAAGCUGUAAACAUCUACUUUGGCAGAAAUAGUCAUAUUCCUGAACAAUUCUAGCGCUAAAUAACCUUUGGUUCAUCUGACGCCAGUGGCGAUUCAUGUUUGGUUUGCCAUCAAGAGCUUAGCUAAUCUGAAGUUUGAUAUUUUUGCAACGAGAGAGCCAUCAAGAAGAAUAUUUUGUGGCUUGAUGUUACGGUAGAUUAUAUGCCUGGCGCAAUCCUCAUGCAAGUAAGAGAGGCCCCUUGCAACACCACAGGCAAUUUCUAUUCUUUUGCACUAGCUAGCCCUUGAACACUUUUGUACACUGUUCCAAAAGUACCCCUGCCCAGUUCUUCUUUGAAUCCAUCUGUUGCUUCUUGAAGCACCUGAUAGGUGAAAGUUGGCAUGCCUGUGGCUUGGUUGAUCUGGACUGGCUGUGAAAAUUUAGAACCUCUAGAUUUUAAGCUUUUAUAAAUUAAAUAGCUAAAGAGGAGUAAAAGCAAGUUCAAAAACAUAGAACUACUCAACAGCACUGAUCCGAUGAUUACUAGAGUUGAGUUCUUGUUCUUCUUCUGGCCGUUUCCUGGAGACGUCAAAGUCGAGUUAUCUAUCCUGACCUUGAUCAGAGCUUUUCCAUCCACACUUGGUUCCAUCCUACCAUUGAAAAGACGUUUCUUCUUUUUCCAGCAAUUUCCAUCUUGAAAAACAGUGACUGCACAAAAACCAUCAGCCAAGCAAGCCUCUCAGCACCAGUCCUCAGUUUGUGACGCACUAAGCUCGUAAUCAUACCGUGGCCAGUCUGUAUUAAACAUGUCACGCAAAGCAAACUGGUCCUUUUCAGGCCUAAUUCCAUCACAACUCUAUGUUACGAAGUCCUAUCUACAUCCGUUAAUCUCAUUCAUCGAAUCUAACAUAGUAUAUCCAAGUGCACAGUGGCAUCAGGGCCUUUGAAUCCGAUCGUCUCCAUGAGUACAGUAGCUGUUGAAGCCACAAACUCCGGGACCGGUAUCUUGUGUGAUCCUCAUGCAUAUAUUUGAAGGGACCGGGGAAGAGACCGUCGGCUAGCCCAUUGCCCAACUGGAACUUGAAUAUGCCCUCUUAGGGUGGACAUACUGCCUGAAGACCCCACCAUAUUCAAGGAUCGCUCUUUUGUAAAAUCCGCCGGCGGGGAUGGUGUCUGAGGUGACGAUAUCGAGUACCGUUCAUUCCUAGCAUGACGACAUAGACCUGACCACUUUGAUUGAAUAUCAACUGGUAGCCAGUACCCAGGGCGUUGCUAAUCUAGUAAGCAUUUGAGAUGACCGGCUCAGUUGGGGUAUGAAGUGGAAUCUCCUAGCGGAGUAAUUGAGGACAUGAAGCAAUGACAAAAUUGAGGACAAAUCUUCAAUAACUUGGGGAGAUUGAGGUGUGAGCAUUGGGCUUCAUCAAUUGAUUCAAGUGGAAGAUGUCAAUUAUGUAGAAAAGUUAUCGCUUCAAUGGACAAGUUGCCAAUUUCAUAGUUGUCGAUCGGCUAUUAAGACAUCGACACACAUGUUUAUUGUUGAUCCGAGACUACUAAUAGACUAUCUAAUGGACAAUUACCUUUGUUGUUUGGUGAUCUUCAAAGAUAUCCAUUAGACUGCCCAAGGAGACGAACGAAUUUAUAGUCUAUUUUAAUUACUUUGUAUCUAGUCAAGUGUCAUUAGGAAGUCUUAAGUGUGUUGUGGUUUUCAAGGAGCCAAAGUUCAAGUUUCUAGUCUUAAAAGUGUGUUGUAGUUUUCAAAGAGCCAAAGUUCAAGUCUCUAGAUGUUUUAAUGCAUUGUCUAGAUCCUAGGUAAUUAUUGUGCUUUUCUAAUUCCUAUGUCUUUAAUUAAUUAGAUAGUUUCUCAUGUUUAAUGUUUAGUCUAUUUCCUAUGUAAUUAUCCCUCUAUAUAAUAAGGCGAAUUCUCAAAUGUAAAAUAGUGAAUUUUGAGUGUACGAAUUUUUGAGAUUUUCCUCUUUAUGAGCAAAUAUCUUUGGAGAGCGGAUUACUCCCGGUCUUUGUAUCCUUCGAAGGUGGAUUCUUCCUCAAGGUGAGCCAAAGAAGCACUAUAUACUUGGUUGGUGGCUUUCAUGUAGGCCUUGGUGAUGAGCUUUUUCAAUCCCGAAGUCGUGUAACAACUCUCAGCCAUCUUGCUACCGCAUUAGAUAUCAUUUGAACUCAUACAUCAUUAAAAUGGUGAGCAAAUAUUCACCUUGGGGAGUAUUUUUAUUUCUAAGUAGCAUCAUAAAAGAUCCUAAGGAGAGUGAACCAAGUCGUGGCCUAACCACAUGAAGAUGACAUUGGGCCACAAGCUCUUAAAUUAAGCAUACAUUGGACAAGGAGGAAAGUAUAUGCAUUGAAUGGAAUGGCCUCAUGCAUGCAUGCAAAGGGAAUAAGCUCAUAAUUGUCUAGCAAAUUUCUGCUUUGCCAGGUGCAUGAACGGGGGCAAUCAUCUACUUCUAUGAAAUUGUCGCAAGCAGACUUUUCCAAAGCGAAACAACCGAAAGACAGAAGACCCUUGACCAUAACAUCCUCCGUUCCAUCGAAUUGAGAAUAUGGCAUGGAAAAGAUAGCAAAAGCGUCAGCAGAUGCCAUAGCUGACAAAGACAAACAUGUAAUCGAACCCAUUAAGCUGCUGGUGAAGAUCGAUCGUUAGAUUUGGAUCUCCGAGACAAACAAUCUCGUCUCGGUGUAUUUUCCAGUUCCGUCCUGUUUGGACCCGUUAUGGAAUGGCUUUGACUGUAGCUCGCUGCUUUGUUUAUACAAUAUCUCCAAUUAUCAUUUGGAAAUGAAUACUUAUUGCUUAGAAAAAUUGCCUACAUUGUGUUGCUUCUUGCUUAUUCUCAAUAGAUGCAUCGAGAAGAAAGAUCGUUUGAUUAUGCUUCCAAUUAUGUGAUUUGCAGACUGGGAUUUCUUUGGUCUAGAAGAAGUUGGUUGCCAAGAGGAAGUGAGUGUCCAUUCUGUAUGAAUAAAAAAGCAGUAGAACUGUUGAAAUUGGGAUUCCAGAUCACCGAUCCACGACCUGAAGAUUGGCAAGUUUCAUAUGCUUCUCAUCAUCUAAUUUAGCAGAUAAGGUCUGUUUUGCUUAGAUCAAGUUAAAAUACUCUUCCACCAUGUCAAACGCCAUUUUGGUGAAGCAAAAUCAUCGAUGAAAUGCUUUGAUGGAACCACAUUAGUUUUUACCGUGACAUGCAGGGAUAUGAUCCACAUAGAAUUCCUAGGUGAUUCAACAGAAUAAUGCUUGUGACUUUAAAUUUUUCGGCGACUGGUUCUGCAUUAUUUGAUAUAUAGUUACUUGGUCACUCAAACAUCGUAGUCUCUCAAUUAAUGCAUGCGGCCUCACAUGCAAUCCCUUUUGCAACAAUCGUCGACCCGUUCUCUCUUGGAUACAUGCAAGGGAAUGUUAAGAUUGACUGAUGAUUUAGCUUUUAUAAGCGGGAUCCAUGCGAAGACAUUAUGAAAAUGUUUGAUCCGGCGUAAUAGCACUAACAGACAAUACGAGUACUUUUCAUGAUUACAGCGGCAACAGUUGUCUUAAUAAGCAAAAUCAUACUGAAUUGAUAAAAGAGCUUGAAACUGGAGGUACUGAGACUUCAACAUCUCCUUCCAACAUCUGAGUGAUUUUCUUCAUGGUUGGCCUCAAAGCCGGGUCAUCCUGGAUGCACCACAAUGCUAUCAUCACAAAUCUUCUCGCCCUCUUUAUGUCACUCGAUGCCUCCUCAUCGCUCUCCACUAGCUUAAGUACGCUCCCGUCGUGGCAGCAGUCAUAUGCCUAGUCAACUAGCACAAUUUGAGCUUCAAUUUCUGCUUCCGGCUUGUAGUUUUUUCUGCAGCAGAUGAGCUCUACCAACAAAAUGCCGAAGCUGUAAACUUCUACCUUGCUUGAAAUAGGCAUAUUCCUGAACCAUUCUGGCGCUAAAUAACCUCUGGUUCCUCUGACUCUAGUGAUGGUUCGUGUUUGGUUCACCAUCAAGAGCUUGGCUAUUCCGAAGUCCGAUAUUUUUGCAGUGAGAGAGCCGUCAAGAAGAAUAUUUUGUGGCUUGAUGUCACAGUGGAUUAUAUGCCUGGUGCAAUGGACGUGCAAGUAAGAGAGCCCCUGUGCAACAUCGCAGGCAAUUUCUAUUCUUCUAUACCAGCUGGGCCUUGAAGCGCCAAAUAGGAAAUCCGCCAAAGUGCCAUUGCUCAUGAAUUCAUACACCUGUAGUCGGUGUUGACCUUCAUUGCAGUAUCCAAGCAACUGCACUAAGUUCUUGUGGUCAGUUCGGCCAAUUGCACUCACUUCUCUUUCAAACUCCUUUUCGCUUUCUCCAGUCCUUGUCGGCAACACUUUUACUGCCACGAAGUUUGUAUCCUCGGAUCCAAGAACACCUUUGUACACUGUUCCAAAAGUACCCCUACCUAGUUCUUCUUUGAAUUCAUCCGUUGCUUCUUGAAGCUCCUGAUAAGUGAAAGUCUGCAUACCUGUGGCUUGGUUGAUCUGGACUGGUCGUGACAACUUAGAAUCCCUAGAUCGGAAGCUUCUAUAAAUUAAAUAGGUGAUGAGGAGUAAAAGCAAGUUCACAAAGACAGAGCUACUCAACAACACUGAUCCGAUGAUAAUCAGAGUGGAAUUCUUGUUUCCAUCUCUCAUAGAUUUUGAAGUCGAGUUAUUUAUCCUGACCUUGAUUAGAGCUUUUCCAACCUCACUAGGAUCCUUCCUUCCAUUGGAAAGAGGGAUCUUCUUAAGUUCUGCUGCCGCCAAAAAUAGCAACUGCGCAAAAACAAUCGGCCAAACAAGCCUCUCCGCACUUGUCCUCGAUUUGUGCUGCAGUACGCUCGUAAUCAUUCGUUGGCCAGUUUGUACGGAGCAUUUCAUGCAAAGCGAACUGGCAUGCUUCGGGCCUACUUCCAUCACAACUCUGUAGUACGAAGUCCUGUCUACAUCCAUUCAUCUCGUUUGUUGAAUCUAAUGGAAUAUAUCCGGGUGGGCAGUGGCAUCGGGGCCUCUGGUCGUCUCCAAGAGCACAGUAGCUGUUGAAGCCACAAGGUCCAGAACCCGUAGUUUGCCUGAUGCUCUGGCAUAUAUUUGGAGGGAUCGGGGAAGAGACCAUCGACCAGCCCAGUGCCAAGGCAGAACUUGAAUUUGCCCCCUCAGGGUGGACAUAUUGCCUGAAGACCCCAUCGUAUUCUAGGAUUGCUCUUUGGUAAAACUCAUUGGUCGGGACUGUGUCUGAGGUGACAAGUUUGAGCAGUGUUCCAUUCCUAGCCGUGAGGUAGACUUGACCACUUUGAUUGAAUAUCAAUCUGAAGCCGCUAUCAUUGGUGUUGCUUACCCAGUAAGUAUCUGAGGCAAGCCACGGGUCAGAAGUGGCACAGAAUGCGAGAUUUCCGUCGUUUUUUAGCUUGAAGUGGAAUCUCCCGGUGGAGUAAUUCAUUUCAGAGUAGCGAGCGUUAACUUUAGUCCCUUGAUCUAACUGUUACGUAGGCAGCAUCGUGUCGGUUGAUUGGCUGAACGUCUCCCACAAGUUGACGUAGUUCUGGCUAACUAGGACAAAGUUUUCCAUGUCAAACAUGGCCGCAUGCGCUACACCAGCGACAGUCAGGCUAGGAGACCACAACUCUCUUCCAUUUGGGUUGGCUAGCACCAGUCGGCAAUCGAUGGUCAACUGGAUCUUCGAACCUUCUGGCGCUAAAUUAUCACCAUUCGCCGACCAGACAAUGGUCUUGUCCUCUAUCUUCUCAAACCAUAUUGCCAGCGAAUGAGCCCCUUGUCCCAUUUUCCGGAACCCGAAGGUGAACUCGCCUGACGGAGACAGCCAGGAAGAGUUCUGGUCAUCCGCCGUUAACGAGGAGCCCAAGGUGAGGUUGCCGUUGGUCUGAGCUUUGGCGGAAAGUGGAAGGGUAACAAGCAGCAGAAGGAUUCGGAGCAUCACUGAAGCCAUAUGAGAUGGAAACUAGAGGUGCUCCUUGAGUCAAGCUACUGCAGCCUCAAGGAUGAAAACACUUGCUAAUCUAGUAGUAGAUUAGCAAGUGUUUUAGAUUUUUUAAGGGAAACUGUCAAUUAACCGGUAAAUUAUCAGGAAAAUACAAAACAGUUUUCUAGAGUUUUACAAUGAGGCCCUUUCGGUCAAUUAGUAACUAACCAAAGAUAAAAUGAUGUUAUCAUCCUCAAAUAGUAACUUUCUCUAGAUUACCCAGAGCUUUAACAUACAAAAUGAAGAUUUUAUCUCGUUAGAAUCUAGUAUAUAGUGGCACAUCACCAGGUGAUUUAAAAUUUUACAAGUGAGCCCGUCAAGCAAUUAGUAACUCUCUAGUGGAAUCAUGAUGUUAUCACCCCUACGUCAAGUAGUGAACUCUCAAGUGCUUUAAAAAUUUUCAAGUGGGUUCAUCAGAUACGUGGUCAAUCUCUGAAGAAGUUGAUAAUUUAUUAUUUCACCAGUUGUAACUUGUUAAGCUAAAAGCAAGCUUACUUCGAAAAAUUACUACUUUCGUAGUCCUUAACUGUACUGGUAAUCUCCAAAGACAGCCUCCUAAAUAAGUUAAGUAAGACCUUCGGCAAAUUUCAUACUUUACGUGAUACUUACUACCUUAAGAGAGAGUAGACAUGUUGCUAAUUUCACUGUUACUUACUAACUUUAAUGAGGGAGUUUUACAAUUUGACGAUUGAAUUGGUGUUAAUAAAUCUCUCAAAUUGUUGCGACUUAUUAUGCUAAAAGCGGGCCUACAUUGGUGAGUUACUUAUUCCCACGGUAAGUUAAUAACCAAGGUUAUAUUUCCAAUGGCAAAUUCCUUACUUUCUUAAUAACUUAACUUAUAGCCAGACCCAUAUUGGUAACUUAUCAUAUUCACUCUUGAAUUACUAGUUUUAUCACGCCCCGAUCCUCAAGCGCAUGCCCAUCCUUCGGUGGUCGAUAAAAUAAUUGUGACUUCCCAAGACGAAUCGCCGACCCUUUCUUUUUAUUGCACAUGCUAAAGUGAAAAAAAAUCCCCUGACAGUAACCAUCUCGGGAUAGAAAAGCAGGACAACAAAUUCACAAACAGAACAUGCUUUUAUUAACCAACUGAGUCAAGUUCAAAAGUCAACAACCAAAAGACUUCAAAAGACCAACUCUCAAAGAAACGGUCCUAUAUGACACACACCUCAGAUCUCCUCAGCUCGACUCCAGGUCCUCUACUCUACGAUCCUGAAAAAUUAAAGCCCACGACGGGGUGAGAUAUAAAUCUUAACAAGUUCACACUCUAAACCCCGAUAAAGAGGAUAAUACGCCUAGAGGCGCCCUAACCACACAAUCACACAAUUAGAGCAAAGAACUUACCUCAUCUCAGUUCCUUCCUGCAUAUCAGCACAGUUCAUAUCACGACCAUAUAUGCAGCAAUAACACUCGAUUCGAUGGAGUGCCUUAAAUCACAUCUUAGUCAAUCAUGCAUUUCAAGAGAUUACACUCACACAAGCACGACCUAACUGUCACACAGCAGAUCUAACUGACAUACGGUGGAUCUAUCCGUCACAUAGCGGAUUUAUCCAUCACCUAGUAGAUUUAUCCGUCACAUAGCGGAUUUAUCUGACAUACAGUGGAUCAAUCUGUCACAUAGCGGAUUUAUUCAUCACCUAGCAGAUCUAUCCGUCACAUAACGGAUCUAUCUGACAUACAGCGGAUCUAUCCGUCACAUAGUGGAUUUAUCCAUCACAUAGCUAAGCGUCAUCUCGCCCCAUCGAGCAUGAUAACAUCUACCUCAAAACGGUUUUCCACUUGAAAGCAUCGUUCACCCGACACAUAAUGGAUGACAAAUUCUCUUAAGUGGCACACGAUUAUGCCAAGGACAUUCUUCUUCGCACUUAAAUUUCUCAAUUAAAAAUAAUGUCUAGGCCUAUUUUCAAUACAUUAAUGAUACCUGAUAAAAUCAUCAUGUGUAGGUACACAGUCGGCUUGAGCUAAAAUUUUCAUAUCUUUACUUUAGAAAAUCCCACUAUUUAUACCGUGUCUGAAAACAUUUUUGGCAUUGUAAACCGACGCCCCCAAUAAUUUCUAAUUAAUUAUUGAAAUUACUUAAUUUUAAAAUAAAUACCCAAAAUUAUAGUUUCUACUGAAUUCGCACAAUUGAACACUCGAUUGCAGAAAUUAACCACACCAUUGCAACCAGCACAAAAUUCCGGUCACCGGUUAUCCCGGUCUAAUUUCCGGAAAACAAUUUAAUAAUUAAUUAAUUACCGAAAUUAAUUAAAUAAAUACACAUUAAUUCAAUAAAUGCAAACUUAGGCUUAAAAUUGCUAAUCUAACUACCUAUUGAACUAAUUAAAUUAUCCUAACCAUUCUAACUACUAGGCCAUAUAAUAAACUAACUAAUUACAAUUUCUAACCACCUAAAUUACUAAUCUAACUAACCUAAAUUAAUUAAAUAAACUAAUAACUACACUAAUCUAAGCUUAAUUAAAUAUAAACACCCCUUAAAUGUCAUUAGCCUACUAAGUAGAGUUUAGUGCAUAAACUCACCGAUUUAAUGCGAGAACCGGUUCACCGCGAUGGCAGCCGUAACCCGAACUUUCGGCGGCGUCAACAGGGCUUGGACCGGGCCAAAAGACCUAACAAAGCCCACAACAACUGAUGGGUGGACUGAGAUGCUGAAGUUGCGGGUUGGGCUUGCUACAGGCGUGUGGGCUUGGCUCAACGGGCUGAAACACUGCGGGCUGCUGGGCUUGACUGAACAUGCGGGCUGAAUUCACGGGCUGACUUCGAGUGGGCUUGCGGGCUACCGACCCCAACUAACAGGCUGAGAUGUGGGCUGCUGGGCUCGCUGAACUUGCGCGGGCUAAAGCUCAAAAUGGCCGCUGGACUUGGGUUGACGCGGCAAGGAGCGAAGCCACUUGAAGAUGCGUGAGGCGAGACGGAGGAAACGUGGCUGCAGCGAGGAGAAGGCUCGGGGGAGCUCGUUUCGUCCAGGGGAUGGUGGACGAAUGAGGGACGCACGGACGCGUGGAGCGGCUUGCUGAGUCAACAAAUGGCUUCACUUGGAGAAUUCUACUGGGUUGACUGAGGGGGACAAAAGGUAGUGGAGAGGAGCGACCGUGGCUGCUUCGGUAAAACAAAAUGAAGAAGUGAAGCUGCAAUGAAGAUUGGGCUGGCGGUGAGUGGAGGAAACGGUAGAGGAGAGGACGUGUGGUGGCUGAUUGGGGAUCGGUGAACACAGCAACAAGAAAAUGAAGAAGUCGAGCUGCCCCAAGGAAAUGAAAGAAGCUGAAGUUGCCGAGAAAAUGAAAUUGAAAGCGAGAGCAGCGAAGGAGAUGGGGACGGAGGAGGCGCGCGAGGCUUGCUCGAGAAGUUGAGGGGAAGAAAAGUCCAAAUAAAUAUCUAUUCCAUCAUUAGAUGUCCAAGAAAUCUUUCAAGCUUAUGUAUAUAUAAAAAUAUAAAUUUAAUAUAUAACGUGUCCUAACAUGUCGGAAUUAUUUAUUUUUUUAGAAAUGACUUAUCGACGUGUCAUGUUGUGUCAUAUUGCGUUUCGCGUGUCAGUAUCGGUGUUACUUAGGUUGAAAUUUGAACCAACAAGUUACAUGAUAUAACCAACAAGAUUUAUAAAUUUUAAUCAUAUUGGAAAAGUGCCGUGCACGAAACAUGACUGGAGUAGCCGUGUUUCUUAGUUUCUCCGUACGUGGAAAUUUUGAAAAAGGCAAUUCUGCUUGGGCGGAGCCACUAAGCUUCGGCCGCGACCCAGAAAUUUCCAAGGAGAAACAGACAAAUUUAGAAGACUUUGACCGAAACGUCGGAGGAGGAGAUUUUGGGAGUUGAAAAUGUUUUUUUGACCAAAACACGAAGAUUUGAUUCCAGCGGAAAUCAAAGGGGGUGCAUGAUAACCAAAAUUUCUAUUCCAGAAAUAAUUUUUCUAUUCCAGACCUGUUUCUAGAAUAGAAACCUGUUUGAUAAAUUUACUCAGUUUUUCUAUUUCUGGAAUAGAUUUCUAUUUCAGAAAUUGAUUUGGAAGAGAAAUCAGAAAUAGAAAUUUUAUACUUCUGAUUUCUAGAAGAGAAAUCAGAAAUAAUUUCACCCACUAAAUCCUAAUUUCGGUGAGUCCUCCCUCAUCUCCUCUACGUCUCUGCCUCCUCCUCCUCAUCCGCCUCUCCUCAUUUUAUUAAAAAUAAAAAUUUAUCAUUUUAUUUUUAUUUUAUUAAAUUUAUUAAAAAUAAUUUAUUUAUGAUAAAUAAAAAUAAAUUAUUUUAUUAAAAAUAAAUUUAAUAAAUUAAUAAAUUUAUUUUUAUUUGCCUUGAGUGUUUUGCCAAAUAAUUUUAUUUUUUAUUUUUUAUUUUUAUUCAUUUUAAAAUAAAUUUAUUCGCAAAAUAAAAUAAAAUAGAAUAAAUAAAAUAAAUUUAUUUUUAAGGAUAUUUUAAUUUUAAAAUAAAAUGAUAUUUUUAUUUUUUUAUGAUUUAUUUUAUUUUAUUUUAUUUUAUUCUUUAUUUUUUUGUUACUAAAUCAUUUUUAUUUUUAUUUUUAUUUUUUAUAUUAAAGGUCGUUAGUCAUCGCCGCCGGCGUUCGAAAGGAAGAAAUUUUGUGUCGUUAUCAAACGAAUUUUUAUUUUUAGAAUAAAAAUUUUGUGUCGUUAUCAAACGGUUAUUUUUGCUUAGAAACACUUCUAGAAUAGAAAAAUCUAUUUCUGUUCCAGAAACUAUUUCCGGAACAGAAUGGUUGUCAUGUGCGCCUAAGCGAUUGCAGGUCACUUCGUGGAAAUUGAACGUUUCAGUGCGUGUACGGACAGGGAAAUUUGCAGCGGUGUCCCACAAAAAAUCAAAAUAGUAAAUAAAGAAGCAAACUUCGACCACAUACUGGAGCCGAGGAGCCAAUAAGAGACAAAGCAUUGAAUUUACAAUUCCGAAAUCUAAGCAAACUUUGACCACAUAUGCUUAUCUUGUGAGCUUAAAUUUAUUAUUAUUUGAGACUUGUUGAUAGUGUUAAGUGUGUGUUUUGGUGUAUAAUAGUGAGUCCUAUCGACUUGAGUAUGAGCAGCACCAGCUUUGGAUAGAAGCAAUUGGGUAUAAGCGGCACAACUUGACCGUAACCAUUCAUUGGUAAGUGGAAUCUAGCUAGUAGGUUGUUAAUGUAGGAGAAUGGACGUGGGCCUAAUCUAAACUAAACCACUAUAAAUUUCAUGUACAAUUUUCUUUUCUUCAGAUUCUUAUUGUUUAUUGCUACUAUUUAUUGCACACUUGCUGGGUGAUUCAAAGUCUGUGCUACUGCAUUCCAGAAUCUAACCCUUAUUCAAACUUUAAUCUUGACUCAUUCUAUUCUAUUUUAAUUUGUCAAGAUUUUGUAGUGUCACCUAUUCAAACUUUAAACUUGCUAGCCACCCUCAAAUUAUACUUCCAACUACGUGAUUUGCAGACUGGGAUCUUUUUGGUCUAGAAGAAGUUGGUUGCCAAAAGGAAGUGAGUAUCCCUCCCGUAUGAAUAAAAAAGCAGCAGAACUGUUGAAAUUGGGAUUCCAGGUCAAUGAUCCAUGACCUGAGGAUCGGCAAGUUUCAUAUGCUUCUCAUCAUCUAAUUUAGCAAAUAAGGUCUGUUUUGGUUGGAUCAAGUUAAAAUACUCUUUCACCGUGUCAAAUGCAAUUUUCAUGAAGCAAAAUGUCGAUGAAAAUGCUUUGAUAGUUGCAUUCGGCCUCGCAUGCAAUCCCUUCUGUGACGAUCAUCAACCCAUUCUCUCUUGGAUACAUAUGAGGAAAUGUUAAACUUGACUGAUGAUAUAGCUUAUUUAAUUAGGAUCCAUGUGAAGACGGUAUAUGUAAUAGCACUUACAGACAAUACGAGUACUUUUCAUGAUUACAGACAAUAGUGGUCUUAAAUAAGCAAAAUCAUAUUGAACUCGUAAAAGAGCUUGGAACUGGAGGUACUGGGACUUCAACAGCUCCUUCCAACAUCUGAGUAAUUUUCUUCAUGGUUGGCCUCAAAGCCGGGUCUUCCUGGAUGCACCACAAUGCUGUCAUCACAAAUCUUCUCACCCUCUUUAUGUCACUCGAUGCCUCCUCAUCGCUCUCCACUAGCUUAAGUACGCUCUCGUCGUGGUAGCAGUCAUACACCCAGUCAACUAGCACAAUUUGAGCUUCAAUUUUUGCUUCUGGCUUGUAGUUCUUUCUGCAGCAAAUGAGCUCAACCAACAAAAUGCCGAAGCUGUAAACAUCUACUUUGCUAGAAAUAGGCAUAUUCCUGAACCAUUCUGGCGCUAAAUAACCUCUAGUUCCUCUAAGUCCAGUGGUGGUUCGUGUUUGGUUCGCCAUCAACAGCUUAGCUAAUCCCAAGUCUGAGAUUUUUGCAGUGAGAGAGCCAUCAAGAAGAAUAUUUUGCGGCUUGAUGUCGCAGUGGAUUAUAUGCCUGGUGCAAUCCUGGUGUAAAUAAGAGAGCCCCCGUGCAACAUCGCAGGCAAUUUCUGUUCUUCUGUACCAGCUGGGCCUUGAAGCGCCAAAUAGGAAAUCCGCCAAAGUGCCAUUGCUCAUGAAUUCAUACACCAGUAGUCGAUGUUGACCUUCAUUGCAGUAUCCAAGCAACUGCACUAAGUUCUUGUGGUCAGUUCGGCCAAUUGCACUCACUUCUCUUUCAAACUCCUUUUCGCUUUCUCCAGUCCUUGUCGCCAACACUUUUACUGCCACGAAGUUUGUAUCCUCGGAUCCAAGAACACCUUUGUACACUGUUCCAAAAGCACCCCUACCCAAUUCUUCUUUGAAUCCAUAUGUUGCUUCGUGAAGCUCCUGAUAAGUGAAAGUCCGCAUGCCUGUAACUUGAUUGAUAUGGACUGGUCGUGACAACUUAGAAUCCCUAGAUCGGAAGCUUUUAUAAAUUAAGUAGCUAAUGAGUAAAAGCAAGUUCAAAAACACAAAACUACUCAACGGCACUGAUCCAAUGAUCACCAGAGUUGAGUUCUUGUUCUUCUUCUGGCCGUUUCCUAUAGAUGUCAAAGUCGAGUUAUCUAUCCGGACCUUGAUCAGAGCUUUUCCACCCACACUAGAAUCCUUCCUACCACUUAAAAGAGGGAUAUUCUUUUUCCUGCAAUUUCCAUCUUUGAAAACAGCGACUACGCAAAAACAAUCGGCCAAGCAAGCCUCUCGGCACCAGUCCUCAGUUUUCGAUUCGCUAACCUCGUAGUCAGACUGCGGCCAGUCUGUAUUGAGCAUGUCACGCAAAGCAAACUGGUCUUUUUCAGGCCUACUUCCAUCACACCUCUGUGAUAUGAAGUCCUGUCUACAUCCGUUCAUCUCAUUCGUCGAAUCUAACAGAAUAUAUCCAGGGGCGCACUGGCAUCGGGGCCUCUGAUUGUCUGCAAGAGUACAGUAGCUGUUCAAGCCACAAACUCCAGUACCGCCUCGAUUGAUCCUCGUGCAUAUAUUUGAAGGGACCGGGGAAGAGACCAUCGACCAGCGCAUUGGCCAGACAGAACUUGAAUUUGCCGUCUUAGGGUGGAUAUAUUGCCUGAAUACCCCGUCGUAUUCAAGGAUCGCUCUUUGGUAAUAUCCGCUUGUUGGAACUAGUUCUGCGGUCCAUUCCUGUCCGUGAGGUAGACCUGACCACUUUGAUUGAAUAUCAACCGGAAGCCCAUACGGCCAGCGGUGAUGGUGUCGGUGGCCCAGUAUGCAUCUGAGACUCCCAGAGUGGAAUAGAGCACGAGAUUUCCGUCGGGUUGCAGUGCGAAGAGGAAUCUCCCGGUGGAGUAAUUCAUUUCGGAAUAGCGAGCUUUAACAUUAGCCCCAAGAUCUAACUGCUGCGUAGGCAAUAUUGUAUCCGUUGGUUGGCUGAACGAAUCCCACAAGUUGACGUGGUUCGCGCUUGCUAGGAUGAAGUUCCCCGUGUCGAGCAUGGCCGCAUACGCUAAGCCAGUGCCGGUCAGGCCAGAAGACCACAGCUCUCUCCCUCUUGGGUCGGUAAGCACCAGCCCACCGUCCGCGGUCAACUGGACUUUCGAACCUUCAGGUGCUAGACUAUUGCCAUUUACCGACCAGACUAUGGUCUUGUCCUCUAUCUUCUCGAACCAUAUAGCCAACAAAUAAGCUCCUGCUCCCAUUCUCCGGAAGCCGAAGGAAAACUCACCUGACGGUGACGACCAGGAAGAGUUCUGGUCGUUCGCCGUCAACGAGUUGCCCAAGGUCAAGUUGCCGCCGAACUGAGCUUCGGUGGAAAGGGGAAGUGGAACGAGUAUUAGAAGGAUUCCUAGUAUAACUGAAGCCAUGUUUGAUGAAACAGGCGUGCUCCUUGAGUUGAGCUACUUCGGCCUUAAGGAUGAAACCGGCGUUCUUAUAGAGAUUUUUCCACUUUUCCAUGCCACCAGAGUCUCUCGCGUACGUCCGGUCGUUUAUGGCAGGUGAGAGAGGCGACCAUUCCUCCUCCGCGUAGAUGCAAUUUCUCCACAGCGAGUUUGAACUAAAGUUGUGGACAGCCUUUGCCCAUGUCAACACGUAUAUCUAUCACUAUCUUUGACCAAAAAAAAAAAAAAACAAAACAAAACAAAACAAAACAAAACACAUAUAUCUAUAUAGAAUAAUGAUUUUAACAUAUGAUCUGAAGUUUUAUAAAAGCUCCACCUGUAGUAAAAGGUAAGGAUUAAUUAAAAUAGGAGGUGAUAUUUGUACAUAUAUUUUAUUAAUUAAUCUUUUUUUUUGCAUUAAUAAACCAUUUCUUUAACAGCAAUUAAUAAACCAUUUUAAAGUUUAUAAUGAGUAUUGAUUUUUUACUUGAUAUUGUUUCUUUUUUCUUAAAGUAUUUAAUAGUUCUAUUGAUAUAUUCAUCAAAUUUUCUUCAAAAAUUCUUAUAUUAAUAUGAUCGAUUUAAUUUUUCUGAUAAUAAUAUCUCCGUGAAUUUAUCUUUCUUCAUUUUCUUUAUUUUUCCCUUUUUUCUUAUUUAGAAAUCAAUGGUGAAAGAGAACUUGUUAAACUUAGAAUAAGGCGUCCCCGCUCCAUAAGCUUGACAGGACCAGAUACAUUUUCAAGGAACGCACUUGGAAAACACCAAACUUCGUCGUAUAUGUUUAGUUGGAGAUUUUUUGAAAUGAAAGUGAUGGAAGAAGAAGGCAGGGCCAGCAGUCGAUUCAAUCCCCAUGAAUUCAAACCGACUACAAGUUGCUCCGCGGAAAUUUUUUUUUUUUUUGGUGGAAAGAUAACUUAUAUUAGAUUAUAAAUCAAUACAAGCAGGUGCCCUAGCGUCCGAAGAGAUAAUAUUUAGGAAAAUAGAUGGAGGGAAGAGAAGGCAGCUUGUAGGUGGGCCUUGAUCCCUGUGGGCUUUAGCGGCCCAGUCAGCUGCUAGGUUUGCCUAACGCCAAACAUGUUGAAGCAAGAGAUUAGGGCAUUGCUGAAGAAGAUCGCUGAGAAUCGCGAAGAGAUGGCGUUCCGUCCAUGGUGGCCGCUGUUUCUGCCGAACUAUCUCCACCAACUUUAAGCAAUCAGAUUCGAUCACAAAGUGCUGAAGAUGGAGUCCCUGCUGGAUCAGCCGUUGAAGAGCGGAUAUGAGGGCAUAGAUCUCGGCUUGGAAAGCCGAAUGGGCAGGCACAGAUCUGGUAAGCACAUCGGUUAAAAUACCUUUACUAUCUCUGUAAAUACAAGCGAUUGAUCCUUUCUCCGAUUCCAUGCGAAAAGCCCCAUCAAUAUUACACUUUAUAUAUCCCUCCGCAGGCGGUUUCCAUCCCUGAUCUAAACUGACCAAUUUGUUGUUGAUCUUCUGUGGCGAGGGUUGUAAAAUACCUGCUCGAAAGUACGUGGAAAUUUGCAUUGAGCAUGUGACCGAUCAAUGCUUCCGGCAGCGGCAUUGUGCGGUCUUGUGCAACUUGGAGAGGAAUGAUUACAACAAUAAUGAACGAAAUUGAUUCAGCAGACACUCUCCAAAAGUUUGCAUCCAGGAAUUCCGAAUUUUGAGACCGAUAUGUUGGGCUAAAUGGAUGUCACGGUGACAUAAAGAUAUCAUGCUCGUGGAGUUUACAACAUCAUGCAAUACUUACCACAUCUAAAAGCAAUUUGGUUUCCAUUUAGUAUAAAUGAUCAGUUCACAAAAGGGGGAGUGUUCCUUUAUAUAGAUUACUGCAUAAGAGGUAACUAUCUACAGUUUUCUGCACAUCUUUGAUCUUACCGUCAAGAGUCUCUGCAACUUCGGCAUAUCAGUCACGGCAAAAGUAUUCCCGCGCCACCGUGAUAAUGCCAGCCAAAACUUCCUGUUUAUACAUUCGUCCCGCAAAUAAAUUACAACCCGCCGCUUUCGACAAUGCUCGACUAGUAAGGCGAAGGGCUAAUUUUCCAGGGUUUGUAGGGUUUGAUCAAGGGCCUGAGCUUAAAAUGAGCGGCUUCCAAUAAGCUCCGUGCUGCAUGAAUCCCACAAAAUCUGGCCUGAUCGAGUAGGAAUUUUCCUGGAUAAAUUCCCGAAUGCUCAACGGGCUAUACUAGAAUAGUUUUAAAAGGCGAGCAAACUGUAGUCUUAAUCUCUUCCAUCUGCUCCUAAUGAGUGUCGGGUGCAAUGCCAACACGUGCUCAGGCAUAAAAUCAUGUCUUGUCAAUAUGCCCACCACUGGCGAUCUCUGCAAUAAAAAAAGUGUCGAGAUUAAAAUAAAAACAUAGAAGAACAUGUUCAACUAGAGCAGAAUGCUAUUGCAAUAAUUAAGCACCCAGUCGCAUUGAAGUAUCGCACCAAAUACCCGCAAGAGACGAGAUGAAAAAUCAAUUGUCAUCCCUUACCAUGAUCUACUCUGAUUUUCUAGUGAAACUAGGAAGCCACCAAAUGUCAAGCAGCCAUAUAUACAGAAAUUCAGCUAAACGGAGAGGAAAACGUCUUAGCGCAAAGCUGAGCUAGUGAAGCUACAGAAGUAUUUGGCAGUCCUCACCAAAAAGGGUCAAACUUGCACAUAAGAAAGAUAAUCGAGUAAAAUAAGAAUGGAAGAGGUGAGGGUGCGAAAAUCAAGUAUGUGAGGCCAAAGGAAGAUGGUAUUGAUGUGAUUCUGAAAAAUGGCCCAAUUUGCUGAAAAGAAGGAAGGCAUCAAUGUUUUUCAUAUAUCGUCAAUUGCUCCAACCAAAAAGAAAAAGUCCAUUUUGCUAGUAGACACAGGACUAGAGCUAUGAGCAAGAUCACCGAAUGAUUAUGUAGUACUCUAUUUAAAUUAACAGUAGAGUAUUUCGAUGCCAAAAGACAAAAAGAGCGAUAGAAUAGCUUUUGAUAGAAUUAAAGAAGUGAAAAUGAGAGCUUACGCCAGAGAUUUAAGGUAUCACCAGUAGAUGUCUCAAGCCAACUUCCCGGAAAAGUAUGAGAGCCUUCGCAAGUGACAUUGUCUCCACAACCGUGUAAGGUGAAGCAUUAGUAAAAGGAUGUAAAUCCAAGAACAUCUCCAUCUCUUCUUCAGUCAAGUCUAUAUCUUCUAUCAUACCUGAUCCCCUCUUCAUGAAGUCCUCUGCUGAAAUCUGCUCAAAGGCAUCAAUAUCCGUCGGAACUGGAUCAGACAAAAAAGCUUUCUUCUUUAAAAGCUCCAUCAGAUGAGCACGGAGAAUUAAACCAUACAGAAAGGGGGACUCUGAAUGUGGAGGUUCAUCAAUUACAGGAAACCCGUUGUGCCUUGUAGUUCGCGACACAUGUACCACAUUAGCGACCUUCUCGAUGCCAUGAAACAGCUGAAGGGGCCCACUCACUACAUCACCAACUGUUAAUUGUCUCAUAUAUGGCUCGGCAUGGGUCUCAAGGUAAGGAAAGCCCUUUGCUUUCAUGAUAAGGUCAUAGAUGUUG